Molecule: long non-coding RNA, 137573 nt
Filed under: Citrus x clementina
Lineage: Eukaryota; Viridiplantae; Streptophyta; Magnoliopsida; Sapindales; Rutaceae
Description: Citrus clementina (C. clementina) long non-coding RNA (CCLE_LNC004205)
Source: RNAcentral
AGUGGGACUUUGAGUUAUCUUUUUAACAGCUUUGUAGGCGCAAGAUCAUUCAGUGAGGUAGUGGCAGAGGCGAAAGAAGCAGGUUAUACUGAACCUGAUCCAAGGGAUGAUCUAUCUGGAGCAGAUGUUGCCAGAAAGGUACUGUAUGCAGUAAUUGUUUGUUUUGUUAUUCAAAUUGUCGAUAAUUUAGGGAUUCUUAGCUAUUUUCUUGUUAUUUGAAUAAAAUAGGAAAAUACCAUAAAUCAGGAAGUAGAUACACUCUGAUUUUAUGGUCCUAAAAAUUAGCCCUAGAAUUGCUCUCUAGUUUUCCUAUUUAUUUCUAUCGAUCACUGUGUUUUGAAUAAUAAGGAAAAGUUUUAUAGCUUUGUCUCUCUGUUUUUUCCUUUUUUCCUACAUGGUAUCAGAGCUUUAGGGUUCGGCCAUGAAUUACAAAGCAGCCAUGGUUGGCUCUAAUUCGGCUUCCUCCGACGCUAACAGCACUGUGUCAUCCUCUGAAGGGAUUUCCCAACCAUCCCCAAUUGUGCCUAUUAGUGAAAACACUUUACAAAUAACCAUUCACAAGUUAAAUGUUAAAAAUUAUUUAGAGUGGUCGCAGUCUGUGCGUUUGGUGAUUGAUGGCAAAGGCAAACUUGGAUAUUUAAAUGGAGAAAUUCAACCACCAGCUGCUGAUGACCCAAAAUUCCUACAGUGGCGACCCAGAAAAUUCAAUGGUUACCGCUUAGCUUAUUAAUUCCAUGGAACCUUCUUUGGGAAAGCCGUUCAUGUUUUUGCCAACUGCUCGUGAUGUCUGGGAGGCUGUUAGAGAGACAUACUCUGACCUAGAGAAUCAUUCUCAAUUAUAUGAAAUUAACACUCAGAUGUGGCGGACGCAAAAAGGUGAUAGAGAUGUAACUGCAUAUUAUAAUGAUGUGAUGAUUUUGUGGUAGGAAUUGGAUAUGUUUGAAGUUGAGGUAUGGGAGAGUCCAAAUGAUAGUGCUUGAUACACGAAAAAAGUUGAGCAAAGUUGAGUGUUCGUAUUUUUGGCAGGACUAAAUACAAACCUUGAUGAGGUUCGAGGACGAGUUUUGGGGCGAAAACCUCUGCCCUCUAUUAGAGAGGUUUUUUCAGAGGUUCGUCGCGAGGAAGCUCGAAGACGUGAUGUUAAAGCGAGUAGAGGAACCAAAGACUGAUCUUGAUGGUUCAGCCCUUGUAGCUCGUGGUAAUGAGCAACAUGGAGAUAGACGAGGAGGCAAACAAAGGCCAUGGUGUGAUCAUUGUCGGAAACCGUGGCAUACACAAGAAAGUUGUUGGAAACUCCAUGGAAAACCUGCAAAUUGGAAGAAGAAAUCAGGUGACGAUGCUCGGCUAGCAGGAGAUACUCAUGCUUUCCAGGUUAGCACCACUAAUCUAGAGCAGCAGUCAUCCUCAGAAUCUCUUCUUUUUACUAAGGAACAAAUGAAGCUCCUGUACAAGAUGUUUCAAUCCCAAUCCGUAGGAAAUUCUAGUUCAUCUUGUUCUUUAUCCCAAUUAGGUAAUUUUUUCACCACAGCCUUUACCUGUAUCAAUCCAAACACCUCCUGGAUAUUAGAUUCUGGAGCAACUGGUCAUAUGACUGGGUCCUCGUAGUUCUUUUCUUCUUAUUCACUUUGUGCAGGAAAUCAAAAGGUCAAAAUAGCAGAUGGUUCCUUUGCAAUUGUUGCAGGGAAAGGAAAAAGUAUUAUUUCUCCUCUUCUUACUUUGAAAGAUGUCCUUCAUGUUCCUCAUUUGUCCUAUAAUCUCAUCAGUCAGUAAAUUAACUCGUGAUCAUAACUGUCAAAUUAAUUUUUGGUCUUCUCAUUGUAAAUUUCAAGAUUUAACCUAGGGGAAGACGAUUGGGGAUGCUAGGCAAGACGGUGGCCUCUACCUCUUUAAUAAUGGUUCGAACUUUGGAAGGCAAGACUAGCAGACUUGUUUUAAUUCUAUUUCUAUUUCCAGUAACAAUGAGAUUAUGUUAUGACAUUUUUGGUUAGGACAUCCAAGUUUUGGAUAUUUAAAGCAGUUAUUACCCAAAUUAUUCAUGAAUAAAAAUGCUUUCAAUUUUCGAUGCGAAGUUUGUGAAUUAGCUAAACACCAUCAUGCUGUUUUUCUGCCACAACCAUACAAAAAAUCAAAACCAUUUAUUAUGAUUCACAGUGAUGUAUGGGGCCCUUCUAGAGUGGCAACCUUUUUUGGAAAACGCUGGUUUGUUACAUUUAUUGAUGAUUAUACUAGAGUUACUUGGGUAUUUCUGCUAACAGAUAAAUCUGAUGCCGCAAGUGUGUUUAAAAAAUUUUAUACCAUGGUACAAAUACAAUUUCAGGCUCAGAUUAAGAUUUUUUGGAGUGAUAAUGGCAAAGAGUUUUUUAAUCAUGUGUUAGGGAAUUUUUUUGAUGAGAAAGGAAUUAUACAUCAAAGUUCUUGUAGCAAUACUCCACAACAAAAUAGAGUGGCUGAAAGGAAGAAUAAGCAUCUCCUUGAAGUUGCUAGAGCCUUGAGCUUCACAACUAAAGUUCCAAAGUAUCUUUGGGGAGAAACUGUUUUGACAGCCACAUUUUUGAUAAAUAGAAUGCCUACAAGAACUUUGGGGUUUAAGACACCAAUAAAUCUUUUCAAUAAAUGUUUUCUAGCUUCAAGGUUAAUAACAAGUAUUCCAUUAAAAGUUUUUGGCAGUAUUGCUUUUGUUCCUAACCAUGACUUUAGAAGAACAAAAUUCGAUCCAAAGGCACAUAAAUGCAUUUUUGUAGGCUAUCCUACAAAUAAAAAAGGUUAUAAAUGCUUUGAUUUAGUUUUGAAAAAAAUGUUUGGUUCUAUGGAUGUCAUUUUCUUCGAAGGACAAUCAUACUCUCACAAUUUUCAUUUUCAGGGGGAGAAAAACAAUAGUGAAAAUGAUAUGUGCUUAAAUGAUUUUGACUUAAACAUUGAAUUUGAUUGUAUUAGUAAUGGUGUUUUGCCUAAAGAAAAUGAGAAAGGGAAUCUAAAUGAAUUAAUUGUUGAAAAUUCUGGACAACCUUUGUUAAUGCCAUCACAUAACCAAAAUUCUGGAAUGUUAGAGACGUGCACGAAAUUGUAUAAAGGUCUUGUGUAUUCAAAAGAGUACCAAGAACAAAAAAAGAAGAGGAACACUGUCCUACAACAUCACCAAGAAUCUGACUAGAGGUUGGAUCAUGAAAAUUCUGACAAGAAUCCUCGAGGUAAUUUUGAGUUAAAUUCCUCAAAUCAAAAAGAUAUUCCUAUUGCUCUUAGGAAAUGUGUUAGGUCUUGUAUUAAACAUCCUUUAUCCAACUUUAUUUCUUAUACCAAUGUGACCCUUUCCUUUCGUGCCUUUAUUUCACAAGUCUCUAGUGUGGUUAUUGCAAAUAAUGUACAGGAAGCUCUAAAGGUUCCUGAAUGGAGGGAGGCUAUUUUUGAGGAGAUGAGAGCUCUGGAGAAGAAUGCUACUUGGGAAAAAGUUGAUCUACCACAAGGAAAAGCUGCUGUUGGUUGUAAAUGAGUAUUCACUGUGAAACAUAACUCUGAUGGGUCCUUAGAACAAUACAAGGCUCGACUGGUAGCAAAAGACUAUACACAAACUUAUGGAAUAAAUUAUUCUGAGACUUUCUCUCCAGUGGCUAAACUAAACAAUGUUCGUGUUCUUUUGUCAAUUGCUGCAAAUCUUGACUAGUCUCUAAAUCAGUUAGAUGUAAAGAAUGCUUUCCUCAAUGGUGAUCUUGAAGAGGAAGUCUACAUGAAGCCUCCAUCGGGUUUUACUGAGAAGUUUGGAUCCAAAGUAUGUAGACUUAAAAGAUCAUUAUAUGGUCUUAAGCAGUCACCUAGAGCUUGGUUUGAAAGGUUUACAAAGUUUGUGAAGAGCCAGGGCUAUAGUCAAGGACAGGCAUAUCAUACUCUCUUUACAAAAGUCUCCACCAAAGACAAGCUCUCAGUUUUAAUCGUUUAUGUAGAUGAUAUAAUUCUGACAGGAGAUGAUACAGAAGAAAUGAGUCAAUUAAACCAGUGUUUAGCUAAGGAGUUUGAGAUAAAGGAUUUGGGGCAAUUAAGAUAUUUCUUGGGAAUGGAAAUUGCGAGAUCAAAAAAAGGUAUAGUGGUGUCACAAAGAAAGUAUACCUUGGAUCUCUUGAAAGAAACUGGUAUGAGUGGGUGUAAGCCAGUUGAUACUCCAAUUGAAGCAAAUGUGAAGUUUGGAGAAGUGAAAGGAGGAGUUCAUGUGGAUGCUGGCAGAUAUCAAAGGUUAGUUGGGAAGUUGAUUUAUUUGUCUCAUACUCGACCUGAUAUAGCUUUUACUGUAAGUAUGGUAAGUCAAUUUAUGCAUUCUCCUUGUGAGGAACAUUUUGAAGCUGUUUCGAAUUCUUUGUUAUUUAAUGUUAAGGAAGCUCAUUGUGCUGAGCUUAUGAAGAAUAGAAAGGUGAAGAAGUUGUUAGUCUCAGCAAGUGAAGUUAGUCAAUCAUGCCAGCUCAGCAGUGCCAAGUCAUCAGAGUUAGUUAUGAAAUAGCAAGUUAGCACAAGUUGUUAAAAGUCUGUUAUUAAUAAUUCUUGUGUAUACAACUAACUCGUGAGGAGUAGACUUGAAGAGUAGGACCAAAGAAGAAGAAUAUAACAAAAAGCGGGGUUAGGCUACCCCCAAAUUGUGAAAAACACAAUGCCAUUUGCUGCUAACCAGAAUACUUUGUUAUAAAUCUAAAGGCUGUCCUUGAUAACUACCGAUUAUUGAGUUUGGACUUUAGCAAUUCGAAUGGAGAUGAGGAGUUUUUUUCAUGAAAUGGAGGUCAAUUUUCAUGAUCAAUUGAUUUUAUAUAAUUUUGUACUUCUCUUUUAUUCUCCUAAAAGUUAACAGGGUUUGGGGUGAACUUGUUUUCAAGACGAACUUUGGGACUGUAAGUUUUUACAUAUAUUUCAUCUUUUACAUAAAAGAAAGAUGAGUAAGUGUUUAUAUAUAUAUAUAAAUUUUUUUUCAGUGCUAAGAUUCAGACUCCCAUUAACUAGAAAUCACAAAAUUCAAGUCUCUGUCUCAAGACAUUGUGCAUAAGAUUGAGACUUCCAUUUUGAGCGUGUUUAUAUAUGAUUAAGAUCCUCUUCUGAUAUGAAUUUCUACUAAGUAGAAGUUCACACGUUGAUCGAUAGUUAAAAAAAUAAAAAAUUAAAAUUAAAAUUCUAUCCAUACACUAUUAUUAUAUGACACCUGAAAUAAGAUCUUUAAAAGCUUAGGGGAACUCAGAUUAAGAGAAGAUUCUAAUCUAUUUAGAUAUUUUUGUGAUUUACUACGCUUCUCAUCAAAUGACUUGGCUUUGUCAGAAUUUGAUCUCCAUUUUGACUCCAGGAAUAUCGAUAUGCAAUGGUAUGCCAGAUUUGUUGAACUUCUUUCUAAGUUCCAUUAGUUCUCUAGAGUGUUGGGGAUGGUAUGUUUGUUCAUACUUAACUAUUAUUGUUUAAUAUUUAGUGUUCUUUCUUAUAUGUGAAAUUUAAUUAUUACCAUUCAACCUCAAGCUCUCUAACUUGUUACUUUUAAUUUCUUUUUUGAAGAAUGUGAUUGUUCCUAGAGAACUAUGGUCUAUGGCAAAGUAUGCUCCCCCUUAUCCGAUGUCAAUCUAUUGAAAUUUACAAUAAACACUUGUACGUUUCACGUUUCAAAGAACUAGAAACUGUGCUUUCUCGAUACUCCGUAAUUAACAUGAAAUUGUCUCGAAGCAUCGUAGAAGGUUUAAAGAAAGUAUAUACUAUUUUUUAAAAAUAAAAUUUAAUGUUUAAAUGAAAUUGAAAAGGUACAGAACUUUUUGAUAAAAAUUCAAUUAGAUAUCACAAGUAUCAAAAGGCGUUCAUGUUUUAUACAGAUUUAUAAGGAAAAAAAAGUUGACAAAUUACUUUUAUAUGUAAUCUUGAUAUUACAAAUUUUUAAUAUUAAAUAAUUACAUUAGAACGUUACGUGUAUGGUAUUAAGAUAACUUUUGAUAUUUAUACUAUGUGUAUACUUGAAUUUUUUUCCGAGCUGAAUUUUUUUCCAAGCAAUUAAAAAAAAAAAAAACUCUAGUCUCAUAUUUAAAAUAUCAGUGACUUGAGAGUUUAACUCAAUUUACUUGACCAUUGAAGAUAGCAUUGGCAGAAUUCCUUGAAUCUCGAUCACAAAAUUAUAUAAUGUUCGACCAAAUUGAAGCUUUGAAUUUGUUGAUUUCUAAUGAGUUGGAAUUUAAUCCUUUGUAUUGUUUCCAUAAUUGAAUCUCUGUUUCAUUGCAGCAUUCUCUCAUUUUGCAUCCAUUAUUACACGUGCGAGUUUUUGGGUCAUAAUUGAUGAAUUGCUUGCUAUGAGUGAACAAUAAACUAAUAUGCUCAUUGCAAUAUGACUUAAUAUAUUUUUCUUUUAGUAGCUCAAAUAAGCUUCUUCUAAAUUAUAUAGGAUUGGUAAAAAAGUUCAGGCUGAUAAAUUGGUAAAAAAGACUCAGCUAAACUUAUUCUAAAUUAUAUAUUUUUCACCAAUUUGUCGUAAUUUUUACUGACCUAUUACCGACUACUCUAGUCACUCCCGCGUGCUAUAUUUCUCAUUCUCAAAUCUCAACCGUUGGAUAUUAAUAUCCAACGGUCGUUUAACUAAAGGACAAAUAAUGGGGUUUGUUUCCCUAAUGCAAUGUAGUCGUUGCCAAUUUAUAUAAACUUAUUUAUAGUUCUAUUUCAUAAACAAUUUCUUGGAAGAUGCUCGAAGGGCAGUUUUCUAGCCUAUUGAAUAAGCUAAAGAAGCACAUUAUUUUCUAUGAUAGUGAUUGCCAUGUGAAGAAUUUUAUGAUAAUUAACAAUUCCUUGGAUAAUUAAUUAAGGCUAGUGGAACUUUAAGACGAAUAAUUAAUUACGCAAGUGGAAGUUUAUAUCGAAUAAUUAAUUAUGCAAGUCGGUCAACACUAAGGCUUGCUUUAAUCUGGAAUACAAUCAUAUAACAGAGCUGAGGAUGAGGAGCUAGAAGUUGCAUGAUUUAGACUAAGGAAGCACAUAUCCUGUAAGUGUAAAUUUUGAAAGAAAGCUUGAAUGUUAAUUUUAUAUGAAUUCUUUGCCUUUCCUUAUAGUUACUUAGAAAAGAUUUGCUUAAGUAGAGGUGGGUACACACACUCUCCAAUCAGCAUCCGAAAAAAUUUUCUAAUUACAUUUUGGGAUUUAUUAAGUAUAAUUUUUUUUCUUUUUGGUAAAGAAAGUAAAUAAGAAGCUGUGGACCUGUUUAUUUUGUUUAAGAAGAAGAUCGUUGAUUUCGAAAUCAGAAGCACUCUGUUAUUAACUUUUAAUUAAUAUUAGUAAUUUUUUUGUCUUCAAACAAUAUUUAAAUACAAUUUGUUGUCAAUUAAUUUAAUUAAUUGAAAAAAAGGGCAAAUAUUCAGUUUCUGUCAGCUUCUCUCAAUCUCUCUCAAAAUUUAACUAGAAAAUUACGAUCUAUGCGCAAAUAAUGUAUUAGGAUUAAGUAUUCGCCAGGUUCUUUGCUUAUAUAUAAUGUCAACGCAUAUUAGUUGUAACCUUAAUGUUCUUCUUAAUUCUUUCUAAACGACAUGUGGGCACACUGUUUUUUUUAGUUAUAUAAGAUCAUUUUAUUUAUUUUACUUUCAUUAUUUAAUAAUUUAUUAUAUACUGAAAUAAAAAGUACUACUUUCUUGAUAAUUUUCAAAAUUUUUAUUGAGAAAGUUUCAUAACACAUUUAAUGUAAGUAAUAGUAUAAAAUAUCAAAAUUCUAAUAGAAAAUAUUUUAUUUAAUGCAAAUACAGCUUAUGUAAUAUAAUAUGGCGCACCAAAAACAUCCGAAAUUAAUUAUCACUUGAUAUGUACAUUAUCCUUUUCGGGUGCCCAUAAUUUUGGAUGAAUCAUGUUGUCUGCAUUGUAUUGUUCCAAGAAUGUCACAUUUUUUAUUCUAAAUUUCAGGACAAAUAUAAUGGCUUUCACGAGCAUCCACACCAUCUCUUAUGGGAAAUAUGAUGCAUUCUUAAGUUUUAGAGGAGAAGACACUCGUAAAAGCUUCACAGGUAAUCUCUAUACGGCUUUAAAAAAUAAAGGGAUUUAUGCAUUCAGGGAUGACAAAGAACUACAAAAAGGAGGAUCCAUUUCACCAGAACUCCUUAAAGCAAUUGAAGAAUCAAGAGUUUCUAUUAUUGUUCUCUCAAAAAAUUAUGCUUCUUCCACUUGGUGCUUGGAUGAACUUGCUAAGAUUGUUGAAUGCAAAAACAAAGAAGCUCAAAAUUCUCCAAUUUUCUAUGAUGUGGAACCAACUGUGGUGAGGAAACAGACAGCAAAUUUUGGAAAAGAUUUUGCAAAAACGAAGAAAAUUUUAAGGAUAAUAUAAAAAAGGUGCAAAAGUGGAGAGACACUUUAAAAGUGGUGGCCAAUAAAUCUGGUUGGGAAUUGAAGGAUAGGUAAUCAUUCUGACUCUCAAUUAUUAUCAUUUUUUUGGUUGUUCGGCAUGAUAAGUAACCACAAAACAAAUUUUAGUAUUCAUGAUUCAACAUUGUUUUCAAUUAAACAGCUUCUGUUUAAUACGUGUGUAUAUCAUAUGAUGUGUCGUUAUUAAAAUAGUACUGCUAUAAAUGAACUAAUAUUUGCAAAUGAAUAGCUACAGACGUUGAUACGUUAAAUUAUUGUAUUUUGAACUUUUGAAGACGGUACAUUUGUAUCUUGUGAUGCUUUGUGCUCUGUUAAUAAGUUGAUUCUUGAGAUAAAAUAAUUAUCUCAGUUGAAUCUUCUAAAGAAUUAUCAACUACCUAAUUUAGGAUGUCUUUCAUCAUCAUCUAAUUGAUUUCAUGUGUGCAACAAAUGUUCUUAUAAAAAAUUGAUAUAAAUUCUCUUUUAAUCUAAUUUACCUAAUUAUAGAAAGAAAUAUAUGUACAUGAGAAGAAAACAGCAGAAGAAAUUGAAUUUUCUCAUUCUAGUUUUUUCUGACCCACGUAAUAAUAACAUGUUACUUGAUAAUGUGACUUCUAUUUGAUGAAACGAAUAUUGUGUGGUUUGGAUUUUAUAAAUAAUAUGGAAUUGAUCUUUUACCUCGUUCACACAAAAUAUGGAUUUUAUAGCAUACGAAAUGUCUACGACGGUAUUAACAUGACAGGAAGUAGGCUGCGACAAAAAAAGGUCCUUCUCGUAAUCGAUGAUGUGGCUAAUGUUGAGCAACUACAAAGAUUAGUUGGAAAGCGUGAUUGGUUUGGUCCGGGCAGCAGAAUCAUAAUAACAACAAGGGAUGAACAUUUGUUGAAGUUGCAUCGAGUCGAGGAAGUUUAUAAGCUUGAGGCACUAACUUAUGAUGAGGCAUUCCGACUCUUUUGUUUGAAAACCUUUGAAACCCAGAAGCCUAGGGAAGAAUAUGUUCAUCUAUCUCAACUUGUUGUAAAGUAUGCUAGUGGUCUUCCAUUAGCUCUCAAGGUUUUGGGUUCAUUUUUAUUUAGUAGACCUGUGGACGAGUGGACAAGUACCUUGGAAAGACUAAAAAGAGAACCUGAAAAUGAGAUUCUAGAUAUACUCCAAAUAAGUUUUGAAGGGCUGAAGGAAGCAGAGAAGGAAAUAUUUCUCGAUGUUGCCUGUUUCUUUAAAGGGGAGAAAAGAGAUCGCGUAUCGAAAAUUCUCGACAGCUGUGGUUUUGAACCAGUAAUUGGCAUUGGUGUUCUUAUUGAAAAAUCUCUAUUAACAGUAUGUGAGGACAACAAACUGUGGAUGCAUGAUUUGUUACAGGAAAUGGGUAGACAAAUUGUUAGGAGACAGUCCCCAGAGGAGCCUGGAAAACGCAGCAGAUUGUGGGAGGAAGCAGACAUAUGCCAUGUAUUGUCACAAAACUCAGUAAGUGACUAAUAAAGAGGAUUGCAAAUUUUUUGUCUUUUACCUAUUAAAAUCUCGAAUGAACUAUUUUGCUUAUAAUUUUCAGGGGAGUGAAGUAGUUAAGGGAAUAAUAGUUGAUGAUUAUUACUUUCUCAAAGAUAAAGUGCAUUUAAGUGUUGGUCCAAAAGCAUUUUCGAAGAUGACCAACCUACGAUUGCUCAAAAUAUGUAAUCUGCAGCUUCGUCUAGGCCUUGAAUGCCUCUCUAACAAAUUGCGGUUGCUUGAUUGGCAUCAAUAUCCUUGGAAAUCUUUGCCGUCAAAUUUACAAUUGGAUAAAACUGUGGAGUUUAAAAUGUGUUAUAGCUGCGUUGAAGAAUUGUGGAAGGGAACCACAGUAAGAUCAUUAAUUUUGUCAGUAAUUUAUAUUUUUUAAUUGAAUAAUUGUUGAUAACAAUUUUAUUAUUAUAAUUGUAUAUGAAUUAAAAAAUAUCAUUUUAGCACCCUUUUGUUUUCAACAGCGCCUUUAAACGUGUUGAAAGUCAUGAAACUCAGCCAUUCAAAGAAUCUGUUUAAGACACCAGACUUCACGGAAGUGCCAAAUUUGGAGGAGUUGGAUCUUUAAGGAUGUACCAGGUUGCGUGAGAUUCACCCAUCUUUGCUGCUUCACAAUAAGCUGAUUUUGUUGAACUUGAAAGGUUGUACAAGUCUUACAACUCUUCCGGGCAAGAUUGUUAUGAAAUCGCUUAAAACACUUGUUCUUUCUGGUUGCUUUAAAUUGAAGAAAUUUCCAUGCAUUGCGGGAGGUAUGAAGUGUCUGCAGGAACUUCUUUUAAAUGAAACUGAUAUCAAAGAAUUGCCGCUAUCAAUUGAACUUCUAUCUGGACUUGUUCUGUUGACUUUGAAAGGCUGCAAAAAUCUCUCGAGUCUGCCAGUUACUAUAAGCAGUUUAAAAUGGCUACGAAAUCUAGAGCUCUCUGGUUGCUCGAAACUGAAGAUUUUUCCAGAGAUAGUGGCUAGUAUGGAAGACCUGUCCGAGCUCUAUCUAGAUGGAACUUCCAUUACAGAAAUGCCAUCAUCUAUUGAACUUUUGAUGGGGCUUGAAUUGUUGAAUUUAAAUGACUGCAAAAACCUCGUGAGACUUCCCAGCAGUAUAAAAGGUUUGAAAUAUCUCAAAACUUUGAAUCUCUCAGGCUGCUUCAAACUUGAAAAUGUGCCAGAGACAGUUGGGCAAGUAGAAAGUUUGGAAGAACUUGAUAUAAGUGGAACAGCUAUAAGACGACCUCCAUCCUCCAUUUUUCUUAUGAAGAAUCUUAGAACACUCUUUUUUUCUGAGUGUAAUGGACCACCAUCAUCUACAUCAUGGCAUUUUCACUUUCCCUUUAAUUUGAUGGCAAAGAGCUCAUAUGCUGUACCUUUGAUGCUGCCUUCUCUGUCAGGUUUGUGCUCUUUGACAAAAUUGGAUCUCCGUGACUGUAGUCUAGGGGAAGGAGUAAUCCCAAAUGAUAUUGGCAACUUAUGCUCAUUAAAAGUGUUGUAUUUGAGUAAAAACAGUUUUGUUAGGUUGCCAGCAAGUAUUGACGGUCUUUUCAAUCUUGAAGAACUAGAGUUGGAAGAUUGUAAAAGCCUUCAAUCUCUGCCACAACUUCCACCCAACGUAAAAAGAGUUAAUGUGAAUGGUUGUACUUCGUUGGUGACAUUAUUAGGUGCAUUAAAACUAUGCAAGUCCGAAUACACAUUAAUUGAUUGUGUAGACAGCUUGAAAUUUCCGGGAAACAAUGGUUUGGCAUUUUCGAUGCUACAAGAGUACCUUGAGGUCAGUCUUCUAGCUACGCCAAAAUUAUGCCUAAAAAAAUUAAGCAACGGUAUGGACUCGUUCAUUUUUUUAAUUUUUUGGUUGCAGGCAGUGUCAGGUCCAUUAAAAGAUUUCAGCAUUGUUGUUCCAGGAAGUGAAAUUCCAAAGUGGUUCAUGUAUCAGAAUGAGGGUUCUUCUAUAGCAGUCACAAGGCCUUCAUAUUUGUAUAAUAUGGAUAAGGUUGUGGGAUAUGCUAUUUGCUGUGUUUUUCAUCUCCCGAAACAUUCAACUCGUACGAAAAAACUAUGGCCCGGACAUCAGUUGGACUGCCAAAUGAUCGGUUCUCAUAAUAGGCCUACAUAUUAUAUUUCUUUUAAAGAGAAAUUCGGUCAAGCUGUUUCGGAGUCGGACCAUCUUUGGCUACUCUAUUUGUCCCGACAACAAUGCUAUGGUAGUAGGUGGCAUUUUGAUUCUAAUCAUAUUGAGUUGUCACUUACAAGCACGUAGAGCCCAGGAUUGGAUGUAAAGAGGUGUGGCUUCCAUCCAGUUUAUAUGCGCGAAGUGGAGGAGUUCGACCAAACGGCAAACCGAUGGAGUCGUUUUAAUGCUUAUAAUCUAAAUGAAUUCAAUCGCGAUUUUGUUGGAUCAAAUCUGGAAUUAGCCACAACAUCAAAGCGAAGCCUUGCAGAAUAUGUUGGGGCAGCUGAAACCAGUGGAAGUGGCUGCUGUGAUGAUCACGAUGAGGAACCACGACCUAAAAGAUUUAGACAACUCGAAGAAGGGCACAGCCCGGGGGAUAUUAUUGUCUCUGAAUUUUGUUCGGAAGUACGCUUCUCAAUUUCAAUCUAUGUUCUUUAAAUUUGCAUGUGGUACUUCAUUUCCUUUUUAUUUGUUUAUUUAUUGUAUCUACUCUUGCAUUAUAUAUAUCAUGUUGGACCGAAGGUCAUUUUUUCAGAAAGUACUCUGCAGGCAAAAAUUUAGUUCCGCUAAUAUUCUUCAGAAUCAGGAACUUCCUCACUUUCGUUCUCAAACUACGUGAUACUGAUUGGAAAAUCUGUGUGGCUUUAUGUUUUUAAACAAAGAAAUUUAAUGAAGAACUCUCAGAUAGUGUGUGGGAAUAAAUAGCAGGAUAUUAUUUUAAUUUCUGCAGGGAAACAGGGAUUGUGAGAGAGUAUUUUUGAGAGCACUACAAGAUAGAUAUUGGCUUUGAAGAUUUUCUUGGAGUCAACUCGUUCUGUUACAAAUAUGAGCAAGGGACUGAAUUGUCAGUUGACAUGAUGAGGGUAGUUUUCAGUUGGAUUUAAUGAAAAUCAAGGACAGAAUGCAUAGGAUGGGGAGUGGGGACCCAGUGUUCUUUUUCUGUUUACAUAUAUUUGUAGAGACAAUUUUUUUUAUUUCACAAGUUAUCCAAUUUCGAUACUGUCUCAUCUUGACUUGAAGAUGUUGCUCUCCUUUUGCCUUUUUUAUGCUUUAAACACCAUAGAUUUGGUAUUUCAAUUGAGAGCCCUCAACAUUAAGAUUUUCAAUUGAUUCGGGUAUAUGUGUGUAACAUUGCCUUCAUUGGCAGAUCAUGCUUCACCAACCAUCUUAAGAUUUAAGGUCAAUAUGUAAAGUAGCAUGUGAUUUUGUGCUGCUAUCAUAAAAAUUAAAAAUGUCUUCAUAUUGUUUUAAAACUUAUGAUUUACUUAUUUCUCCGUUAUUAAAAGCAUAUAUUGUUAAUAGAGAAGCGUGAAAUUUUGAAAAUACUCAUUGUUUGCUAAUCUUUUUCUCGUGUCAUGGCUACACAAGCCUCCUCAUUCUUCUGCAUCUCCUGAUCUAUGUCCUCCCCAUUGUCCAAGAUCACAGAUACUCUGUCAAAUGCUAAUCCAGAAGCCUCAUAAAGCAGGAGUUUAUGUUCAUCUGUUUCACUAGCUUUUGGUAUGAGUUAUUAUUUCAUAUUACUUUUGUUUCAAAGUUUUGUUGUCUACAAACUUAUUCGUACUGAAGGCGAUACCAAAGAAUACUCAGAGGGAAACGUCGGAUUGCUUAAUUCCUUAUUUGAUUGGAUCCUUUUCAGGUUAAAGAUCUAGGAGACUUGAAAUAUUUCCUUGGUAUUGAGGUUUCUGCAUCUAGGAAGGGCAUUUUUAUUUCUCAGAGAAAGUAUGCAUUGGAAAUUAUUAAGGAUGCAGGGUUAUUAGGGGCAGCUCCCAUUGAUACUCCCAUGGAACGUGGCUUAAAGUUGUCUGAUAAAAGUGAGCCACUCAAAGACCCAUGGCGAUAUAGGCGAUUAGUUGGAAGAUUAAUAUAUCUCACAGUUUCGAGGCCCGAUAUCACGUACGAUGUCCAUAUAUUAAGCAGAUUUAUGCACCAACCCUGGAAGGAUCAUUGGGAGGCAGCUUUACGGGUUGUGCGCUAUUUAAAAUCUGCUCCUGGCCAAGGCCUCUUCUUCUCAUCAAUUAGUGAUCUUUGGUUGCGAGCAUACUGUGACUCGGAUUGGGCAGGAUGCCCCCUUACAAGAAGAUCUACUACGGGGUAUUGUGUGUUCUUGGGCCCUUCGUUGAUUUCAUGGAGAUCGAGGCGCCAGAAAACCGUCUCCCUUUCCUCAGCCGAAGCAGAGUAUCGUGCAAUGACUGGAGCUUGUUGUGAAUUGACAUGGCUUCGUUACUUACUUAGAGAUUUGGGGAUUUUACAUCAAGAGGCUGCACUGCUAUAUUGUGACAAUAAGGCUGCAUUACAUAUAGCAGCUAAUCCAGUUUUUCAUGAACGUACAAGGCACAUAGAGAUGGAUUGUCAUUAUAUAAGAGACAAGAUACAAGAAGGUUGUGUGAUAACGAGAUUUGUAAGUUCCGCAAAUCAGCUUGCUGAUGUGUUGACCAAAGCUUUAGGAAAAGAAAUUUUCAUGCCUAUGGUUCGCAAGUUGGGAGUGCUGGACAUUCACUCUCCAACUUGAGGGGGAGUAUUGGAAAGUAGAAUCAAUUUAUUCAUUAUAUUGAGCUGUAAAUAUAUCUUUCUAUAUGUAUUCCUAAAUUACAGUAGACUUUGAUUGCAUAGCUUAAUUAUAGGGAUCCUACCAUGUAUAGCAAGUCAGUCACAUAUGUAUAUAUACUCAAUCAAAUAUCAAUGAAAACAUGCUUCUGUCCAUUCUACUUUUCUCUCAUAUUUUACAUGGUAUCAGAGCUAGAACUCGCUGCACUUUAAUCUCUCGUGUAGCAUCUCUCUUUCAGCCAUCAUGGCCCUUGAAGAUAUUCCAAAAACCAGCAGUUCUGAUCCACAAAAAUCAGAGAUUUCUGCAGAUUUCUCCAAGGCAGAUCUCUCCAAUCCCUUCUUCGCUCACCAUUCGGAUAACCCCGGAUUGAUUCUCGUCUCCAAACCUCUAAAUGGAGAUAAUUAUUUUGGUUGGAAAAGGGCUAUGGUUCGAGCUUUAAACUCCAAAAACAAGCUCGGAUUUGUCAAUGGUUCUAUCAAAGUUCCUUCAGAAGAAACUGAUCCUGAAGGCUAUGCAAUUUGGUCGAGAUGCAAUGAUCUGGUUCAUUCCUGGAUCGUGAAUUCCUGCGAUCCAGAAAUAGCUGACAGUGUGACUUAUUAUCCUACUGCUCAUGAGGUUUGGGAAGAUCUCUAUGAGCGUUUCUCUCAAGGCAAUGCAACUCGCAUCUUCGAGAUACAACGAGAUAUUGCUUCUCUUCGACAAGAGCAACUCUCUGUCUCAGCUUACUACACUAAGUUGAAAAGUUUAUGGGAUGAAUUGGCAACUCAUUCAGACAUAGCACAAGACGAUCGACAGAAAUUGAUGCAGUUUCUAAUGGGUCUAAACGAAACUUAUAGUGCAAUUCGAGGUCAAAUCCUGCUCAUGAAUCCUUUGCCUUCUAUUCGCCAAGCCUACUCUUCAAUCUCCCAAGAAGAGAAACAGCGCCUCUUUAGUUCAGCGCAUACGAACACCGAUUCAAACAGCAGCGCUGCUGCCAUGGCUGUACGCAGCAAACCAACUCCUUUGGCAACAAAAAAAACCGAACAAACUCGCUCUCAUGGUUUUCCAGAUUCUCGCGAUCGAAUAUACUCUCAAGCGCCAGAACUUGUAGAACCUCAAGAAGGAGAUCGGCGUCGAUUUGGCUCUGGGAGAGGUAGGCCUUUGUGUGACCACUGUGGGAAUUUCGGCCAUUGGAUCCAGAAAUGUUAUAAGCUACAUGGAUACCCACCAGGCCAUCCUAAAGCUAAAAUAAACUCAGGCCAAAAUUCAAAUCGGCAUAAAGGUAUUUCUGUGGCUAAUCAAGUUGGAGAGGGGUCAAACACAAAUGAAGGCUCACCUACAAUAUCCGAUGCUCAACUCAAGCAACUUUUGUCACUCCUGAAUAAUCAAAAUGAAGGUUCUCACUCCAAAGCAAAUACGGUAACAAAGCCAGGUUUGUCUAAAAUUGUUUCCCGAAAUUGGAUUAUUGAUAGCGGGGCGACAGAUCAUAUUACUUCAUCAUCUAAAUUAUUGCAUAAAGAUAACAAUUGCUCGUUACCGCCUGUAUUGUUGCCUAGUGGAGAAAGAGCAAAUAUUGUUGCAAAAGGGUCUUUACCUCUCAAUUCCGUCUAUUAUCUACAUAAUGUGUUAUCUGUGCCUACAUUUAAAGUUGAUUUGAUGUCAGUUAGUCGUUUGACAAGAGGUUUGGGUUGUUCAGUGACAUUUUUCCCUUCUUGGUGUAUUUUGCAGGAUCUGGCUACGAGGAGGACGAUUGGUUUGGGUAAACAACGAGAUGGGCUAUAUUUUUUGGUGGCAUUAGCGACGAAGCAAUCUAUGUCAAAACCUUCCUCACCAAAAAAUCGACUAGCCUGCAAUCUCACCAUCUCAUCCACCGACCUCUGGCAUAAUCGCUUAGGCCAUGUACCACCUUCUCGUUUAAGUUUUAUUGCUAAGAAUUUUUUGAAUUUUUCUGUUAAGUCUAAUAAUGUUUGCCCCAUAUGUCCGUUGGCUAAACAAAGUCGUUUUCCUUUCAAUAACAGUGUUAUUUCCUCUACAAAACCUUUUGAAAUAAUUCAUUGUGAUAUUUGGGGUCGUUAUCAACACCCUUCCCUUACCGGAGCUUAUUAUUUCCUCACUAUUGUUGAUGAUUAUACUCGUUUCACAUGGAUUUUUUUGAUGCGACACAAAAAUGAAACACAAUCUCUUUUAAAACGCUUUUUCAACCAUGUUUCCACUCAAUUUGACUGUCGCAUUAAAACAUUUCGCAGUGACAAUGGUGGAGAAUUUAUCUCACUCCGAUCUUUCUUUCACGAUCAUGGUGUUGUUUUCCAAACUUCAUGCGUUUACACACCUCAGCAAAACGAGGUUGUGGAACGCAAACAUCGCCAUAUCCUACAAGUAGCCCGAGCAUUAAAAUUCCAAGCACACCUACCAACCCAAUUUUGGGGUGAAUGUGCACUCACUGCUGUACACAUCAUCAAUAGGUUACCUUCUCCGGUUAUUUCUCUCAAAACUCCUUACGAACUUCUCUAUUCAAAACCACCUUCCUUUUUCCAUCUUCGUGUUUUUGGGUGUUUAGCCUAUGCCACUAAUGUUCACACUUCUCACAAAUUCGACUCUCGUGCCAUACCAUCCAUAUUCAUCGGUUAUCCCAUUGCUCAAAAGGGCUACAAAUUAUUUAAUUUAUCAACUAAAAAUUUUUUUACAAGCCGAGAUGUCAAAUUCCACGAAACCAUUUUUCCUUACUCAUCCGUCCAAACCAAAUUUUCUCUUCCAUUGACAGCCCAUCAAUCAAGCCCAAUUCCUUUAAUUCCUUCUUCCCUUGACUCAUCAUUCAACUCUCAUGUCAUUCCACCAAGCCCCAUUCCCUCAUCCCAACUCUCUCCCAAUUCUCCCGAUCCAAUUUCCUCUUCUCUUCCCGCGGUAGAACUACCAUCUUCCCCUCCCCAAGCUGUCCUUCAUACUUAUUCCCGCCGUCCUAAACCUGCUACCCCACUAGUCUCAACUGACCCAUCCCCAUUACACUUCUCUGAUCCAUCUUCUCCAGCCCCACAAUCCUCACCUCCUCCAUUCCCUGAACCCGCUGCAUCACAAGAACCCGAACCCGAACCCGGACCUGAACUUCGUCGCUCCAGCCGCAACACCGGUCCACCGGUCAAGCUCCACGACUACGUCUGCUCACAUGUUUACUCCGACCAAUCGGCCUCCUUAAUUCCAGGUCCGACCAAAGGUACACGAUAUCCACUGGCUAAUUAUAUUUCAUAUCAUUGAUAUAAGCCUGCUUAUCAGUCCUUUAUUGCUCAAAUCAGUCAUCUCACAGAACCCAGGUCUUAUUCAGAAGCUAUCCUUCUCCCUGAGUGGCAAGCAGCAAUGCGUUCUGAAUUGCAGGCACUGCAGGAAAAUGGUACUUGGUCUCUUACCUCUCUUCCGGCUGGUAAAACUCCAAUUGGUUGUCGUUGGGUUUACAAGAUUAAACAUAAAUCUGAUGGAUCUAUUGAACGGUAUAAGGCGCGACUUGUAGCCAAGGGUUUCACUCAAUUGGAGGGAGUUGACUACCAGGAUACUUUUUCUCCAACAGCAAAAAUAAUUUAUGUUCGUUGCUUGUUGGCGUUAGCUGCUGCCCGUGGUUGGUCUCUUCAUCAACUCGACGUCAAUAAUGCCUUUCUUCAUGGUGACCUCCAAGAAGAAAUCUACAUGUCUCUGCCGCUAGGUCUUCGACGACAGGGGGAGGAACACUUGGUUUGUCGCCUCCACAAGUCAUUAUAUGGGUUGAAACAGGCCUCUCAUCAAUGGUUUGCUAAAUUCUCCGAGGCCAUACGUUCAGCUGGAUUUGUACAAUCAAAAGCUGACUACUCUCUGUUCACCAAGAAGCAAGGCAAGUCCUUUACUGCUCUUUUGAUAUAUGUUGACGACAUUUUAAUCACUGGCAAUGAUCCUGUGAGUAUAGCUGAUAUCAAAAAAUUCUUGCAUAAUCAAUUUCACCUUAAAGAUCUAGGAGACUUGAAAUAUUUCCUUGGUAUUGAGGUUUCUGCAUCUAGGAAGGGCAUUUUUAUUUCUCAGAGAAAGUAUGCAUUGGAAAUUAUUAAGGAUGCAGGGUUAUUAGGGGCAGCUCCCAUUGAUACUCCCAUGGAACGUGGCUUAAAGUUGUCUGAUAAAAGUGAGCCACUCAAAGACCCAUGGCGAUAUAGGCGAUUAGUUGGAAGAUUAAUAUAUCUCACAGUUUCGAGGCCCGAUAUCACGUACGAUGUCCAUAUAUUAAGCAGAUUUAUGCACCAACCCUGGAAGGAUCAUUGGGAGGCAGCUUUACGGGUUGUGCGCUAUUUAAAAUCUGCUCCUGGCCAAGGCCUCUUCUUCUCAUCAAUUAGUGAUCUUUGGUUGCGAGCAUACUGUGACUCGGAUUGGGCAGGAUGCCCCCUUACAAGAAGAUCUACUACGGGGUAUUGUGUGUUCUUGGGCCCUUCGUUGAUUUCAUGGAGAUCGAGGCGCCAGAAAACCGUCUCCCUUUCCUCAGCCGAAGCAGAGUAUCGUGCAAUGACUGGAGCUUGUUGUGAAUUGACAUGGCUUCGUUACUUACUUAGAGAUUUGGGGAUUUUACAUCAAGAGGCUGCACUGCUAUAUUGUGACAAUAAGGCUGCAUUACAUAUAGCAGCUAAUCCAGUUUUUCAUGAACGUACAAGGCACAUAGAGAUGGAUUGUCAUUAUAUAAGAGACAAGAUACAAGAAGGUUGUGUGAUAACGAGAUUUGUAAGUUCCGCAAAUCAGCUUGCUGAUGUGUUGACCAAAGCUUUAGGAAAAGAAAUUUUCAUGCCUAUGGUUCGCAAGUUGGGAGUGCUGGACAUUCACUCUCCAACUUGAGGGGGAGUAUUGGAAAGUAGAAUCAAUUUAUUCAUUAUAUUGAGCUGUAAAUAUAUCUUUCUAUAUGUAUUCCUAAAUUACAGUAGACUUUGAUUGCAUAGCUUAAUUAUAGGGAUCCUACCAUGUAUAGCAAGUCAGUCAUAUAUGUAUAUAUACUCAAUCAAAUAUCAAUGAAAACAUGCUUCUGUCCAUUCUACUUUUCUCUCAUAUUUUACACUUUAAACACCAUAGAUUUGGUAUUUCAAUUGAGAGCCCUCAACAUUAAGAUUUUCAAUUGAUUCGGGUAUAUGUGUGUAACAUUGCCUUCAUUGGCAGAUCAUGCUUCACCAACCAUCUUAAGAUUUAAGGUCAAUAUGUAAAGUAGCAUGUGAUUUUGUGCUGCUAUCAUAAAAAUUAAAAAUGUCUUCAUAUUGUUUUAAAACUUAUGAUUUACUUAUUUCUCCGUUAUUAAAAGCAUAUAUUGUUAAUAGAGAAGCGUGAAAUUUUGAAAAUACUCAUUGUUUGCUAAUCUUUUUCUCGUGUCAUGGCUACACAAGCCUCCUCAUUCUUCUGCAUCUCCUGAUCUAUGUCCUCCCCAUUGUCCAAGAUCACAGAUACUCUGUCAAAUGCUAAUCCAGAAGCCUCAUAAAGCAGGAGUUUAUGUUCAUCUGUUUCACUAGCUUUUGGUAUGAGUUAUUAUUUCAUAUUACUUUUGUUUCAAAGUUUUGUUGUCUACAAACUUAUUCGUACUGAAGGCGAUACCAAAGAAUACUCAGAGGGAAACGUCGGAUUGCUUAAUUCCUUAUUUGAUUGGAUCCUUUUCAGCUCUAGAAACAGAGAAGGUAUAUCACUACUAUUUAAUCUUUUUCUUUAUUUGUAUAGAUCUUUACUCGUAAUCAAAAUGUUUAACUAUAAGUCAUACCAUUGCUUUAGAGUUCAGUCGAUCUCUUACACUGUCCUAACUAGUUUCCAUAUGAAGUUCGUUCUCAAAAUGCAAAGAAAUCCCGUGACUUUACUGACAUACGCAAAAGGAAGAGACUGCUGGAGAGUAGGGAUGAAGAAGAACAAUAUAACAAAAAAGCAGGUUAGGUCUGCCCCCUAUUGUGGAAAACACAAUGUCAUAUACUUGUUUGCAAGAAUGUUUUGUUAUAAAUUUGAAGGCUGUCCUUAAUAGCUAUCGAUCAGUGAGCUUGGACUUUGGCAACUUGAAUAGCGAUGAGAAGCUUUCUUAUGAAAAGUGUAUAUAAUUUUUGGAAAUUUUUUAAUUUUACCCCCGACUUAGAAUGGCAAUCUUCAAUUUACCUUACAAAAAUGUGAAAAUAUCAAUUUUCAAAAAAAAAAAAAAAUUGAUAGGUUAAGUGUUCUGACCAAAAAAUUUGAUAGGUUAAGUGGUGGAUUCAAUUAAUUGCAUUAUUUUGACCCAAAAAAAAAAAACCACUUCUAUUUGAGUGCUUUAUAGGUUAAGUGUUGUGCACAUACCGAAUUGAGAGCCACAGGUUAUACAUCGCCAACUCUUUCUCAUCCCUUCAUCAUAAAAUUUAUUUCUUCUACUAAAUAAAAUGAUAGAUUUUCUAUCGGGAUUGAUCUAUAGCAUUAGAAAUUUUUGUAGCACACCUGCAUGCUUCACGUGCUUGCUCAUAAGCCAAACGUGGCUUGUUGAAUUGGAAGCAGCCAGCUGCAUGCUUCACUUGCUUGCUUGAAUCGGUGCUUAUAUAUAUUAAAAAUUGAGAGCUGCUUGGUUGAAUUCGGUGGUUGUUCGUUGGCUUUAUAAAGUGUUAAAUAUUGACAGCUGCUUCAUUUAUCAAGUUGCAACCCAGAGGAAAGCAGAGACAGAAGAAAACAAAAGAAAAAGAGAGAGAAAGAAAAGAAAAGAAAAGAAAAGGUAAAUAAGAAGAAAGAAAAACCGAGAGAAAAAGAGAAGAAAAGAGAAGAAAAAGAAAAGAAGAAAAAAAAUUAAAAGAGAGGAGGUAAGCGGAGAGUGAAGAAAAAUAGAAAAAGGAAGGGAAAAGGAGAAAAGAAUUAAGAAGCCGAGAGUGGGAAAAGAAGUUUAAAAAAUAUAUAUUGGACAGUUAGAUUAAUUUCUAGUAAAUUAGUGGAUAAUAAAUUUAUGAAAUUCAAACAAUUAUGUUAUAGUUUUCAUGAUACAUAUCAAUUUUUAUAUCAAUUCUAACAAUUUUAUUUUAUAACCCUAUGUUUUACGAGAAAUUCAAGUACCCCGGAACCCACAGGAGCUCCAAUGAAUUCUAGAGUAAAACAAGACAUGUGAGUGAAUUACUAUUGUGUGUUCUAUGACGCAUUUACGUUUGAUAGUAUGAUUUAGUAUCGUAUUAUGAUUAUAUACAUGCACAUUAUAUGACUGAUUAAUCAUUAGAUGUGAUUGAUAAUCACCAUAUGUGUACCUUUCCUGAUAUGCUCUACGUGCAUAUUGAGAACUAGGAUACUGUACGUGUGUAAUGUAGUUAAAUUCCACUGGGUAUUGAGAGGUUUUUCCUCGCUCUACUUGUCCGAUGAUGAAUAAAGGAGAAAAACUAUUUUAUGAAAAACGCAUGGUACAGUAUUAAGAAUACUAUAAUUAAUUAAUGAAAAAUCAAUUUAAUUAUAAUUAAUUUAAUUAUAAGCAUAGUAUAGUAUUAAGAAUCAACACAAAAGCAGCCAGGUAGAGUUGCAUUGAACUCACAUUUUUAGCAUGAUGGUUUGAAAAAUCAAUUUAGAGAUCGACACAAAAAUACGAAGCAUUCAUUGUCUUUUAAAAUAAUUCAAAAAUGUAUUCCUAGAUAUAGUUUUGAAAUAUAUCAAAUUCGACAGAUAAUUAUAUAAUUUCAACUUGAUAAUAGAUUUUUAAAACUAUAUCUAGGAAUGCUAGUAAAAGAAACAUGUAGUAAAUCGUUGUGUAUGCUUCCUUUGACAAUCCAAGCGUUUAAACUCUACUUAUAGCGUACGCUUUUGAGUGGAGUGGUAUCUUAACAUAAUACGCUAGCCAGGUUAAUCAGUUAGCCUUGUUUUCAAAUUCCCACAUUGGAACUUUAGAAUCCAAUUUGAGAAAGUUUAAACAAAACUAGAGUAGAGAUUUAUCUAUAAUGUUGGAAUUUGAUAAAAAAAAAAAAAGGAAUAUAAAACCCAAAACUUGUGGUUAAAUUAGUUAAAACUUUAAAAUCUAAUAUGAGAAAGUUUAACCAAAGAAUAGAGACUUAUGUAUAAUAUUAAAAUUUGACCAAAAAAAUAGGAACAUUAACCCAAAGCUAGUGGUUAAUUAAUUGAACUUUGGAACCCAUAAAUGAGAAAGUUUAACUAAAACUAAAUACUUAUCUAUAACGUUGAAAUAUGAUGAAAAAAUACGAACAUGAAACCCAAAGCCUAUAGUUAAAUUAGUUGGAAUUUAGAACUAAAUAUUUAACCAAGACUAGAGACUUGUGUAUAAAGUUGAAAUUUGACCCAAAAAACAGAAACAAGAAAAAACCCUUUAUCAUCCUUAGGGUUUCAUGCAAUAGUCUAUUUCAUCCCUACUCUUUAAACAAUAGCCCAAAACAUCAUUUUGUUAACUCAUGGUUAGUUAAAUGUCAUUUGUUAGUAAUUCAUUGAGAUUAAAAAAGGAUUUUCCAUUAAAGAGAAAAUUAAAAAAAUAAAUAAAAUUUGACAUAUAAUUAAAAAUAAUUUUUAUCUAAUCCCACUAAACAUGAAAUGCCAAAAAGAUGAAAAACUUAUAUUUCAAGCAAUUAUUUUGCACUCCUCUUUAUUUUGUUGGCAUGAAAGUCCUAUAAACUCUAGAUCUAAGUACCAAAAAUAAUCACAAUUUUCAUAUUCGUUUAAGCGUACUCUCUAAUUGCACUAUGAGCGGACUUAAGUAGAUAGUGGUAAGGACUUGAGGAAACAAUAAUGGUCAAAGAAGAGUGGUGGUAAAGCUCAAAAUAAAAAUUUAUUGAAGAUUAAGAAGAUAUUUAACAUAUGCAAGCACACAAAAAUUGAUUGUGUUUUUGAGUUUUUUUCCAAUGAUUUAAAGAUAUUGUGUUAAUUAUGGUUUAUUACUUAUGAUAAUUAUUUAGUGGCUAUAUCAAACUAUUUCAUCAUUGAUUUCAUUUAAGAAUAAAUUAAUGAUUUUUGCAUAUUUUGUAGUGUUAUUUAAUUGUGUAAAAAAUUUAUUUUAAUAUAGUUUGUAUCGCAUUAAUUAAAAAUCUUGUUUUGCUCUCAAUGAAUUACUAGUUAAUGGCAAAAAAAUAAUAGUGAGUUAGCAGAAGAAUGUUUUGAACUUUUGUUUAAAAAGUAGGGAUGAAGUGAGCUAUUGCGUGAAACCUUAGGGAUGAAAAAGGUUUUUUCCCAUAGAAACAUGAAUCCCAAAACUAGCAACUAAUUAGUUGGAACUUUAGAACCCGUAUGUGAGAAAGUUUAACCAAAACUAAAUAUUUAUCUAUAAUGUUAGAAUCUGAUAAAAAAAUCAAAACAUGAAAAUUGGAAUUUUAGAACCCAAAAAUGAGAAAAUUUAAUCAAAAUUAGAGACAGAUGAAAUCAAUUUGGAACAACUACCCAACACAUUGGUAUUUAACCAAAAGUAGGAAUAUAAUUAUGUUAUCAUUUUUUCAUAAUUUAUUUUAUUAUAUUUAAAUAAAAUCUAUUAACAUAUUUGUAUCAUUCAAUAUCUUAUCCUAAUUUAUAAUUUUCCUUAUUUUAAUAUGAUUUCUAGUAUAUUUUUUCAACGAAAACAAAUUAAUUGAAUGGAUAACCAGUAAAAUGCCGGCUCUCCAGGUCGCAAAAGCAGGCUGUAUGUCAUACAGUACUGCACAGUAAGAUGACCUGAAGGGUAAAACUGAAAAUAUUCUAUCAAACACAAAAUUAGUGAACCAAUAAGUUGAAAUAUAUGAACCUAUAAAUUAAAAAAAUUAACCAAAAUCAAGAACUAGUCUAACAAAAAAAAUGGUAUUUAACCUAAAUAAUUGAAAUCUUAUCAAGUUAAUUGGAAUAUUAAAUACAAAACUAGUGGAAUAAUAGUUAAAAUAAAUAAACCCAUAAAUGAGAAAGUAUAACCAAAAUUAUGGGCUUAUUUAACCAAAAAUAAAAUUAUUAAAGUAAAUUUUGUACUUCAUCCAAAUAAUUGGAAUAUUACCAAGUUAGUAGGAAACAUUCAACAUAAAAAUGAUAGAAUAAUUAGUUGAAACAUGUAAAACAAAAGGGGAGAAAGUUUAACCAAAUUUAGGUACUUAUCAACGAGAAAUGAAUUUACUUGGAAUCUAACCUAAAAUAUUAAUAUUUAAUGAGUUUAGUAGGAAUAUUGAACACAAAGCUAGUGGAUUGGGAAGUGGAACAAAUGAACCAAUUAAUAAGAAUGUUUAACCUAAAUUAGGGGCAGAUGAAAUUAGCUUGGAACGUCUACCUAAUAUAUUGAUUUUUAACCAAAAGAAUUAGGAGAUGAUUAUUUUAUAUUUUUUUACAUUCAUUUAAAUUAAAAAUACUUUCUCACACAAAUAUCUUUUUACUAAUUAUUUAUAAAUUUCCUUCAUUUUUCAUUUUAUUUUGUAAUAAUAAAAAAAGUUUUUAAAGCAAGAUGAAAAAGAUUGGGGGUCAUAACAAUAUGUUAUUAUUUUCUUGAAAGUUGAUAUUUCAUAAAAUAAAAGGGGGUUCAAAUAUAUUUUGCCUUAUCAAUAUUAUUGUUAAUAAAAAAAUGAACUUGGAACACCUAUAUAUAAUAUUGGAAUCUAAUUGGAAAACAAAAGGGAACAUGAAGGUUGAAAUUUUAGAACCGAAAUAUGAGAAAGUUUAACAUAAACUAAAUACUUAUAUAUAGUAUUGGAAUUUGAUUUAAAAAAAUGGGAACAUGAAAGUUGGAAUAUUAGAGUCUAAAGAUGAGAAAGUUUAACCAAAAUUAGAGACUUUAUAUUGUUGGAAUUUGACCAAAAAAAAAAAAAUAGGAACAUGAAACCCAAAAUUGGUGAUUAAUUAGUUGGAACUUUAUAAACCAAAAAUGAGAAAUUUAUAACUAAAAUUAGAGACUUAUCUAUAAUGUUGGAAUGUAUAAAAAAAAUUGAAUAUAAACAAAAACUAGUGGUUCAGUUAAUUGGAACUUUAGAAUCCAAUUUGAGAAAGUUUAAACAAAACUAGAGAUUUAUCUAUAAUAAUGGCAUUUAAUAAAAAAAUUAGGAAUAUGAAACCCAAAACUUGUGGUUAAAAUAGUUGAAAUUUAGAACCUAAUAUGAAAAAGUUUAACUAAAGACGAGAGACUUAUGCAUAAUGUUGAAAUUUGACCAAAAAAAAUAGGAACAUGAACCCAAACCAGUGACUAAUUAAUUGGAAUUUUGGAACCCAUAUAUGAAAAAGUUUAACCAAAACUAAAUGCCUAUAUAUAAUGAUGGAAUAUGAUGAAAAAAUGGGAACAUGAAAUCCAAAGCCUAUAGUUAAAUUAGUUGGAACUUUAGAAUUAAAUAUAAAAAAGUUUAACCAAGACUAGAGACUUAUGUAUAAUGUUGAAAUUUGACCAAAAAAUAGAAACAUGAAUCCCAAAACUAGCUAUUAAUUAGUUGGAAGUUCAGAAUCAGCAUGUGAGAAAGUUUAACCAAAACUAGGUAUUUAUCUAUAAUUGUUAGAGUGCAAUUUAUGCAUUAGUUUUGCAUUGUUUACUUCCCUUAAUAUCGAUGUUUUGCACUUAAUAAUAGUGAUUUACUUGUGUUUUACUUUUGUAGGUGCAAUUCUAUUGAUUGGUGAUAAAAUUGAGCUAUAAGAUGAUGUUUAAGGAUGAUUGUUCUCUUGGAGAAAUUAUGAGCGUCAGAAGAACUUUGUUGAUAAGGCGUGGGCGCGUGCUGUCAACUGCGGACCUGCAGUUUUUAGUUUAACGUGUUGUGUAUUUUUGGUUAUUUUUGUAAUUACGAAUUUAAUAUUUCAGAUAUUAGUAUUUUAUUUUAAAUAGAAUUCUAAAAGAGAAGAGAGUGAGAGUAUUUAAGGGAGGAAUCUAUUGUGAAAAAGGGGAGAUUGGGGAGAAGAGAAAGAAACCCUAGAUCUAAACUUUUCUCUUCUCUCUAUGAAGAACUAAAUCUAUUUUUCUGAUUGAAGGAUAAUAAAGCUUUGAUUCAUCACUACUGUAAGAUCUAUUUUAUGCUUUAAUUGUUUUAUUACUUUUUGGGUAUUUAUUUAUUCUCUGAAUUAUUUUCAUGAUUAUGUUUGUUAAUUAGGUAAUUGGCCACUAUUUAAUUAUCAACUUAAUCUAUUGUUAAUUAAAGGAUUCAUCGUAUGAAGAUUUUAAUGUUUGUGACAAAUAACAUAGCAGUGAGUUGUGUUAUGAGAAUAAACAAUCUAAUUUAAAUGAAUCAUCGUAUGUGUUGAUUAGGAUUUGGGUCUCUCUGGUCUUUCAGGCUGUCAAUUGAUUAAAUCCUAUGAUCGUAUUUAGGGUUGUCUAUUGAUUAGGGAAAUAGCCAACGGUCGUACCUUGGUUAUCGACUAGUUAAGGAGAGAUUGGUUAUUAGAGGGUCUCAGUAGCUAUAACCGGUCUAUUCAUAAAUAAUAAUAAUCUAUAUUUGAAUCAAUUAUCAGUAGUCGAAUCAAGCUGAAUUAAUUCCUUCAACCAGAGCUUUCUCCAAUUUGAAUUACAACUUUAAUUUGCAUUCUUGUUAUUUUAAUUUGAUUUUUAUUAUUGUCAACAAAACCCCCAUUUUAUGUUUUACGUUUUAAAAGGAUUUAAAUAAUUACCGAUCUCUGUGGACACGACCCUGCUCAAUCACUAUACACAAUUUAUUUAGAGUAGGAAUUUAUUUUUGUUGGCUUCGACAACCAUCAAUAAUGUUGGAAUCUGAUCAAAAAAUCAGAACAUGAAAGUUGGAACUUUAGAACCCAAAAAUGAGAAAGUUUAAUCAUAACUAGAAAUUGAUAAAAUCAAUUUAGAACAAGUACCCAAUACAUUGGUAUUUAACCAAAAGUGUAAGAAUAUAAUUAUUUUAUAAUUUUUCAUAAUUUAUUUUAUCAUAUUUAAAAUAAAAUCUACCAACAUAUUUUGUAUCAUUCAAUAUCUUAUCUUCAUUUAUAAUUUUCUUUAUUUUAAUUGAAUGGAUGAGUAUAACCGGUAAAAUACCGGCUUUCCAGGUCGCAAAAGCAGGCUGUAUGUUAUACAGCACUGCACAGGAGGAUGACCUGAAAGGUGAAACCGAAAAUAUUCUAUCAACUUUAAAAAGGAUGAAGAAAAAAAAAAUCGGUGAAAUUGUCACGCCCUUUCUUGGAAGAAUCAAAGAAAGUGUUUGGCUAUUCUUAUUAUUAUUAUUUUUUGGGUGUUCCCCACAAAGCUUAAUUUAGUUGAAUGGAAAUUAAAUAUUUAAAUAGUACCAAAAGGUAUUGAAUAUUGAUGAGGUACCAAAUUUUGAAUUUUUCUAUUUUUUUAUACCCAAAUUUUAGUCAAAGUUCAGAUAAUUACUUUUAAUUAAUUAAUUUAUUACCAAAAAAAUAAGUAAUUUGAUAUCAACACAAUAUCUUGAAAUUCCUCCGCAACGAAUCAUAUAAGGAGCUUCCAAGAAAUUAUAGGAUGGACAUGAAAGAGGAAAAAGAAAAUUUUUGGACCCACCGUCUUGAAAUCUCAUUUGAUUUCCAACUAAUUUCCGCGGCAUAUUCGCGCUAAUCUCCGCGUUUUACUUUUUAUCAUGACUGUGGGCUACUCGAUCCAUCGCCUCAUUGAAAUUGUUGUAUCUACGUUACAAAAUAAAAACGAAAACCAAUAAAUAGCAGAUAGUAAUCCACUUUACAAAAUUAUUAUCACAUCCCAAAUCAAUUUUCUAAUCAUCAAAAUCUCUAAUCAAUUGAACUGUUUCUGUAAGUUGUUAUGGCUUCUUCUUCUUCUUCUCGUCCAUCCAGCAGUUUGAGUUCGAUGAAUAAUCCUCGAAACAAUAAGUAUGAUGUUUUUCUUAGUUUCAGAGGAGAGGAAACCCGUGACAGCUUUACUAGCCAUCUUUAUUCGGCUUUGUGUGAAACGAAUAUUGAAACUUUCAUUGAUGACCAACUCGUCAGAGGAAAUGAAAUCUCACAGUCUCUUCUUGAUGCAAUUGAAGCAUCAAGCAUAUCAGUUAUCGUAUUCUCUGAAGGGUAUGCUUCUUCCAGAUGGUGCCUGGAUGAACUUUUAAAGAUCCUCGACUGGAGGAAAGAGUAUGCACAGAUUGUGAUACCAGUUUUCUAUCGGGUCGAUCCAUCACAUAUGAGAAAGCAAAUAGGGAAUUUUGGGGAUUCAUUUUCGAAGCUUAAAGAAAGAUUUCCAGACAAGAUGCAAAGUUGGAGGAUUUGUCCGGAGUUGGUUUGAUAAUUAUCUUGAUUGGUUAGAAUAUAGUAUUGUAAAGGAUGCAGCUUUUUGUCUUUAUUGUUAUGUUUUCAGAGAAGAAAAUGGUAGUCAAGGGGCUGGUCCAUGCUUUACUGGUGAAGGGUUUAGAAAUUGGAAGAAAAAAGAAAUGUUGAGACAACAUGUUGGUGGCGUAAAUAGUGCUCAUAAUAUAGCUAGGCGUCGUUGUGAAUCAUUGAUGAAUCAAAAGGCACAUGUUGCUACAUUUUUCUUUAACCAUUCUAAAAAAAUUAAAAGGGAGUACCGACUUUGUUUAACUGCUGUAAUUGACUGCAUUCGGUUUCUUUUGAGACAAGGCCUUGCAUUUCGUGGUAAUAAUAAAUCUCAAAGCUUAGAUAAUAGAGGAAACUUUCUUCUUGCUAAUCACAAUGAGGAAAUUAAAGGUGUUAUUUUCAACAAUGCUCCAGCAAAUCUCCAAAUGACAUCCCCUGAUAUUCAGAAACAAAUUGUAAGUGUUUGUUCAGCUGAAACUUCUAGAGCUAUCAUUAAAGAAAUUGGUGACUCUUUAUUUUCUGUUAUGAUUGAUGAAUCUCGUGACAUAUCCACAAAAGAGCAAAUGGCAGUUGUGUUGCGUUAUGUGGAUAAAAGAGGACAUGUGGUUGAGCGUUUUAUUGGUAUUGAACAUGUUAUUGAUACUAAAGCUGUCUCUCUCAAAGCAUCACUCGACAUAGUAUUUGCUAGACAUGGAUUAAGCAUGUCUAGGUUGCGUGGGCAAGGAUAUGAUGGUGCUAGUAACAUGCAAGGGGGACUUAAUGGUUUGAAAACACUCAUUCUAAAAGAGAAUGAAUCAGCUUAUUACAUUCAUUGUUUUCCCAUCAAUUACAGUUGGCCCUUGUUUUUGUGGCAAAAAAGCACCAAGAAGUUAAUGAUCUGUUCAGUUUAGUUGCUAAAGUUAGUAACAUUGUUGCAGCCUCGUCUAAACGAUAUGAUAUCCUUAAAGAGAAGCAUGUUGUUGCAGUUAUUGAAGCACUUAAAACGGGUGAGCUUAAAAGCGGACAAGGCAUGAAUCAAGAGAUUACUUUAAAGCGUUCUGGCGACACACGGUGGAGCUCACAUUACGGUACAUUAAUAAGCAUUAUUACCAUUUUCUCAUCCAUAAUUGAUGUGCUUGAGAUUAUUGCAAAUGAUGCAUCAAAUUCUGAGCAAAGAUUUGAAGCAAAUUCAACCUUGAAGUUCAUGCAAACAUUUGAUUUUGUGUUUACUUUAUACUUGAUGAAAAAUAUUCUUGGUUUUGCAAAUGAAUUGUCACAAGCAUUACAAAGGAAAGAUCAAGAUAUUGUGAAUUCCAUGAAAUUAGUUAGCAUUUGCAAACUAGGUCUACAGAGGAUGAGGAAACAUGGAUGGAAUUCUUUGCUUAUUCAAGUUUCUUCAUUUUGUGAGAAACAUUUUAUUAGUGUUCAUGUCAUGGAAACUAUGUUUCUAACACCUGGAAGAUCAAGGCGUAGAGCACAAGAGAUCACAAAUAUGCAUCAUUAUCGCAUUGACCUAUUUUGUGCUAUUUUGGAUAUGCAACUUCAAGAGUUAAACAGUCGUUUUAAUGAGGUAAACACUGAAUUACUUCUUUGCUUGGCUUGUUUAUGUCCAAAAGAUUCAUUUGCAGCUUUCAAUAAAGAAAAGUUAUUGCGUCUUGCUCAACUUUAUCCAAAAGAUUUUUCUCAAGUUGAUCUCAUGGCACUAGAUACUCAACUUGAUAUUUACAUAAUGGAUAUGCAGUCUAGUGUUGAGUUUUCAGAAUUAAAUGGGAUUGGUGAUCUUGCACAGAAAAUGGUUGAGACUAACAAGCACAAGGUGUUUUCAUUGGUCUAUUUAUUAGUCACAUUAGCAUUACUUCUACCAGUUGCCACUGCCACUGUUGAAAGAGUUUUUUCAGCAAUGAAUUAUGUGAAGAAUCGACUACGAAGUCGAAUGGGAGAUGAAUGGUUGAAUGAUAAUCUAGUUGUGUACAUUGAAAAAGAUGUAUUUGAUUGUAUUGAUAAUGAAAUUAUUUUACAGCAUUUUCAACACAUGAAAUCCCAUCGAGGAAUUCUUGAUUAGAACAAUUGUAAUAAGUUAAUUUAUUGUUAAUUUAUAUUACACUUGUGACUCUAUUUACUGUUAUCUAAAUUUUCAAAAUUUAUUCUCAAUUUAUAUUAUAUUGCGAUUUUUUGUGUUGUGAUAUAAAUUCUUAAAAUUAUACUAUAUUUUUAAUGUGCCCCAGAUCAAUUAAAUUUCUGGUUACGUCCCUGUUUUAAUCUAUACAAUGUUAUUGAGUAAUGAUCUAGUGGGCAAUAAUGCUCAUCUUAUGGAGAGCGAGAGUGGCACAUCGCAUUGCUUAAUUAAUCCGCAGCGUUAACGCUAUUCACUGGGAGUUGUAGAAUUCUGCCACAUCCAAAUGCUCAUCCAUAUGGUGGGCACUAGUGCUCACUAGAUCAUCGUUCCAAUGCUAUAUUGUUAAUUUUUUAUUUAAAAUUAAAUUUAACAACAUUUUUUCAAAAUUAUGAUCUUUGGUACUGGGAGAUUUUUUCCAAAGUUCAGGUCGAGUAUUAUUACCUGGGAAUGAAAUUCCAAAGUGGUUUAGCUUUCAAAGUUUGGGAUCUUCUUCUAUAACCUUGAAGAUGCCACCUGUAGGUUGGUUCAGUAAUAACAAAGUGAUUGGCUUUGCUUACAGCGCUGUUGUAGGAUUUCGAGACCAUCAUGUCAAAGAGAAGAGGUGGUUUAACUUGUUCUGUGAAUUCAUGAAAGCCAAACCUGAAGAUUGUACUGAGCUACUGGUCAGACGGAGUUCUCUAAGGGGAUUUAAUUAUGUAGAGUCAGAUCACUUACUUUUGGGGUACUAUUUCUUUGGUGAGCAUGAUUUUAGUGCUUUCCGGAAACACAACUGCGAUCAUGUGGCAGUCAAGUUCUAUUUAGAGGAUGAUCGUAAUCAACGUGAACGUUUGGAUUGUUGCCCGGUGAAAAAAUGUGGGAUUCAUUUAUUGUACGCCCCUGAUUCUACGGAACCCACAGAAGAUCCAAGGGGUACUCUCGAUUUAAAUAUUCUUUAAGAUAUCAUAGUAGCUGCUACUUUUCAGUAAAUUAAUAAAUCUUAUAUUCAUAAACCUUGUUUUGCUAGCUUGGUUUCUUUUCCUUCUAUCUGUUUUUAUUACUUUUCUUUAAUUAUUUUCUUCCCAUAUAUAAAUCAUUGGCUUCAAAUAUUCAUAGGGAGAUACUUGUUUUCCUUGAAUUGCCUCGUUGCAGUAUUGAACAACUUUCGGAGAGCGUCCAGGUGUGCAAUGUCAAUAAUAUUUAAUUAUCAUACACGCUACUGAUUUGCAUGUAAUGGCUUCUUUUUUGGUGAAAGCAGAAUAAUUCAUUGGUAACGCUUGAUUAAUCUCUGGUUAUAGUACUCAAUAGAUUUAGUGAGACAUUUCGUCAAACAGGUAGGUUGUAAAAAUUAUAUAGACUAUGGUAAAAAAUUUGAAUUAGGAUAUAGAGAUACAAACACGGGAAAAAACAACAUGAAGACAAUACAAUAGAAAUUAAAUAGAGCAGGUAGUGAACCAAUAAUACAACUUAACCCGCACUCAUAAAAAUUAUAAAUUACUAAACUCACCCAUAAUUGGCAGUAGGUUUUUUAUUUAUUUUUUUAAAAAAGUCCAUCUAUUGUGGGUUUUAGGGGUGGCAAAAAUAUUUGUCUGAUCUGGACUCUGGCGAUGUGGGCCGGAUAAUUCUAAGCCUGGGUAUGAAGCUAGACUUGUCUUGAGUAUCACUUUAUAAACCCAAGACCCGGCCCAAAACCCAAAUUUUAUUAAAAAAAUAUUAUAAAAUAUAUAUUAUUUUUAAUAUUUAUAUUUAUUUGACCGAUCUAUUACAUAUAGAUAAAGUUUUAAAUAUUUGAAGUUUAAAUUUUCAUGUUUGAUUUCAUUGAAAUAAAUUUAAAAAUUAUAAAAUUAUAAAAAUACAUAUAUAAUAAUAAAAAAGUACAAAAUACGAGGUACAAAAACCUGAAUUAAAAAACCUGGAUCGGGUGUUUAAAAAUUGAGUAAUGAUACAGCCACAAACUCUUGUACAAAUUUAUUUUGUACAAACUGACGUGGUAUUAAUUCAUUGGUUGAAUGAAAAUAUAAAAUAAUAAAAACAAAUCAUGUGGGCCAAAUGAUAUUUAAUUCAACCAAUCUUAUCAUGUCACAUCAGUUUGUACAAAAUAAAUUUGUAUAAGAGUUUGUGGCUAUAUCAUUACUCUUAAAAAUUACAUCAGGGAACCGAGAUUUAACAAUCAACAAACUAACCUAUAGCGCGCAGUAAAUUUUUUUUAUAAGUUUUCUUAUUUAAAAUCACAAAUAUAUAAAAAAAAACACUUUUAAUAAUACAUAAAAAAUUAAAUUAAGUGAUUCAAAUAUAAAUUUAUAACCAUAGCCUAAAAAAUCCGCAUACAAAACUCAAUUCUAGAUUUUACCAAUAAAAAUAAGAAAUUAAAAUUCCAACAUUAAAAAAAAAACAAAAUAUACUAAAUCUGACUUACAAAAUAAAAAAGAAAAACAAUAAAUAGCUGAUAGUAAUCUACUUUACAAAAUUAUUAUCAUAUCCCAAAUCAAUUUUUUAAUCAUCAAAAUCUCUAAUCAAUUGAAUUGUUUCUGUAAGUUGUUAUGGCUUCUUCUUCUUCUUCUUCUCGUCCAUCCAGCAGUUUGAGUUCGAUGAAUAAUCCUCGAAACAAUAAGUAUGAUGUUUUCCUGAGUUUCAGAGAAGAGGAAACCCGUGAUAGCUUUAAUAGCCAUCUUUAUUCAGCCUUGUGUGAAACGAAUAUCGAAACUUUCAUUGAUGACCAACUCGUCAGAGGAAAUGAAAUCUCACAGUCUCUUCUUGAUGCAAUUGAAGCAUCAAGCAUAUCAGUUAUCGUAUUCUCUGAAGGGUAUGCUUCUUCCAGAUGGUGCCUCGAUGAACUUCUAAAGAUCCUCGAUUGCAGGAAAGAGUAUGCACAGAUUGUGAUACCAGUUUUCUAUCGGGUCGAUCCAUCACAUGUGAGAAAGCAAAUUGGGAGUUUUGGGGUUUCAAUUUCGGAGCUUGAAAAAAGAUUUCCAGACAAGAAGCAAAGUUGGGGGAGUGCUUUAACUGAAGCAGCCAAUCUCUCUGGCUUUGAUUCUCAUGUCUUCAGGUAACAGUCAAUUUAUUACCAAUUUUAUAAUUAUUUUUAUUUACUCAAGUUCUAGUAUUAUAUAAAUAAUUUUAAAAUCAAAAAACUCUGUCUCAAAUCCGAACUAAUUAAAAACUCUCCUUUUUGUCUCUUUUUGAACUUAAUACUAUGUUUCUUGUAUUUGCUAGGAAUGAAUCUGAACUUAUAAAGACAGUUGUUGAUGAGAUUUUGGAGAGGCUGCCUAAAGUGGUUCCAUUUGAUAACAAAAAUCAGCUAGUUGGAGUAGAAUCAAGAGUUGAGGAGCUUGAAUCUCUAUUAGCUGCUGCACCUAUAUUAGGGAUUUGGGGCAUCGGUGGUAUAGGCAAGACAACAAUUGCUAGGGUGAUUUUCAACAAAAUCUCCAGAAAUUUUGAAGGUUCUUGCUUCCUUCAAAAUGUAAGAGAAGAAUCGCAGAGCCCUGGUGGAUUAGCUAGGUUGCAGCAAAAACUUUUUAACGAAGUAUUGAAGGAUGUAAAUGUGAUUCCUGAUAUUGACUUCAACUUUAGGAGGCUCAGCCGCAGGAAGGUUCUGAUUGUUCUCGAUGAUGUGACUAGCUUCAGCCAAAUAAAAUCCUUCAUCAGAGUUUCUGAUUGGUUUCUGCCUGAAAGUCGUCUCAUACUGACCACAAGAGAUCAACAAGUCCUUAAAAAUUGGGUUGUGAAAGAGAGAGACAUUUAUGAGAUGAAAGAAUUAGAACACGAUCAUGCCCUUGAGCUUUUUAGUCGACAUGCCUUCAAACAAAACUGUCCUCCUGAAGUAGGUUAUAAGGAAUUGUCAGAGGUUGUAAUAAAUUAUGCUCAAGGUGUUCCUUUAGCACUGGAAAUUUUGGGUUGCUAUCUAUUUGGAAGGGAAAAGGAAGUUUGGGAAAGCGCAAUAAACAAAUUGAAAAGAAUUCCUAAUGUGGAGAUACAAAAUGUGCUAAAAGUAAGUUUCGAUGAUCUGGAUGAUGAAGAGAAAGAUAUUUUUCUAGACAUUGUUUGUUUCUUUAAAGGGAAAGAUAAAGACUUCAUUAUAAAAUUUCUUAAUGCUUGUGGCUUUGAUGCACAAAUAGGAAUAAGUGAUCUUGUCAAUAAGUCUCUUAUUGUCAUACACGACAACAAAAUAACAAUGCAUGAUCUGUUACAAGAAAUGGGUAGGGAAAUUGUCAGGCAAGAAUCUGUGAAAAAUCCAGGAGAACGCAGUCGGCUGUGGCACCAUGAGGAUAUUAUUGAAGUUUUGACCUUUAAUACGGUAAGCAUUUUGUUUGAGACUUUAUAUUAUUUGUGAAUGCUAUUGGAUUUGUAAACUUUACUUAUAAUUAUGUAUAAGUACAUGGAAUAUAAGAUCAAUAGAAGAACUGGCAAUAAUAAAAAGGAAAAAAAAAAUUGCAAUGUCAAUUUACAACUAAAAGUCUGGCAAACAGACAGAGAUACGUUACAAUGUCAAUUUACAUCUAAAAGUAUGGCAAACAAACAUAGAUACUUUAUAUGUUUAGUAUUGUUUGUAUUACUAUGUUUCUUUCGUACAUAGGCAUGUCCAUACUUCAUGGAUACUUUAUAUGCUUAGUAUUGUUUGUAUUACAAUGUUUCUUUUGUACGUUGGCUUUCAAUUAACUUGAACAUUAAUUUAAAUUUGAAUUUAACUUCCUGGUCUUUCAUUGAUUGUUAGGGGACCAAAAAAGUUGAGGGUAUCUGCUUUGAUAUGUCUAGAAUAAAAGAGAUCUAUCUGCAUCCAGAUACUUUCACAAAGAUGUGUAAAUUGAGAUUUUUGAAAUUCUAUAACUCUAAAGAUGAUGGAGAGAACAAAUGUAAGGUGUCUUAUUUGGUAGGACCUGGAUUUGCUGAAGUGAGGUAUCUUCACUGGUAUGGAUAUCCACUAAAAUCAUUGCCGUCAAAUAUUCAUCCAGAGAAACUUGUUUCAAUUGAAAUGCCUCAUGGUAAUAUUCAACAACUUUGGGAUGAUGUCGAGGUAUAUAAAAUCUUAAUAUUUAUGCAAUGUUUCAGUAAUAAUGUUUAAUUAUUUAUCGUACUUAAAUGCUAACAAUUUGUAUGUCUGGGCUUCUAAUUUUUUUGGAGCAGCAUAAUGGUAAGUUAAAGCAGAUAAUAAGCCGGGCCUGCAAUUUUUUCACCAAAUCUCCAAACCACUCGUUGACCCUGCAUCUGGACAAGCUAGUUAACCUCAAUCUAAACAAUUGCAAAAGCUUGAGAAUUCUUCCAGCUGGAAUAUUUCGUUUGGAAUUUCUUAAAGAACUUGAUCUUUGGGGCUGCUCAAAACUAAAAACACUUCCAGAGAUAUCAUCAGCUGGUAAUAUAGAAGUGAUGUAUUUAAAUGGAACUGCAAUUGAAGAACUGCCUUCAUCCAUAGAAUGUCUGUCUCGGCUUUCGGCCUUAUACCUUGAUAAUUGUAAAAGGCUGAAGAGUCUCCCAAGCAGCCUAUGUAAAUUGAACUCUCUGAACUUUAUUUAUCUCAGGUGGUGCUCAAGUCUUAAGAGUUUGCCUGAUGAACUUGGAAAUUUAGAAGCUUUGGACAGUUUGAUUGCUGAAGGAACUGCUAUAAGAGAAGUGCCGUUGUCCAUUGUUGGUUUGAACAAUUUUGAUGGCUUGCAAAAUCUGACGUCUUUAUAUCUAACUGAUUGCGGCAUCACGGAGUUACCUGAAAAUCUCGGUCAGUUAUCCUUGUUACGUGAAUUGUAUCUAGAGAAAAACAAUUUUGAGAGAAUACCAGAGAGCAUCAUACAUCUUUCUAAGUUGGCAUAUCUUAAAUUGAGUUAUUGUGAGAGGCUUCAAUCCUUACCAAAGCUUCCAUGCAAUCUAAGUGAGUUAGAUGCACAUCAUUGCACGGCACUGGAAUCAUCACCGGGUUUAGUAUUCCCAAGUCAUGAUCCUCAGUCUUUUAACCUAACAAAUAAUUUGAAAUUGGAUCGCAACGAGAUCUGGGAAAUUCUCGAAGAUGCUCUGCAAGAAAUUCAGGUUAUGGCAAUAGCACGUUGGAAACAAUUACCGGAAAUGGUAUGGAGUGUCUUUUAUGAUCCUUUUAAUCUAUACAAUGUUAUUGAGUAAUGAUCUAGUGGGUGAUAGUGCUCAUCUUAUGGAGAGCGAGAGUUGCACAUCGCAUUGCUUAAUUAGUCCACAGCCUUAACGUUAUUCACACAGGGAGUUGUAGAAUUCUGCCACAUAUCCAACUGCUCAUCCAUAUGGUGGACACUAGUACUCACUAGACUAUCGCUUCAAUGUUAUUUUGUUAAUUUUUUAUUUAAAAUUAUUAUCUUUGGUACAGGUAUAUUUUUUCCAAAGUUCAGGUCGAUGAUUAUUACCUGGAAAUGAAAUUCCAAUGUGGUUUAGCUUUCAAAGUCUGGGAUCUUCUUCUAUAACCUUGAAGAUGCCGCAUGCAGGUUGGUUCAGUAACAACAAAGUGAUUGGCUUUGCUUACAGCGCUGUUGUAGGAUUUCGAGACCAUCAUGUCAAAGAGAAGAGGCGGUUUCACUUGUUCUGUGAAUUCAUGAAAGCCAAACCCGAAGAUUGUACUGAGCCGCUGGUCGGACGGUGUUUUCUAUGGCAUUUUAAUUAUGUAGAGGCAGAUCACUUACUUUUGGGGUACUAUUUCUUUGGCGAUCAUGAUUUUAGUGCUUUCCGGAAACACAAUUUUGAUCAUGUGGCAGUCAAGUUCUAUUUAGAGGAUGUUAAUAAUCAACAUGAACGUUUGGAUUGUUGCCCGGUGAAAAAAUGUGGGAUUCAUUUAUUGUACGCCCCUGAUUCUACGGAACCCACAGAAGAUCCAAGGAGUACUCUCGAUUGAAAUGUUCUUUAAGACAUCACAGUAGCUGAUACUUUUCAGUAAAUUAAUAAAUCUUAUAUUCAUAAACCUUCUUUAAUUCUUUUCUUCCCAUAUAUAAAUCAUUGGCUUCAAAUAUUCAUAGGGAGAUACUUGUUUUCCUUGAAUUGCCUUGUUGGAGUAUUGAACAAAUUUAGGAGAGCGUCCAGGUGUGCAAUGUCAAUAAUAUUUAAUUAUCAUAGACGCUACUGAUUUGCUUGUCAUGGCUUCUUUUUUGGUGAAAGCAGAUUAAUUCAUCGGUAACACUUGAUUAGUCUCGGGUUAUAGUACUCAUAGAUUUGGUGAGACAUUUCAUCAAACAGGGAGGUAUAUGCAUCAAACAACUGGCUUUAACUGGCUUUAUGCCGGAAAAGGAUUGAAACUUUCAUUAAUAACAGUCUCUUACUAAAUAUAAUAAUAUACAAAAUGUUAGAAAAACAUUUAAAAGGGAAAAAGAAUAUAUAAAAGAAAUAAAGCUUGUAAAUGUUUUUUAUGCAGUAAAGAAGGACAUAUUAAAUCACAUUGCCUUGAGAGAAAAAAAAAAGUCAAUCAGUUAAAAGUAGACAGUUAUAAUACAAAAGAACAUGUUUUAGACAUAAAAAAAUUCUUAAUAUAGAUCAAUUAUUUGACAAUGAUAGUAUAUGUAUUAUUAGUAGUAGUGAAUCUGACACUAGUAGCAAUUAUUUGAUAAUGAUAGUAUAUGUAGUAUUAGUGGUAGUGAAUCAAACACUAGCAGCAGUUCAGGUUUAGAAUCAAACUCAGAAUUAGAAUCAGACUUAUAAAUUAAUGUUCUAGAAACUUACACAUUAUUUUAUGGUGAACAGACUGUGAAAAAAAAAAUUGAAUUAGGAUAUAGAGAUACAAACACAAGAAAAUUCUUUUGUAAUAAUUGUAAAGAUAAACAAAAAAAAAAAGAUAAUACAAUAGAAAUACAUAGAGCAGGUAGAAUUAUUAUUUAAAAAAGAAACGGUUUAUACUAAAGUAAUGAUAGACACAUGUGCAAAUAAAUAUAUUAUACAUGAUAGUUUAGUACCUAAAGAGAAUAUGAAUAAGUUUAGAAAUUCAGUAAAUAUUAGACAAUUUAAUGGUGAAUUAAUGCAAAUAACAGAAUGUAUAAAUAAUAUACCCAUAAGAAUAAAUGGAGAAACAUUCAUUUCUAAUAAAAAAGCUGGAUAUAAAUUUAUUUUAGGAUUAAACUUUAUAUUAGGAAAUAAUGGUAGCAUAUUAAUAACUCCAAAUGGAGUGAAUGUCUUUAAAAAAUCAACAUUUAUUCAACCUAAAUAUGUGACACACAUUUUUCUAUACAAAAAGAAAACUUUAAUGAUCGAAAAAGAUGUAGAUAUAGAAUUCUUUUAUUCUCUAUCAGAAGAAGAAAAAGUACAAAAAUCAAAAGAACUAGAAAACAAAAGUAAGCUAAAAGUAAAAAGUGAUAUGUAUGAAGUAGUAAUUUUAGAUGAUGAAGAAAUAGACAAGUAUUUAGAAGAUGUAACGAAUGUAGAAAAACAAGUAGAGUGUUUAGAACGUGAAAAGUGGCCUGAAGAAAUUAGGAAAAAGGCAGAAGAAUUAGAAAAAUUAGAGAUAACAGGUAACAUUCCAAUUAGAAAAUAGGGUUUAGCUACAAUGCAACUGUUGUUUCAUACCUUAUUUUUUUUGUCUAUUUGUGAUCCAACCAUUGCAUCCAACCCGAGAGUUGCAAAGGCUAUUCCAACAGUUUGGAUGUUAUUAUUUGGUUAUUAACGAUGUGGUCCCUUAUGUUUACUAAAAGAAUAAGAAAAGAUUAAAUUUUAAAAUUUGGACACAUUGGUCCGUUAAAUAUUUUAUUAUCAAAUGUAAUUUAGUAAACGAACAUAUUUAUAUAUUAAAAAUAUGGAUGGAUUAUUUUAACUUGCUAAAAUACUCUCCACUUCCAUUUACUUAAAAUACCAAUUAUAUUUUAAUAAUACUAUUUUGUAUUUAGUGUAAUACAAAAUUGGAUAAAGUUUUAUAUAAAUUUUGACAAUAUUAAAAUGAAAAAUAAAUAAAUAUUAAAUAAAUGCUUGGAUAGUCAUUUAAAUUCAUUAUAGAGUUUAUAAAUAAUAUUUUCAAAAUAAUAAAUUUCUAUAUGUAAAUUUGAGAUUAUGUAAAAUUACUUAUAUUUUAUCCCACGUAUGAAGCCGAUCAAUUAUUUAUUUAAUAUAAAAACAAAUAAAUUAUAUAAUAUUUAUUCUAUUACUUAAAUUUAGAAUUAUAAAGAAUGAAACUUAAAUUUAAAAUUGAUUGAGAAGGAGAUAGAGAGAAUAAAAUUUUUAGAAUUUUAAAACUAUUAUAUUUUAAUUGAGUUUAUUACAUAAAAUUAUUAAAACUUAUAGUUUUUAUUAUUUACAUAAAACAAUAGGGAUUGUUGAAGAAAAUGCCAAAUAAACUUUUUAAAAUUUUGAAUUAUUAUCUUUUAAUUGGGGCUUAUUGUAUAAAAUUUUUAAAACUUAUAGUUUUUAUUAUUUACAGAAAACUACAGGGACUGCUAAAGAAAAUACCAAAAUGGUAUUUGGUACAACGGUAGUUUUGCCCUAGAAAAUGUAAUAAGGAAGUAUAUAAAUUAGAAAUCAUUAAUGCAUAUAUAACAAUAAAAACACAAAAUUUAGCUUAUCGUUUAGAAGAUAGGAAAGAAUUGAAAAUGCACAUAAAUGAAUUAUUAGAAUUAAAAGUUAUUAAAGAUAGUACAAGUAGACAUACAAGUCCCGCAUUUAUUGUAAAUAAUUAUAGUGAGUAAAAAAGAGGUAAGAGUAGGAUAAUAAUUAAUUAUAAAAAAUUAAGCGACAAUACUCUAGAUAACAGUUAUAAAAUACCUAAAAAAGAUGAAUUACUAAAUUAUAUACAGAACGCAAAAUAUUUUUCUAAAUUUGAUUGUAAAAGUAGUUUUUGGCAAAUACGACUCUAUGAAGAAUCAGUACAAUGGACAACUUUUAAUUGUUUAGAAGGACAUUUUGAGUGGUUAGUAAUACCAUUUGGAUUAAAAAAAUGUCCCACAAGUUUUUUCAAGGUAGAAUGGAUAGAGUAUUAAAGCCUAUUUUAAAAUUCUAUGUAGUUUAUAUUGAUGAUAUUCUUGUUUUUACUCAAAAUAAGUUUAUGUAUAUUACUCAUCUACAUAAAAUUUUAGAUUGUUUUAAGAAUAAUAAUAUAGUAAUUUCUAAAGAAAAAUUGAACUAUUAAAACAAAAAAAAAAGAUUUUUUAGGACUAACAAUAGACAGAGGAACUAAAGAAUUACAACCACAUAUAGUUGGCAAAAUACUAGAAUUUCCAAAUAAAAUAGAAGAUACUAAAAAAGUACAAAAAUUCUUAGGAUUAUUGAAUUACAGUAGCAAAUUCAUACCAAAUCUUAGUGCAUUCAUAAGACCUUGAUAUAAUAAAUUAUGUGAAGAUGGACAAAAAUAUUUUAAUAGUGAAGACAUAAAAUUAAUUCAAAAACUUAAAGGAAUAGUUAAAAAUCUUAAGCCAUUAACAUUAGCUAUAGACAGUUACUAUAAAAUUAUAUAAACAGAUGGAAGUGUUAACAUGUAUAUGUUCAUAAUAUUGAUUUUGAUGAUAACAAACUUUAAAUGUUUUUUAUUAAAAUGAUGAAGCUAUUCAUUAAUAAACAAAAGCCUUAUAAUCAUUCCAAUUGUUUUCAAAGAGGUUGGAUAAGUGGUAUAUUUCAAAAUUGGAAAAUGAUUCUCUGCAAUAUCUGGCUAAAAAGAUUCUGGAAAUAAACGGUGAACUGUUUUCCAUUUAAACGGUUAACCGAUUAAAACUAGACAGUAACAAAAUUGCUUAAGCUCUAACCAGUUAAAAAAAACAGAAAAUACAAAAAGCUAGGAAGGCUACUGGAAUUAAACUGUGAACUGUUUAUUGAAACGGUUAACAGAUAAAAUCCAGAAGGUAAGAUUAUACUCAUCUUGCUACUGGAAACAAACGGCAAAAGUUUAACUGAAACGGAUAAGGCUAAUUUAUUUUGCAGGUUACUGGAAACAAACGGCGAAUCGUUUCGUGCAAACGGUUAACCGAUAAAAUUCAGAAAGGUUAUUUCGUUCAAAUCUUUAACUAUAAACAGAUAACUAAAGUUUGUGUUGCAGGUCUCUGGAAUUUAACGGCGAAAGGGUAAGUCUAAACGGAAAAGCGUUUAUUUGAAAUUUGGCCCAACGGUAACUUUGACCAGCCUAAACGGUUAACCAUUAAUAGUUAACGGCGAACCAUUUUUGAGCAGACAGUCUGUAAUGACUAGUUUUUCAGCUCCAAGUAUAAAUAAGCUCAUUCAAAUUCAAACAAGGUUGAUCACAACACGACCAUUGAACUUAUAUUUGAGAAUACAAUCUUCAUAGAGCUUUAAACACAUUCUUGCUUCAUCUAUUCACACAUUGGGCAUCGAUUUGUAAUCUUAGAUAUUGUGUGAGAGAAAAAUAAUUUGUAAUAUUUUAUUUUGAGUGAUUGUAAGUGUUGGGAUACACUUGGGUUAAGAGAUUGGGGAUAAUCUCUUGCUGUAAAGGUUCAUUGACACCUUGGAAGUCAAGUGUAAGCUUUUGAAGCCUUGGAGGCUUGCUUAGUAAAAUCCUCAAGCCUGGAAAGCUUGGAGGCGUGGACGAAGACGAGGUUGGCUGAACCAUGUAAAAAUCUUCGUGUUUGAAUGUCUCUUCCCUUAUCUUUUUAUAUUGUAAUUGAUUUAAUUGUUAUUGCUUUAAAUUCGUUUUAAAAUUGCAUGAUAUUUUGUUUUAGAAUUAAAUAAUUUUUAGAAUCUCAAUUCACCCCCCCUCUUGGGUUGCACACUUGUAUUUCAUUUGGUAUCAGAGCUUGGUUCUCUUGUUAGGACUUAACCGUUUAGAGUAAAAGAUCCAUGGCAACCCAAAAUGACUCAACCUUUAGGGAAGGACAGUCCACAACUAAACCAUCGUUCUUUGACGGAAAUGAUUACGCAUAUUAGAAAACUAGGAUGAGAAUUUAUUUACAAGCACUAGAUUAUGAAAUUUGAGAAGUUGUAUGUGAUGGUUCGUUUAUGUCCUUAACUAAAAAUGAAGUCGGAGAAGAUAUUCCAAAACCUUCACAGGAAUGGAAUGACUUGGAAAAGAGAAAAGUUUCUCUAAAUUCCAAAGCUAUGAAUGCCUUAUUUUGUGCACUUGAUAAGAAAGAAUUUCAUAGAGUAUCUAGUUGUGAGAGUGCCAAUGAAAUUUGGCACAAACUUGAAGUUGUCUAUGAAGGCACAAAUCAAGUGAAAGAGUCGAAAGUUAGUAGGUACACUCGACAAUAUGAGUUGUUCCAAAUGGAACAAAAUGAGAGUGUUUACUCUAUGUAUACUAGAUUUACGGACAUAGUAAACACCCUAGGAGCCCUAGGAAAGACCUUCUCUAACAGUGAGAAAGUUAAUAAAAUCAUUAGGUCACUUCCAAAAGAAUGAAGACCUAAAAGAACUGCUAUUGAAGAGGCCAAAAAUUUAAAUAUUUUACCUCUUGAUGAUUUAAUUGGUUCUCUCAUUUCAUAUGAAGAAGAUUUGGCAGCAGAAAAAGGGCAUGGAGAGAAGAAGAAAAACAUUGCUCUCAAAGCCUCAAAGUAUGAGAGUGAUGGGGAGAGUGAACCGGAUGAUGAAGAGUUGGCCAUGCUAGCAAAGAGGUUCAGAAAAUUUUUCAAGAAAACCGGUGAGCGAAGAAAAUUCAAAAACUUCAAGAAUUCAAGGGAGAAGAAAGAGGUAAUCACAUGCUAUGAAUGCAAGAAGCCUGGCCAUAUAAGAUUGGAGUGCCCACUUAUCAACAAACUCAAGAAGAAAGCCAUGGUUGCAACUUGGAAUGAUAGCGAUGAAGAUUCAAGUGAUGAAGAAGAGUCGCAAGAAGUAUCAAACCUAGCACUUAUGGCAAUAGGAGAUGAUGAUGAUCUCAAUGAGGUAAGUGAUCCUACUUAUGAUGAAUUGUAUGAUGUUUUUAAAGAAUUGCAUAAUGAGUUGAUGAAGAUUGGUAAAAAGAAUGUGUGUUUUAAAAAGGAAAUGGUAAAGCUCAAAAAUGAAAAUGAAUCUCUAAAUGCAAAAAUUACAUGCCUAGAAAUAGAGAACAAAACAUUGCAUGAUAAAAUUGAGUUAUCAAAUGAGAAACCUAGCACCUCACAUGAGCNNNNNNNNNNNNNNNNNNNNNNNNNNNNNNNNNNNNNNNNNNNNNNNNNNNNNNNNNNNNNNNNNNNNNNNNNNNNNNNNNNNNNNNNNNNNNNNNNNNNAAUGGGUUUUUUUUGAAAUUUUACAAAGGGGCAAAAAGAGGUGGGAUACACUGCUCCAAUCCCAAAAAAAUGUGUUGUGGACAAAGGGGGGAUGUGGUUUUUUAGCCCCACCCUUGAAACCAAAAAAUUUUAUAAUGAAAAUCCCAAUUUAUCCCCCCCCAAGGGGGGGGGGGGGGGGGUGAAUUGAGUUUUUAAAAUUUAUGCAAUACAAAUUUGCACAACAAUUUAAUCUAUUGCCUUAAUCAAAUAAAAAACAAUAAAUUCAAUCAAGCUCUAUAUUUAAAUUUUUUAAGGGAAGAGAAAACAAACACAAGGAUUUUUACGUGAUUCGGCUAUCCCCGCCUACGUCCACGCCUCCAAGCUCACUCGACUUGAGGAUUUCACUAUCCAAACCUCCCAAGGCUUCAAAUGUUUACAAUUGACUUCCAAGGUGUCAAUGCACCUUUACAACAAGAGAUUAUAUCCCCAAUCUUUUCACCCCAAGUGUUUCUCACACUUGUACACUCACAAUUUGAUGAGAAAUGAAAAUCAAAACAAUGAAACUCUCUUUAAGAGUGGAUAAACAAAUUAUAGCUCAAUAAUGAUUCAACAAAUGUUGAUUUACGAAAUGGAAGCUCAAUAUAUGUUAUAUGAUCUUGUUUUUCCUUGAAAUAAAUGUUGGAGUUGAGUUUUUAUAGUUAAAGCCCGAAAACUAGCCGUUAUAGGCAAAUUCCAGCGCCCAAGCGGUUAGCCGCUAAUGAACAGUGAUAUUAUCGUUAUUUUUGAAUUUGCUACAGUAACACUGUUCACUAAAAUUACACUUUAGCCCAAAAACUUUCUAUAAUUCUAAUAUGGCCCAAAACGUAAUAAAAUUUUAGAAAUAGGUCCAACUUCAGGAUUUCUUAAUAAUAGUUGUUUUUCCAAAACUUUUUAAAAUUAUGCUAUGGCCCCAAAUGUAUUAUUAUUUCUCAAAGAGGUCCUUUUUAACAUAAUACCCAUAUUUUUCAAAGUUCUCAAAAUCUUUCACUUUAGUCCAAAAUAUUCAUAAAUUAUAGUAUGGCCCAAAACAUUUCAAAUGUUUGUAAAACGGUCCAACUCCGAAAUUCAAUAAUAAUACUUAUUAAAAUUAAAGAUUUCAAAACUUUGCAUUUAAGUCCAAAUUACUCAAACCACAAAAUACUUUACCUUAUAAAAAUAAAACCGUUUAGUUUAUGAAAAGUAAUUAUUUAAAUUAAUCUCUUGAGCUUCUCAAAUGCUAAAUCAUGCAUCAAUUAAAUCAUACCGGCUUUACAAGAAUUUAUCGCACUAAUUUGUCCGUUGAGCUCUAAACUUUAUUCUUGAUUUCGCCGUUGUCCGUUGAGUGUCUUCAACUUGAUUUCACUUGAUUCACUUGCAUAAAUAUUAUCCUUAAAAAACUAGUAAAAAUUGUGAAAUACAAUAUUUAUUAAAUCGCUUAAUACACAUGUUUGUUAUUAUCAAAAUUACAUUAUGUGUAGCCCUUUAGACUAACAAUAAGAACAACUUUGUGAAGAGUACAUCUAGUAGCAAUCAAGUUGUAUGUUAUUUUUGUAAUCAAGAUGGUCAUAUGAAAAAUAAGUGUCCAGUAAAAAGAAAUACAUAUUAUGGUAUGAAAUGCAUUUGGGUUCCAAAAGGAACUAUUGCUAACUCUCAAGGACCCAAAAAGUUUUGGGUACCUAAAACUUGAAUUUUUCUCUACAGGGCAUGAAGAAAAAGAAAAAUAAAUGGUACUUGGACAAUGGUUGUUCAAGGCACAUGACCGGAAACUAUGCAUGGUUCUCAAGCUUCACCAAAAUUGAAAAUGGUGGAGACGUAUCUUUUGGAGACAACUCAAAAGGAAAAAAUCUUGGAAUUGUAAAUGUUAGUAAAGUUUCCUCAACUCUAAUUGAGAAUGUUUGUUUUGUUGAGAACUUGAAACACAACUUGAUUAGUAUUAGUCAAUUAUGUGACAAAGGUUAUAAAGUUGUCUUUGAUAAAUUUAGUUGUGUCAUUGAGAAUUCAUGUGAUGGAAAGAUCUUAUUUGUUGGAAAUAGAUGUGGUAAUGUUUAUAUCAUUGACAUAGAAUGUGCAUCUACUCUUGAUAAAUGCUUUUCGGCAUCGCAUGAUGAUAGUUGGUUAUGGCAUAGAAGGUUAGGACAUGCAAGUAUGGACUUGAUUUCAAAAAUUUCGAAAAAUGAUUUAGUCAAAGGUCUUCCAAAAAUCGAUUUUCAAAAGGAUAAAAUUUGUGAAGCUUGUCAACUUGGAAAACAAAUCAAAACAUCUUUUAAAAACAAAAAUCAUAUUUCCACUUCAAAACCACUUUAACUUCUUCACAUAGAUUUGUUUGGACCUUUAAGGUAUGUUAGCUUGAACGGAAAAUAUUACACUUUUGUAAUUGUUGAUGAUUUUUCAAGAUACAUAUGGGUAUUAUUCUUAACUAAUAAGGAUCAUGCUCUUGAUGCUUUUAAAGUACUUUGUAAGAAAAUUCAAAAUGAAAAAGGGUAUGGUAUUGCAUGCAUUAGAAGUGAUCAUGGAGGAGAGUUUGAAAACUAUGCAUUUGAAACCUUUUGCAAUAAUCUAGUCAUUGUGCAUCAAUUUUCAUCACCUAGAACUCUACAACAAAAUGGAGUUGUUGAGAGAAAGAAUAGGUCAAUUCAAGAAAUGGCUAUGACUAUGUUAAAUGAAAAUUCCUUGCCUAAGUAUUUUUGGGCCGAGGCCGUCAACACCGCUUGUUAUAUUUUAAAUCAUGUAUUGAUUAGACAUAAUCUUAAUAAAACCCAUAUGAGCUUUGGAAAGAUAGAAAACCCAAUAUUGGUUAUUUCAAAGUUUUUGGAUACAAAUGUUUUAUUUUGAACACAAAAGAUAAUCUUGGCAAAUUUGAUCCAAAAUUCGAUGUUGGUAUUUUUCUUGGAUAUUCAAACUCAAGCAAAGCUUAUAGAGUUUAUAACAAAAGAACUCUAGUUGUAGAAGAAUCAAUGCAUGUUACAUUUGAUGAGUCUAACCCCUUUUCUACGGAGAAAGGAAUUAUUUAUGAUGAUGCAGAUGGAGAGUUACAAGAAGAAUCAUCAAAGCAUAAACAAGAGAAUGCACCACAAAGAAAUCAAGAGGAUGGACAAGUAGAGCAAACAAAUAUGGAGCAACAUGAAGGUACUUCUCAAACACUCCCCAAGGAGUGGAGGUAUGUUUCUUCUCAUCUUAAGGAUGUAAUUUUAGGAGAUCCCUCACGAGGUGUUACAACUAGAUUAUCACUUAGGAAUACUUGUGAGUAUAAUGCAUUUAUUUCUCAAAUUGAACCCAAAUCCUUUGCGGAUGUGGAAAAUGAUGAAUCUUGGAUUAUGGCAAUGCAAGAGGAGGUAAAUUAAUUUGAGAGAAACCAUGUGUGGGAAUUAGUUCCUAAUCCGGAACAUCAAUCCAUCAAAGGUACUAAAUGAGUAUUUAGAAAUAAGAUGGAUGAAUCUGGUAUGGUUGUAAGGAAUAAAGCUAGAUUAGUGGCUCAAGGUUACAACCAAGAAGAAUGAAUUGAUUUUGAUGAAACUUUUGCACCUGUAGCUAGACUUGAAUCAAUUAGAAUGUUGUUGGCAUUUGCAUGUCAUAAAGAUUUCAUUUUAUUUCAAAUGGAUGUGAAAAAUGCUUUUUUAAAUGGUUGUAUUAUGGAAGAAGUGUAUGUAAAACAACCCCCUGGUUUUGAAAUUGAAAAAUUUCCAAAUCAUGUUUAUAAGUUAUUUAAAGCUUUGUAUGGAUUAAAACAAGCACCUAGAGCAUGGUAUGAUAGGCUUAAGAAUUUCCUGUUAGAAAAUGAUUUUUCAAUGGGUAAAGCGGAUACUACUCUCUUUGUCAAACAUAAGAACAAAGACAUACUUGUUGUUCAAAUUUAUGUUGAUGAUAUUAUUUUUGGUUCUAUUAAUGAAUUGUUGUGUAAAGAAUUUUCAUUUUGCAUGAGUAAUGAAUUUGAAAUGAGUAUGAUGGGAGAGUUGAAGUACUUCAUUGGGCUGCAAAUAAAACAAAAUGAGGAAGGAAUUUUCAUAAAUCAAGCCAAGUAUGUAAAAGAUCUACUCAAAAGAUUCGGCAUUGAAGACUCAAAGACCAAAAAUACUCCGAUGAGCACAACAACCAAGCUUGACAAAGAUGAAAAAGCAAAGAAGUGGAUAUCAAAAUGUAUCGAGGUAUAAUCGGAUCUUUACUUUAUUUAACUGCAAGUAGACCUGAUAUCAUGUUUAGUGUAUGUUUGUGUGCAAGAUUUCAAUGAUGUCCCAAGGAAUCCCAUUUACUUGCUGUAAAACGAAUCUUCCGUUAUUUAAGUGGAACUAUAGAUCUCGGCCUUUGGUAUCCUAGAGGAACUCAUACAGAUUUAACAUGCUAUUCAGAUGCGGACUUUGCGGGUUAUAAAGUUGAUAGGAAGAGCACUAGUGGAACUUGCCAUAUUCUAGGUCACUCACUUGUUUCAUGGUUUAGCAAGAAACAAAAUUUUGUUGCACUUUCAACUACCGAGGCUGAAUAUAUAGCUGCAGGAAGUUGUUGUGCACAAGCUCUUUGGAUGAAACAAAUACUUAGAGACUAUGGCAUUAACCUUGAACAAAUUCCCAUUAAGUGUGAUAAUACUAAUGCUAUAAAUCUUUCAAAGAAUCCCAUUCAACACUCUCGAACCAAGCAUAUAGAAAUAAGACAUCAUUUCUUAAGAGAUCAUGUUCAAAAGGGAGAUAUUGCAUUAGAGUUUAUUUCUACGGAAAAACAACUUGCCGAUAUCUUUACAAAACCUCUUGGCGAAGAACAAUUUUCAAAAAUUCAACAUGAACUUGGGAUGAUAAAAUUUUCGCAUUAACAUUUCUAUUUAUGAUAUAGGGUCUAUUACAAUUGAUUGGUCUAUGAAAUGUUCGUAAGUGAUAUGUUUGUGUUAUCUUGUGGUUUAUGUAUGUAUAUUGAUUGUUUGACUCAUAUGCUAGUUGAUAAAUCAUGCAUUGAACUGGCUUUUAACAUGUUUCAUAUUCAUGAGUUGAUCCUGGAACAUAUUAAUUGUUGGCAAAAUAUUGAAAAUAAAUGUGCGAAAUCUAAAAAAAUAAACGGAUAACCGUUUUUCAAUAAACGGUGUACCGUUUAAUUCAAGAAACUAGGAUAUGCUCUCUGGAAAUUACUCUCUAACCAUUAAACGGACUAACCUUUCACCGUUUCCUAUUAAUUGCUCUCUGGAAGUUACUCCCUAACCGUUUCAAUAAACGGUUAGCCGUUUUCGUGAAUAUAAAACUGUUCAAAGGGUUUCUUCUCCUUCGUCAUUUGCCCUCUGCCAUUUCAGCCAUUGUUGCGCAGCCGAAGCUUUCUCCAUCCUAAAUCCUUCAUUUCUCUUGUUUUUCUUGCCAAAUCACACCUAUAAACCCUCUUCCAUCAUUAUUAGAGUGCUUUCACCGAUUCAAUUCAUCCAAUUGAGCCCAAAAUUCGAAAAUCCCAAAUCAAAACCGUAAGGUCAGCCGGUUAGGUUUCGUCAUUUUUGACCUAAUUUGUGUCUCUUUUCAACCACAUUAGGCCUCCAAAUUCCAUCCUCCAUUCUCCCUUGAUCCCAAAAUAAAUUUUUUUUGUCCAAACUCUCUUUUCUCAAAAUCCUCCAUUCUCAUUGUUCUUCACCAUGGCCGAGCCCUCUUGGAGAACUCGAACGAGGAAGGAUACGCCUCAAAGGAAUCCCAUACCACCACGGGCAGUCUCUGAAUUCGAAAGAAUUCAUUUUCCCACCCCCUCAUUGGCCAAGCGUUUUGAGGACCGCUUCAAUGGUAGAAAGGUACUUGAUUCUUUCUGUGUUGACAUAGAAGAUUUUAGAACCUUAAUUGUGUAUGGUAGAAGUGUUAGAAAUAUGCUACACCCUUGGGAGUCCGCCAUUGACUUUGAUGACCGAGUUUAUCCUAACUUAGUGCGAGUUUUCUAUUCAAACAUGGAAAUUUUCGAAACCCGCCUAGAUAGGAUAGUUACUCAGGUUGGUGGUGUGCAUAUUGAAUUUGAUGUUGAGCUCUUGAACAAUAUUCUAGGGAUUUCAAAUGAUGGACAUAGGAUUUAUACAUCCAGAAAAGCACUAUUUUUUAGUACUUUUUCUCAUCAUCGCGGUGUCCGAAACAUUUGUCGUCGUCGAGACCUGACUUAUGACAUUUGUAAUUUAGCAUUUUGGUCUCAACUAUUACCUCUACAAGUUCGUAUCCUGCAUUUUAUUCUACAACAUAUCAUUACACCUAGGAAGGGCCAUUCAGAUGAGGUUACACGGUUGGAUGUUGGGUUACUAGAUAGUCUUAUUACCGGGAGACCUAUUAACCUUGGUUACAUUAUUGUGCGGCACAUGUUGAGUAUUCCUGCGGUUAACCACCGCUUGCUUUCGUAUGGUAGUAUCAUUAUUAAGAUACUGCGACGCUUUGAGGUGCCCCUUCUAGAUACCGGUUAUAUAGAGACCAGACGGAUUGGUCCAUAGGCCAUAACCAGUAUCGGUUUCUCUAGAAAGAAUGGCCAGUGGAUAAAGACUUCCACCUCCAAAAAUCGCGAUACUUUGAUUGCUCCAGAGGAUGAUCAUAUGCUCAACGAUGUUUAUCGUCCCGAUCAGCUUCCAAAUUUUAGAUUAGGGCCUCAUUCUCCUCCUCCGCACCGCCGCUCUAUUCCCCAGCCUCUAGCUGAUUCCGAUACAGAGGAGCAUGAGAUGGAUGUGGAUAUUCCAUCCACUUUGAUGCCACCUCCAGCUCCAGCACAGCCUUCCACUCCCGAGCCCUCUACUGUUCCUGCGCAGCACUCCGCUUCUGAGCCACCUCCAGCUCCCGAGCAACCUCCUGCUUCAGUUCAGCCCUUACUUCGGAUGCUUUGCAGCAGUUGGCGGAUGAUGUUCGCAGGAUUUCGGAGAGGCAACAACUGAUUCUCGAUAGGUUGGACACUUUCUCCCGCGAUCAUCAGCAGCUUCGUUCUGAGUUUCAAACCUUCCAGCAGCAGAGCAUUGAUCAGCAGCUUGAGCUUAUAGCUGGACAAUGCACUAGGGGUGUUCGCGGAUCGGAUUUUACGGAUUGGACAUCAAUCCAUAUCCGAUCCAUGAUUUUGCGGAUUAUAAUUUUUCAAUCCAAUCCAAUCCACGGAUUGAUAAAAUUCAAUCCAUAUCCAAUCCAUACAUCUGCGGAUCGGAUGCGGAUUUGACUCAAUCCAUAUCCAAAUCCAUCAUUUUACGAAUUGAUUUGCGAAUUAAAAAUUUUAGUUCUCUUCAAUCUAUAAACUAAUGAAAUUAAAAAAAAAUCUAAUAUAAAAUAAUUUUACUACCAAUUAAAUUUAAAAUUAAAUAAAAUUUAAACAAAUUAAUUGUUUGUUUUAAUAAUACAUUCAAAAUUUCAAAAUAUAACACAUCGUGAUUAAUUGUUUAAAUAAAACUAUAAUAAUACGUUUAAAGUUUUAAAACAUAACAUACCAAAAUUAAUUGUUCAAAUAAAAUUACAAUAAUAUAUUAAUAUAAUAUCAAAAUUAAUUGCUCAAAUAAAGCCACAAUAAUACAUUGAAAGACUCAAAAUAAAACACACCAAAAGGAAAAACUUCCACCUCCAAUUUGUGUUUCGUAUUUUAGCCUAAACAAAAUAAACAUAAUUGAUAUAAAUAACAAAUAAAAAAUUAUUAAAUAAAAAAAUUAUUUAAUAAAUAUUUACCCUUAUAUCACAUCAAAUGCCAUCAAGCUUCAUCAAAUAUGUUCUUGUCAGCUCCCAAAAUCUCUAUACGUAUAAGAUAAGAAAAAUGUCAAUUUUUAAAAUAGAAUAACAACAUAAAGUCAAAUAAUAAUCAAAAAAUAAAAUUAAAGGUAAAUUGUUACAUUUUACCUAUCUCAAUAUGUUCAAUCUCAUCUAUUGCUUCAUCAAAAUUUAUCGGAGUUGAACGUAGCCAAUUUUGUGUGCAAAUUAAUGCCUCCACCGUCCUUGUAGAUAGUGAGCACCGAUGUGGAUCAAGAACACGCCCACCAGUGCUAAAUGCUGACUCAGAUGCCACAGUAGAAACAGGCAUGGCCAAAAUAUCUCGAGCAACAUAAGACAAAAUUGAAUAUUUGGAAGAAUUAAUCUUCCACCAAUCUAAAACAUUAAAACUCUCAUUUUCUGGGUUCUCACAUGAUUCUAACAAGUAAAGAUCCACUUCUGUUUUGCACUCUAUAAAAAUGUUGUCUUUUAAAAUCCUCAUAUAACCCAAAUCAAACAUUUGCCUAGCAUCAACCUCAGUAUCAACCUCUAAAUCUUUUUCAUCAUUGACAGCAUCCAUUACUUCCACAUUAUCACCAUAAAGCAAUUUGUAUUCCUCAUAUAAACUAUGUAAAUUAUUCCGCACUUUAACAACCAACUCAUUAGCUUUAAAUUCACCAAACAACACUACAAAACAAUAUCUCAAAAACCGUUCUUUAUGUCGAGGCUCAAGCAAAAUAGAAACAAACAAGUAAGGGUUGAUUGUUUCAUAAUUUCCCCAAUACUUAUCAUACUUCUUUUUCAUAUUUUCAGCCAUUAUCUUCAAAAAUAAAUCCUUACUAUCCCUCCAAGCUUGCAAUUGUGUAUGAAUCAAACAUAAUUGGCGCAAAAAAUUAUUGGAGGUCACAUAUAAAGAACCCGAAAAUGUCAAAGUGGCAUCAUGAAAAACCUUCAAGAAUUUAAUGAAAUAACGAGCAUAUUCCCAAUCAAUUGACGAAGGACACGUUUUUGGCUCGCUCAAACAAAACUCACGUAUGUAUUGUGCAUCAUGAAGCUCUAACCGAUCAAAUACUUUUUCAUACUUUUCAGCAGCCUCUAACAUGAAAAAAGUGGAAUUCCAUCUAGUUACGACAUCUAAACACAACAACUUAUUUGAAGAAAUUUUCUCUCGCUCUGCAUAUGCCUUAAACUUUUGUGUCCUAGAAGGCGAAGAUCUAAUAAAUCUUACAACAUUGCGAAUUUUAGAAAUCGACUGAUGAUACUCUUUUAACCCUUCUGCAACAAUGAGAUUUAAUAUAUGUGCACUACACCUCAAAUGCAUAUUUUGACCCCCUAAAAUUGCACUAUUCCAAUUGUUCACAACUUUUGACAAAUAAAAGACAACACCAUCAUUAGAAGAAGCAUUAUCAACCGUUACUGUAAAAACUCUCUCAAUACCCCAAUCUAAUAGGCAUGUUUCAAUUUGCCUACCAAUUGUUUCACCUUUAUGGUCAGCAACUUGACAAAAAUUCAAUAUUUUUUUGUGCAAUGUCCAAUUAUCAUCAAUAAAGUGAGCUGUAAGACACAUAUAACAAAGAUUUUGAGCUGAAGUCCAUGUGUCUGUAGUGAGGCAAACUCUUUGAUGACUACUAACAAAAAAAUCAGUCAAAUCUUUCUUUGUUUUUUUGUAAAGUUGCAAAAUAUCACGAGCAAUAGUAGUGCGAGAUGGUACUUUAAAUCUAUUUUCAAAAACUCCCAACAUUUCCCUAAACCCUUCACCCUCUACAACUCUAAAUGACAUCUCAUCUUUUAUAACAAACUUAGCAAUUGCUUCCCUACAAGCUUCAACAUUAUAUGUCGUUGAUACAAGGCUACAUGGCUCUCCAAUUUUCACUGGUUGGUAAGACAAAGUUUUUUGUUUUUUGUCCACUCGAGCUCGACCGGGAUAUUUUAGACAUCUCUCUCUUAUAUGACCCAAUAAAUUAGAUGUUCCUUUAUGAAAACCACAUUUAUAUUCUUUUCCACAAUAUCGACAUUUGGAUCUAGGAUGCAGUGGAUCAGAACUUAAUUGGAUAAAAUGCUCCCAAGCUUCUGAAGUAGUGGAUUUAUUGGGCGUACCUUCAGCAUUACUGGAUGAUUUAGAACUUGGGGGGGUUGAAUCUACAGCUACGCGUUUUCCUUUAUCAAAUUGAGAAGUCAUCUACACCACCAAAAAGAAAAAUCAUGAAAUUCGCAUGUUAUAUCCAGAAAAAGUAAUAUGAUUGUUAGAUCCACAGAAGCAACAUGAUUCAAACACCCCCAACAACAAUUCUUUAAUCUUCAUUUUUUAAAAAAAUAGCCCAUCAAACAAGAAAUUAACAGAUUCAAUUUUACCACAGAAUAAAAAGCAAAAGCAACCGAAUUAGGACAUAUAAUCAACAAAUAAUUCUCUUCCUCAAUCCCCAACAACCUUAUUAUUAAUAAAAGAAUAUCAAAAUCAUUAUCUCAAGUCACCAUUGAUAAAAAAGAAGAUACAUAAUAAUAAUUAAAAAAAAAUCAGAAUAAAUGUUAUCGAAGAUAAAAUCAAAAUAAUAAAUUAGGAGAAUAUUUACGAGUACUGUACCUGAAGAAGGAGAUAGACACACCGUGAUAAGAUUUAAUAAUACUCGUCGAUAUUGUGCGUGUGACUGUGAUGGCAAGGAAGCAGGAAGCAGCUUAGGGUUUUUUUUUCGUUUGCAGAGUGACCACUGAUUAGCGAUUUUGGGUUAUGCUAAAUUGCUAAUGCUAGUUGCUUUUGGCGUUAUCUCCUUUAUGUCAUUGUUAUUAUUUUUUUUUUUGACAAAAGCUUUAACUUUUGACUUUAUUUCAAUAAUUUUUGACCGAUUUCAUAUUUUUUAUUUUUUUUAUUAGAUAAUGAUUGUUAUGUUACUUUACUUAAUAACUUUACUUUACUUUAAUUUUUUUAAUUAUUAAUUUAAUAUUUUUUGUUUUAUAAUUUUAUUAAAUAAUGACUAAAUUAAAUUAUAGUGUUUAUAUAAUUAUGUAAUAUUAUAUUUAUAAUAUUUUUUAAAAUAAAUAAAUAAAUAUAUUUUUUUGCGGAUUCACGGAUUUUUGCGGAUUCACAGAAGUAAAUCCAUAUCCAAUCCACUGACUGCGGAUUUUUAAAAUUUCAAUCCAAUCCAAUCCACCAAUCCACGGAUUGGAUUUAUACGGAUCGGAUUUUUGCGGAUCAGACGGAUUGAACGGAUCGGAUCGGAUUCUGAACACCCCUACAACGCACUCUUCUUCGUUAUUUCGGUUAUGAUCCGGGAAGCACAUCUUCACCACCUCUAUAGUUUCUGAGUUUCAUAUUCGCACAUACAUUUCAUAUUCUGGUUGUUUGCGUGUUGCUAUUUAUAUUUUGGGUAUACAUUUCUACUUCUCUAUGAUUUUGAUGAUGGAUUGUUUCUGUGAUGUUCUUGAUAUUAGAUGAUUUGCUGGAUUAUUGUUUUUGUGAUAUUGGAUGAUUUUAAUAUUGUUGGCUGAUUUUAUAUUGGAUAAUGGAGUUGUUGGUAUGAUUGGAUGAUGGGGUUGUUAUUAAUAUAUUUGGAAGUGUUUUUAAUCAUAUUUUUUAUUAGCGGAUUUGUUCCAUUUUAAGGGGAAAUUCUGCCAAAAUUUUUGCUCGCCAAACCUGGGUAAUUUCUUUGUCACGAUGUUUUACGUCCUUCUUUUCUCUCUCUUUUUUUAUGAUGAAGGGGGAGAAAAUGUCCUGUAUUUUGUGUAUAUUGACAAAGGGGAGAUAGUAUAAUAAGAAUAAAAUUCACUUUUGAAAUGAACUUUGUUUUUUUUUUUUAAAUGAAUUCUCUUUUUAAAAUGUUUCCUUGAGCAAAAAUCUGUUUAUUGGACAUAUUUUUAAAUUGGCCAUACAUUUAAGGGGAGCAUAUAUUAAGGGGGAGAAAAAUAGUGAAUAAAGUUUGUCAUCAUCAAAAAGGGGGAGAAUGUUAACAUGUAUAUGUUCAUAAUAUUGAUUUUGAUGAUAACAAACUUUAAAUGUUUUUGAUUAAAAUGAUGAAGCUAUUCAUUAAUAAACAAAAGCCUUAUAAUCAUUCCAAUUGUUUUCAAAGAGGUUGGAUAAGUGGUAUAUUUCAAAAUUGAAAAAUGAUUCUCUGCAAUAUCUGGCUAAAAAGAUUCUGGAAAUAAACGGUGAACCGUUUUCCAUUUAAACGGUUAACCGAUUAAAACCAGAAAGUAACAAAAUUACUUAAGCUCUAACCGGUUAAGAAAAACAGAAAAUACAAAAAGCUGGGAAGGCUACUGGAAUUAAACCGUGAACCGUUUAUUGAAACGGUUAACCGAUAAAAUCCAGAAUGUAAGAUUAUACUCAUCUUGCUACUGGAAACAAACGGCAAAAGUUUAACUGAAACAGAUAAGGCUAAUUUAUUUUGCAGGUUACUGGAAACAAACGGCGAACUGUUUCGUGCAAACGGUUAACCGAUAAAAUCCAGAAAGGUUAUUUCGUUCAAAUCUUUAACUGUAAACAGAUAACUAAAGUUUGUGUUGCAGGUCUCUGGAAUUUAACGGCGAAAGGGUAAGUCUAAACGGAAAAGCGUUUAUUUGAAAUUUGGCCCAACGGUAACUUUGACCAGCCUAAACGGUUAACCAUUAAUAGUUAACGGCGAACCGUUUUUGAGCAAACAGUCUGUAACGGCUAGUUUUUCAACUCCAAGUAUAAAUAAGCUCAUUCAAAUUCAAACAAGGUUGAUCACAACACGACCAUUGAGCUUAUAUUUCAGAAUACAAUCUUCAUAGAGCUUUAAACACUUUCUUGCUUCAUCUAUUCACACAUUGGGCAUCCAUUUGUAAUCUUAGAUAUUGUGUGAGAGAAAAAUAAUUUGUAAUCUUUUAUUUUGAGUGAUUAUAAGUGUUGGGAUGCACUUGGGUUAAGAGAUUUGGGAUAAUCUCUUGCUGUAAAGGUUCAUUGACACCUUGGAAGUCAAGUGUAAACUUUUGAAGCCUUGGAGGCUUGCUUAGUGAAAUAUUCAAGCCCGGAAAGCGUGGAGGCGUGGACGUAGGCGAGGUUGGCCGAACCAAGUAAAAAUCUUCGUGUUUGAAUCUCUCUUCCCUUAUUUUUUUAUAUUGUAAUUGGUUUAGUUUUUAUUGCUUUAAAUUCGUUUUAGAAUUGCAUGAUAUUUUGUUUUAGAAUUAAAUAAUUUUUAGAAUCUCAAUUCACCCCCACUAUUAGCAAACAAUGGAUAUACUUUUUAGAAGUAAUAACAAGCAGAGCAUAUAAUGCAAAGUUUGAGCACAUAGUAGGUAAAGAUAAUACUUUAGCUGAUAUUCUUUCAAGACUAAUUAAUCAAUAUUUAUUUUACAGGAAUGGAGCGAUAUAUGAAAUUCGGUUCAAUAAAACUUAGACAGAUUGUUUCAAGAAUGAAUUUAAAUUUUAAAAGAAAAUUUCGGUUAUUAGACAGUCAGUAAUGCAUUUUAAAAAAUUUCUAUAUUUGCAAUAACGCACAAGAUAAAUUAAAAGUAGCCUAUGCGCGCAUGCAUAAUUUUAGACAGAUGAAUGAAUGUGUAGACAGUAAUCACUUUGCAUUUUUUGUGUUAGUUAGACAACCAGACAUUUAUAGUCUGUGGAGAGAGUAGUUGAUUUAAUAAUCAAUUAUCCUUAUCUAUACUAUAAAGGCUUUUACUCAUUUCAUGAAGCUAUAGAAUUUGCUAGACAGAGAAUAUGACCAAAUUAUCAUGUUAGUAAUUUAAUUAAUCCUUUAAACAGUGCAUAGACAUCAUCAAAUAGACUGUUAAAUAAUUCUUUAGACAAUACAUUUUCAUCAUCAUCAUCUAUACAAUUUUGCAACCAUUGUGAAGCCUUGACAUGCAUAGCUAGAAAGCCUGAUGAAACUAGAUAUCAUUUCGACAGUAUAGUUGAAGCAUGUAGACAGUUAGAAAGCCUAAUGAAACUAGAUAUCAUUUAGACAGUAUAGUUAAAGCAUGUAGAGAGAAAAUAAUUGCAUUAGAAAGUGCUGAAGAAGGGUUAAUUAGACAGAAUAUUAUUUUACAAAAUAAAUAUCAUAUUUUGUUAGUAGAUCACUAAAAAAUCCAAAUACAAAACCAACCAUUAGAAAAAUUAUUUUACCAUAGUCCAGCCAGACAGUUAACUAAAAUCAACCAAAUCUCAUCUUUCCUUUGUGAUACCAUAGACAUUGUAAAAGAAAAAAUGGUAGAAAACAUAUACAUAGACUUUAGUUCUUUAGCCAAUCAAUUGUUACAUAGCCAGUUAAAUUUCUUACUUGAAUUUAGACCUGGGUGGUUAGAAUUAAGUAACAUUACUUCAAUUAGACAUGAUUUUCCUACUAUUUCCUUUGAUUACUCCUUAGCCAAAACACUAGACAAUGAAGACAUAUUAUACAAAGCUCUUAGUUUUGGAAUAAUACGUACUAUUUAUAUUUUGGGCCUAGACAUAUUUAAAUUCUUUCUACCUACCUUGAACAUAGCCUUAUAUAUUCUAAAACCUGCACCUUUAACAAUAAAUUUUUGUUUUAUACCACCUAGACCUCAAAUAGUCAAUAAAACCAAAACUAGUGUCAUAUUAGUAGCAUAUCAUGUUAUUUUUAUAUGCGAAGGAGCCAAAAAGUUCAAAAGAAGAAUUUAUCAUGACAAGCGCAACUUCUCUGCAAAAGAUAUAUACAAACGAACACAUGGAAUAGCAGUUUUCUAUGAAUAGGUAAAUACUCACGAUAGGAUUAUAGCCCAACCAAAACAUUAUAUUAUUAUAGCUCAAAAGCAUCUUAUCCGUGAGGAACUACUCAUUCCUUCACUAUAGAUAAAUAUUGAUAAUCCAAGAAAAUGUGAAAAAUAUUUGGAGGCGCUAAUCGAGAUGAAUUGCAUGCCAUCAUUAGGCGAUGGAUCAGAAGCUAUGAGUCAUCAAUCUAUGGAUGAGGAUAUAGCUGAAGCUGUUGAUGAAAUGAUGGACAGAUAGGAGGCACAACAAAAACUAAAUUAGUCAACAAUCGACAAUUAGCAUUAGUCAAAGGUUAAAAGUAGGCAGAGUCGUGUGUCUUUACAGAUGACCUUCUUUUACUCACUACCAGAUAAGGAAAAAUUUGUGAAGGCAUCUUUUUCAUUUUAUUUUUUAUUACCGACAGUGAGGUAACUUAGAAAAUAGUAGCAAGUCAUUAUUUGUCGACAAUGAGUCACUACAAAAUAACAGUAGCUAGACAAUCUUUUACCUUUUCAUUUUUUUCAUUAAUCAUUGGAUUUUUGCCACAUGUAAAGUAUAACUUUAAAUUUUUAUCCUUUAUACACAGAGUUAUUAAUCGUAUCAAUAAUUGUAUCCAAUCUUUAGUUGUAUAUACAUAGGACUCUUAAGACAAUAAGAAGAGAAAGGAUAACGAGAAGUAAAUGUGCAAAUAGAAGUCAAUACUUUGUACUCAAAAAUAAAAAUCAAUAAAAGUUUCUUAUUCAUCAACACUUAGCAAUCAUUUAGACAACAACUAGCAAGCUCUUACCAAGAAAGUAGUUUAAUUUCUUUAGUUUCUAGUUAUUUAGCUCGAAAAGUUAAGAAGUAUAUCCUAGUUAACAAAAGUAUAAAUUGUUAGACUAAGAAAACCUUUGGUGAAAAACAUCAUCUAUAACGCAGGAAUAUUCUUGUUGUAUCACCAAGAAUCAAUAACAAAAUAUAUAUGGAACCAUACCAAAAUCCAUAAUGCUUAAUUGCCCUCUAAGGCGGUGUGGUUGGCCUUCUAGAUCAACACGUUCUCCUAAAGAAUCCUUUAAGUUUCUCACUGCUCUCUCUCUCUGAUGAUGGGAAAUAAAAAAGAAUAGAAAGAUACGCGUGACCUGGGGACGAUAACCACUUAUAUAGACAAUCUUUUUUUGUUGUCAUUAGGUAUUCCUAAUUUUGCCCAUCAUAGAAUUAGAACACCAUUGGGUCUCUACACAUUAAAAGCCCACACCCUAUUAGAUACAUUAAGCACAUAAUACCAAAAAUCUUAAUAGAUCACUUUUAACAUAAUACCAAAAAUCUUAAUAGAUCACUUUUAAUUGGGCUUAACGUUAUAUGGCAAUUUGCAACACAUAAUUAUUCACAAAUAAGCCUAAUGUUUGAUUAAGGAUCCAACAAUAUUGAAUUAAAAAAUCUAACAAUCUCUCUCUUGUGCUAUAUGUGUAACUCUAUAAUUAUGUUUUGCAAUAAAUAACCGUAUGAGCUCAACCUUUGACUUUGGAAUACAGCACAGCUGACUUAUUGUCACAAAAUAACUUAAAUGGUUUAUCAACAUCAUCUACUAUAUGUUAACAUGUAUAUGUUUAUAAUAUUGAUUUUGAUGAUAACAAACUUUAUAUGUUUUUGAUUAAAAAUGUUGGAGCUUUCUAUAAUAAACAAUUUCUUAAAAGCCAUUUAAUAUUUCUAGAUAUGAUGAAAUUGGGAUAAUCGUUAAAUUUAAUCGAAAAAUCAUUUUUUUGUGAAAUUCUAUAAAAAUGUUGAUUCUAGGAAAUAACAAUGAACCGUUUACUGCAAACGGUUAACUAAUAAUUUUCAGAGGGGUAUUAACUUUCAAUCUUGAACCGUUUAGCAAGAACGGAUAAUCAUAAUUUGUUUUACAGGAUUCUGGAAUUAAACAGCGGACCGUUAAUGUCAAACGGUUAACCUAUAAUUUCUAGAAUGGAAUUACAUGCUAACAUUGAACCGUUUAGCAAAAAUGGUCAAGCUAAAUUUGUUUCGCAUGAUUCUAGAAAUUAACGGCGAACUGAUAAUUCCAAACAGUUAACUGAUUAUUUGAAAUUCAGCUCAAUGGUCAUUUCAAAUAGUCAAAACAGUUAAUCGAUAGCAGUUAACGACGAUCCUAUUUCUCUCAGAAAGUCAACAACAACUAGUUGUCAGUUCCAACUAUAAAAUGGCUCAAUCAAAUUCAAAUAAGAAGUUGUCCAAGAGGUAUCAUUGAGUUUACUAUUGAGAAUACAACCAUCAUUGAGCCUUAAACUUAUUCUUGUUUCAUUCAUUCACACUUUGAGCAUUCAUUUAUAAUCAUUUACAUUAUGUGAGAGAAAAUUCAUUUGUAAUCUUUAUUUUUGAGUGAUUAUAAGUGUUGGGAUACACUUGGGUUAAGAGAUUGGGAAUAAUCUCUUGUUGUAAAGAUCUAAUGACACUUUAGAAGUCAAUUGUAAGAGUUGCUGAAGCCUUGAAGGCUCGUUUAGUGAAAUCCUCAAGCCUGGUGAGCUUGGAGGUGUGGAUGUAGGCAGGGAUUACUGAACCAUGUAAAAAUCAUUGUGUUUGCUCUCUCUUCCCUUACUCCUUUGUUAUUGUACCUUAUUAAAUUUAUCAUUUUUUAUUUCAUUAAGGCAAUAGAUUAAAUUGUUGUGUGGUUUGUUUAGCUUAUGUUUUAAAAUCCCAAUUCACCCCCCUCUUACAUUGCAUAACUAGUAUUUCAUUUAGUAUCAGAGCUUAAUUCUCUUAUUAAAACUUAACCGUCUAGAGUAAAAGAUCAAUGGUAACCCAAAAUGACUCUACCAUUAGGGACGGACAAUCCACAACUAGGGCACCAUUCUUUGAUGGUAAUAACUACUCUUAUUGGAAAACUAGGAUGAUAAUUUAUUUGCAAGUGCUAGAUUAUGAAAUUUGGAAAGUUGUAUGUGAUGGUCCAUUCAUGCCUAUGACUAAAAAUAAAGUAGGGGAAGAUAUUUCAAAACCUUCACGGGAAUAGAAUGAAUUGGAAAAGAGAAAAACUUAUCUAAAUUCCAAAGCUAUUAAUGCCUUAUUUUGUGCACUUGACAAGAAAGAGUUUCAUAAAGUGUCUAGUUAUGAAAGUGCUCAUAAAAUUUGGAAUAAACUUUAAGUUAUUUAUGAAGGCACAAAUCAAAUGAAAGAGUCUAAAAUUAGUAGAUACACUCGACAAUAUGAAUUGUUUCAAAUGGAACAAAAUGAGAGUGUGUAUUCUAUUUAUAUUAGAUUUACGGAUAUAGUGAACACUCUAAAAGUCCCAAGAAAGACAUUUUCGAAUAGCAAUAAAGUUAAGAAAAUUAUUAGGUCACUACCAAAGGAAUAGAGACCUAAGAGGACUGCCAUUGAGGAAGCCAAAGAUUUAAAUGCCUUACCUUCUUAUGAGGAAUACUUGGCAGCAGAAAAAACAAUGAGGAGAAGAAGAAAAGUAUUGCCUUUAAAGCCUCAAAACAUGAAAGUGAUGAGGAAAGCGAGCUGGAUGAUGAGGAGAUGACUAUGCUGGCUAGGAGAUUCAAAAAAUUAUACAAGAAAACUAGUGAGCAGAUAAAGUUGAGAAACUACAAGAAUCAAAAGGAGAAGGAGCCAAUUACUUGCUAUGAAUGCAAGAAGCCCAGACACAUAUGAUCGGAGUGUCUUCUUCUCAACAAGCUCAAUAAGAAGGCAAUUGUAGCUACAUAGGAUGACAACGAUGAGCAAAUAAGUGACGAUGAAGAGUAACAACAGAUGACAAAUCUAGCUCGCAUAGCAAUAGGGAAAGAAUCAUUUGAUGAACUUGAUAAGGUAAGCGAUCUUCCAACAUAUGAUGAGUUACACGAUGCUUUUAAAGAAUUACAUGAUGAUUGGACAAGAAUAGGUAAAAAGAAUGUAUCCCUUAAAAAAUGCUAGAAAUUUCAAAUAAAAAGGAUGCUUUACAAAAAUGCAAUGAUUCAUUAAAUGAAAAGAUUAAAGGACUAGAGUUAGAUAAUCAAAUGUUACAUGCAGAAUUGCAUCAUUUAAAGGUAAACAAAGUAUCUCAAAUGAUCGUGAAAAAUCACACGUUGAUGAAUUGAUGAAAAAAAUCACACGUUGAUGAAUUGAUGAAAGAAAAUGAAGUGCUUAAGAAAAAGAGUAAUUAGCUCAAUCAAAAUUAUGUUAAAAUUUACAAGUGGUCAAAAGAAUUUAAAACGAUUAUUGAGCACUAAAAAAUGUGUGUUUGAUAAAGGAGGACUUGGGUAUAAGCCUAACUUGAAACAAAAAUAUUAUAAGAAUUAUUUUGUUAAAGGAUUAUUUUGUUAAAGCUACCUCUACAAGUGAUCAUAAUAUUAUAUGUCAUUAUUGCAAUCAAAAUGGUCAUAUGAAAUAUAGAUGUCCAGUGAAAAUAAAAAUAUAUUAUGGUGUAAAAUGUGUUUGGGUUCCAAAAGGAACCAUUGCUAACACUUAAGGAUCAAAAAAUGUUUAGGUACCUAAGACUUAAGAUUUUCUUUGCAAGGUUUGAAGAAAAAUAAAAAUAAAUAGUACUUGGAUAGUGGUUGCUCAAGACAUAUGACUGGAAACUAUACAUGGUUUUCAAGUUUUACCAAAAUCGAAACUGGUGGAGAUGUUUCCUUUGAAGACAAUUCAAAGGGAAAGAUUCUCGGAAUUGGUAAUGUCGGUAAAGUAUCCUCAACUCUAAUUGAAAAUGGAUGUUUGGUUGAAAAUUUGAAAUACAAUUUGAUUAGUAUUAGUCAAUUGUGUGACAAGGGUUAUAAAGUUGUUUUUGAUAAAACUAAAUGUGUUAUUGAGAAUGCAUGUGAUAGCAAAAUUUUGUUUGUUGGAAAUAGAUGUGGUAAUGUUUACACCAUUGACAUAAACUGUGCAUCUACUCAUGAUAAAUAUUUUUCUGCGUUGCAUGAUGAUGGUUGGCUAUUGCAUAGAAGACUAGGACAUGCAAGCAUUGAUUUAAUUUAAAAAAUUUCCAAAAAUGAUUUGGUUAAAAGCCUUCCAAAAAUCGAUUUUCAAAAAGAUAGAAUUUGUGAAGCAUGCCAAUUCGGUAAACAAAUCAAAACCUCUUUUAAAAGCAAAAAUCAUAUUUCUACUUCAAAACAUCUUCAACUACUUCAUAUAGACUUAUUUGAACCUUCAAGAUAUGCUAGCUUAACUGGCAAGUAUUAUGCUUUUGUAAUUGUUUAUGAUUUUUCUAUAUAUACAUGGAUAUUAUUCUUGGCUAAUAAGGAUUAUGCUCUUAAUGCUUUUAAAGUGUUUUAUAAGAAAAUUCAAAAUGAAAAAGGGUAUGGUAUUGCAUGCAUUACAUGGAAAAGAGCUUGAAAAUCAUGCAUUUGAAACUUUUUGCAAUAAUUUUGGCAUUGUGCAUCAAUUCUCUUCACCAAGAACUCCACUACAAAAUGAAGUUAUUGAGAGAAAGAAUAGGUUUAUUCAAGAAAUGACUAGGACCAUGUUGACUGAAAAUGCAUUACCUAAGUAUUUUUGGGCCGAAGUUAUCAACACCGCUUGUUAUAUUUUAAAUCUUGUGUUGAUUAGACCUCAUCUCAAUAAAACUCCCAAUGAGUUUUGGAAAAAUAGAAAAUCCAAUAUUGGUUAUUUCAAAUUUUUUAGAUGCAAAUGUUUUAUUUUGAACACAAAAGAUAGUCUUGCUAAAUUUGAUGUUGACAUCUUUUCAGUUAUUCAAACACAAGCAAAGCUUAUAGAGCGUAUAAUAAGAGAACUUUGGUUAUGAAAGAAUCAAUGCAUGUUACGUUUGAUGAAUCUAAUCGUUCCUCUACGGAGAAAAUUGUUGUUGAUAAUGAUACAGAUGGAGAAUUACAAUAAGAAUCUUUAAAAGACAAACAAGAUGAUAUAUCACGUGAAAAUUAAGAGGAGCAACAAGAAGAAACUAAUUUGAAGCAACAUGAAGGUACUUCUCAAACACUCCCCAAGGAGUGAUGGUAUGUUUCUUCUCACCCUAAGAAUUUAAUUUUAGGAGAUCCCUCAUGAUGAGUAACUACUAGAUCAUCAUUUAGCGAUAAUUGUGAGCAUGUUGCAUUUAUAUCUCAAAUUGAACCAAAAUCCUUUUUGAAUGUGGAAAACGAUGAAUUUUGAAUUAUGGCAAUGCAAGAGGAGUUGAAUUAAUUUGAGAGAAACAAUGUAUGGGAAUUAGUUCCUAAACCGGAAAAUCAAUCUAUCAUUGGCACUAAAUGGGUAUUUAGGAAGAAAAUGGAUGAAUCCGGUAUGGUUGUAAGGAAUAAAGUUAGAUUAGUGGCUCAAUGUUGCAACCAAGAAGAAGAAAUUGAUUUUAAUGAAACAUUUGCACAUGUAGCUAGAUUAUAAUAUAUUAGGAUGCUCUUAGCAUUUGCAUAUCAUAAAGAUUUCAUUUUAUUUCAAAUGGAUGUCAAGAGUGCUUUCUUAAAUAGAUAUAUUAUAGAGGAAGUUUAUGUAAAACAACCCCCUGGUUUUGAAAAUGAGAAAUUUUCAGAUCAUGUUUAUAAGUUAACAAAAACUUUGUAUGGUUUAAAACAAGCACUUAGAGCAUAGUAUGAUAGGCUUAAAUUUUUUUUGUUGGAUAAUGGUUUUUCAAUGGGUAAAGUUGAUACAACUCUGUUUAUUAAGCAUAAGAAUCAAGACAUUCUCAUUGUCCAAAUUUAUGUUGAUGAUAUUAUUUUCAGAUCUACUAAUGAGUUUUUGUGUAAGAAACUUUUAUCUUGUAUGAGUAAAGAAUUUGAGAUGAGCAUGAUAGGAGAAUUGAAGUACUUUCUUGGACUUCAAAUAAAAAAAAUUGAAGAAUGAAUCUUCAUCAAUCAAGCCAAAUAUUUAAGAGACUUACUCAAGAAAUUUGGCCUUGAAGAAGGAAAGAUUAAAAGUACUCCAAUGAGCUCAACAAUCAAGUUUGAGAAGGAUGAAAAACGCAAGUAAGUUGAUAUCAAAACUUAUCGAGAUAUGAUCGAAUCCUUGCUUUACUUAACUGCUAGUAAGCCUGACAUUAUAUUUAGUGUAUGCUUGUUUUAAAGGUCUAUUGACACAUUGGAAGUCAAUUGUAAAAUUUGUUGAAGCCUUGGAGGCUCGCUUAGUGAAAUCAUCAAGCUCGUUGAGCUUGGGAGGGUGGACAUAGGCGGGGAUUGCCAAACCACGUAAAAAUUAUUGUGUUUGCUCUCUCUUCCCUUACUCAUUUAUUAUUGUACUUUAUUAAAUUUAUCAUUUUUGAUUUCAUUAAGGCAAUAGAUUGAAUUGUUGUGUGGUUUGUUUAGCUUAAGUUUCAAAAUCCUAAUUCACCCCCCUCUUGGGUUGCAUAACUAGUAUUUCAUUAUAUGCAACUUCGUGACAAAAUUUCGUAGCCAUAUUCAAUGAUUGGAUGCCUCAUAACAUGUUAUGAACUCUGCUGCCAUAGUAGAAGAAGCUAUGAGAAACUGUUAAGCACUCUUCUAAGUGACAGCACCCCCAGCUAGUAGGUAGAUGUAACAGGAAGUGGAUUUCAUAUUAUCUUGGCAUCCAAAAAAAUCAAAGUUAGUAUACCCAACGAUCUCAAGCUGAACCGACCUCUAAUAUGUGAGCAUAUAGUCUUUUGUAAGUAUUGUAAGACCCAUUUAGCAGUUUCCAAUGGUCUGCUCCUAGAUUACUUAAAUAUCUAUCUAAUAUCCCAGUAACGCACGCAAUAUCUGGUCGCGUACAAAUUUGAGCAUACAUUAAACUUCCUACUGCUGAUGCAUAAGGAAUUUCUUACAUUUCAUUCUCCUCAAAGUUAAUCUUAAGGCACUAAUUAAGGCUAAACUUGUCUUGCUUCGCCAUAGGGGUAUCACCUGGUUUAUAAUCUUGCAUGCCAUAUCUCUUGAGAAUUGUUUCGAUAUAACUCUUUCGUGAUAAUCCAAGAAUACCCCGAGAGCGAUCCCAGUGUAUCUAUGUGCCUAAUAUAAAAGAGGCAUCAAUAAGGUCUUUCAUCUAAAAAUUCUUAGGUAGAAAUCUCUUGGUAUUGUGUAAUAAGCCUAUAUCGCUCUGAUACCACUUUUGGAAACUGGUUAUUUUAUUAGAACUGGAUGGUUGGUUGAUUACAGAGUAGAGCAUACAAAUACUAGACCUGCUCCAAAACUCGAUGCCCAGAUACAAACCAUGGGUUCCCUUUUAUAGGAGUAAGGGAUCCACUAUUACACAAUAUUUGCAUUAUUGAUCUUUAUCACUAAGGAAUCUACUUUACAACUCAUUAUCUACUUUAUAGCACACCACACCCCUAUCCUUAUUUAAAUGGAAUCUCUCUUGUACACAUGUGAAGCACACAUACAAUUAUUACAUAUAUUAUUAUCAUCAUCGCUUCCACUAUGGGGUCCACUAUGUUUUCGCCUACAGUCCAGAGUUGCCACUUGUUGACGUGCUUUUUCCCGAUAGGUUAGCUCUCCGUUCUUCUGACAUGGUCUCCAUCCUGUCAGUGAGCUCUUGCCAAUCCACAUCCUCUAGCUAUGGUUCCACCUUCAGCUGUGGCCAUUGUUCUAGAUCUAGCCAGUCGGCUAGUUUUUCUAGCUCUCCUCUUCAUCUGUCGAUUUAGGGGGUCCUCCAUGGACAGCCUUCCUGUUCUCUGUAUCUUUCUUGCAUGUCCUCCCCCCCUUCAUUAUCGUUGUAGAGUCUCGCAUCCUGAUACCUUCCUUGUAGCAGAGGUCUGGUGUUCCUUGGACUUGUGAGGAUAUUGGGUUGUGAGUUAUUUACAUAGAAAUUGUAUCAUAAACUUCAGCCAAUGCUUUCCUUGCUGUAAAGCAUCCUGUCCACAUGGAAUUGAUGUCUUCACAUAAGUGGUUGUGUUCCACCACUUUGACUAUUGGUUCAGCAAACUCUUUACGUCUCCCUCAAAUAUCUGUUAAUUUCACAAUCACGAUAGUGGUAUGCGGGAUGUGAUAACCAUUGAUGAGUGCAAGGGUAAGGAUAUCUUCAAAAAUAGAGGCAAACAUUUUGUCAAACCAGCGCCCUUUUUCAUAUCUCCUGCUGGUGUGGAUUAAUUUUGGUUCAAAUAGUAUUGCCACCGGGUAGAUGUUCAGCCAGUACCAGAAUAUAUAGUAAGCAUGUGGGGUUAUGUCACAGAUGACAUAAUGUCCCCAGUUUGUGUUUUCAUCUAUUACAUGAUAGAAUGUACAGCCUAGCUUGAAGACUGUUUCGUGCAUCUAGUCUGGAUCUGGAUAUGGUUCGAAUGGUGUCUGGCUUCUUCUGUUGUAAGCGGGUCUAAAUUCUUGUAAGGCCAUGAGCUGCCAUAUUCACCAGGUCAAAGCUCUGUCUUAUGGGUCUUCUUUGUGAUCAAUCACCUUCUUGAAGAUUCUUUUUUGUACAUCAUCGGAAAGCCAUGAGAUUAAAGUGUUGAGAUUUUCAAGGAAGUGUCCUCUGGCUUUGUGGGCUCUAGAGCUUCCUUCUUCCCAUCGUCUAGGGAGGCUUCUUCUUGAGAUCAUAGUAACCGGUCUGGAUAGGAAAUCGGCUACUGUAUUAGAUUCUCCCUUUAUGUGUUUAACUUCGAACUUAAAUCUCGAAAGAGACUCAGACCACCUUGCUAGCUGUAAAUCUGGGAAUUCUCCUUCUUCUUUUUUUCUCAGAAGUCCCUGUAAGUAUUUAUAGUCUAUUUCAAUUAUGAAGGGGGUUAGAGAAAGAAAGAACUGGAAUUUCUUGAUCCCUUUGAUAACUGCUAAGACUUCUUUUUUCGAUGAUGGAUAGUGGCUUUGAGCAUCAUUGAACUGCCCUGAUUUAUAACCACAUACUCUUCUGUUUCCCUCGGAUUCCUCUAUCAAGAGUGCUCUCUAAUAAUAGUCACUAGCAAAUUUCUGUAAAAUAAGUUGUCCAUUGUCAGGUAUCUUUAAUGGUGGAAGUGACUGGCACUUUUGCUUUAAUUCUAUCACUGCUUUUGUCGCUUCUUUCAACCACUGUGGGGGCACCUUUCUUCAAGUGCUAGGAUAUCUAACUCGUCAUUUUUUACAAGUUAUGGACAUGAUCUGCUGCAUAGUUGAUUAUCCUAAAGAAUUGCAGGAUCUGCUUUCUGCUCGACAACUGGUCAUGAAAUUGGGAUAUUUUCUCAGUAAUGUGUGGCUGAGGAAUGAUGUAUCCCUGCUUGAUAUGUAGUCCCAAAAAAUCUACUUCUUUGAGACCUAUCUUCAUUUUUUAUUCUGACAAGGCUAACCCAUGUUUGUAUGCUAGGUCUUUGAAUUGGGAUAGGUGCUCUGCAUGCUCUUCCUCGCUGAUGCUAAAGAUAAGGGCAUCAUCAAUGUAAAUCAGACAGAAUCUAGAGAUGGAUUUGUACACUUCAUCCAUUGUGUUUUGGAAUUUUGACAGUGCAUUCUUUAAUCCAAAAGGCAUCACGUUCCACUCAUAAUGCUUGUGGGGAACCACAAAAGCUUUCUUGUGUCUAUCCUCUUCCUUUAUCUAGAUCUGCCAAAAGCCUGAUUUCAUGUCGAACUUUAAAAACACAUUUGCAUCUACUAUUUGCUUUAAAAGGUGUGUCCGACGUGGAAUGGGUAACUGAUAUCUUGCAACGUGGAAUGGGGUAACUGAUGUCUUGCAAGAAAUCAUUCAGCUUCCUAUAGUCUAUCACCAAUCUCUUUUUGCCACGUACUUAUGUUAAGUGCUUGUUGACAUAAAAUGCUGGGAUGGCCGAAUGAGACUUAGAGGGCCCGAUCAACUUUAGAUCUAUUAAGGCAUGGAUCUCUGUUAUGUACAGAUCUUCAUCAUGGGGCAUACCUGGAUGCGAAGCUGUCUGAUGAGGCAUGGUCCAUCCAUCUUUGUAAGGCAAUGACACAAAGUAUUGUUCUCGAGCCCAAAAUUGGUUUAGCACUUCUGCACAGCAUUCCAGAAGCUCCUUGAUCUGUGUUUUGAAUUUAUGGAUUGGGUGUUUCUUUAUUUUCCUCUUUUCACCCUCUCCAAAAAUGGAGUGUUUUUCAACCCAAGGAACUUGGAACAAAUGGGCAUUACCAUCCAUAGGAUUAUGAAUAGUAUAUAAGAACCCUUCGGGAAAAAAAGGCAAAAGGGGCAAUAAGACUGAGAAAAUAUGUACCCAGUAGGAUAUCUUCGCCAGUAUGAUCAAAAGCAAAGAAUCCAUGCCUUAUUCCAAAUAGCUUUACUUCAAUUGGCCUUGUGUAUUUGCGGCUAUAAAAGUCUUCCCCACUUAUUGAGCCGAAAAAAACUUGUAUAGGGACGUAACAGUCUUUAAGUACACAUGCUUCGCGUAUUAUUAAACAUAUUGCUCAUGUGUCAAUUAGAGUAGUGAGUGCCACCUGGCUUUCUUCUGAUAGAUUGAGAACUAUUUUGAUGUAGGGCAUGAAGAAGGAUGUUGGUUCCAUGGUGAAGUCAACUGGUAAUGGUUGUCUUACCAUCAUGACUGGCUCUUCUUCUUCUAAGCUGCUACUGGAAAUUUCCUCUGCUUCUCCGGUACUAUUAUCUGAUUCUUCGAGAUCAAAUAUUGCUCCAAUGGGGUUGGAAGUCCAGUAGUAGUCAUCAUCCUCAAAUUCUGCUUGUUGGAUCAUCUGAAGUAAUUUGGUUAGGAGUUUCUUUUUUUACUUGCACUGCCGUGCAUAAUGUCCUUUCUUUCUACAGAUAAAACAUCUCCCCAAACCUUUUUUCUUGGUUCGCUUCUUAAUAAAAUGAUACUUUUUUCCCUUAUAUGGCUUCUAGGGCUUUUUCUCCUUCUUACGUUUGCCUGGUCUACAGUAGCAUGUCUUGUCUGAAUGCUGGCAUCCAAACUUAUUUGGUUUGUCAUCACAAUAUUUUUAUAAUGACAUUUUCUCAAUCUAUUUCAUGUGCUUUUUUAACUCUUGUGAUCUGCAGUGGCCUUGGAUGAGUUCUGUCGCUAUUUGGUACAGUUGUGCUAUAUUGUACAUCGAUAGGUCUAUUAUUGCGUCAGCUUUGAACUUUGCUUCCAUCAUCUCUACUACAAGUCCUAGCAUGUUGAGUACGAACGUUCUGUGAAUAGUAUCAGUGGGUUUGUGAAAGAUGUAGUAUAACCUUUCUUGUUCCAGGUAGUACUCUUCCAUCUGCCUGACAUCACAGCACUUGUUCUGGAGAAAUUGCUUUUCUGUAACUUCUUCUUCUCUCAUGAACUGCCCUAGAAAAUCUAAAGAUAGAUUUUCCAUGAGGGAUCCACAGGGAUCUUCUCUGCCCAGUAUGAACUCCCUUUCAUCUCUCGUGAGCUUUCUUCCCCACCCUCUUCUGAGUGAUCCUACAAAGCCUGCUACAAGUCUCAUAGUGGCUGUUCUCCUUGUCAGCUGAGGGGCUCGCUGGCAUUCUCCUUCAUACCAUGCCGUCAUUUUUUCAAAAUAAGCCACUCUUUCUUUUAGCUUUAUCCCAUCUAUAUUCCAGAACAUUUUCCCCGUUGUUGAGUGCCCAAGUUGGACUCUCGUCUCUCAUUCUUCUCCUUGGGGUAUUUUAUCUCUUUGUUCUAUCGACGGAACCUUUCUGGGUGGUCUCCUAGUUGGAUUGGAAGAUUCUAUUCCAGAUACUACUGGUUCUGCAGCAUAUUCCUGAGCUAUAAAUUAUGUUGCUCCUUAUGGGUGUUGUGUUGAUACUUGUCUGCUGGGAUCAGAGGUCUGACCAUGUUCAGUUGUGGAUGCAGCAAAUCUUCUUCUGGUAUCCAUAUAGAAUGGAUUAGCAGGGUUGGGUCUCUCCAUUAGGAUUGGGUUUAGUGCCUCUUCAUCUGAGGAAGUUCAUGUUCCUGAAGAAGUGUUGGUUUCUUCAUCAUCCUUGUCAUCCCAUCCCAUAGCUUUUAUGAGCCAUGGAUAUUGUGGAGGCGGAGCAUAGCUUCUCUAAAAUGCUUUCUGGCAGUUUCUAUAUGCAUUUUCUUCCCAAAUGUGCCAAGGCUUGGUAUGCUUGCUUUUCCAAUGCCUGGACACUUUUCUUAUGGGUGGGCAAAAAAACUGUGCACUAGAGAAAACUGAAUCAAAUCGAUCCAAACAGUUCCGUUCGGACCGAUUUUAAUUUUAAAAAAUAACUGAAAUAUAUAGUUUGUAAAAAAAAUCAAAAUGCAGGUUCGGUAUUCGAUUCACUCAGCUGAACCGAAAAACCGGGUUAUUCUUGGAAUUUUAUUUAAAUAGACACAUGUUAAAUUUUAAUUGGUUGCGUAAGAUAACUAAAAUAGGCAUGCACACAAACGAUUACGGGUAUAUAUAUAUUUAAAAAUUAUUGUUGGUGUUUGUUUCCAAAUUUUCUUUUUAUUUUGUGUUGUAAGUUUUAAUUGUUGUUAUUUUUAUUUGUCUUUACAACAUUAUGUUUAUGUAGAUGGAGUAUUGGAGUUUGAUUAUGUAUUUUGAAAUCUUAAUAUUUCAUAUUUUGUAAGUACCUUAUUAGUAGUUAGUAAGAUAUUAGUGAUAAAAUGUGUUUUGAAUACUUUGUGUUUAUUGUUAAUAUUUGUAAUGAAAUUAGGAUAAACUAAUUGUUGAAAAAAUUAUUACAUUCAUGAGGCCGAAUGGACUAAAAAUUUAGAAAUUCAAAAUAGGCCCAAUAGGCCCAAAACCGAAAAAACGAACCAAUCUGAAAAGAUCCAUUUAUAUUCAGUUUUUAUUGAGUUCGGUUCUUAUUUGGUUCUUUUUAUAAAAUAAUCGAUUUAAAUCGGUUCUGCUUAAUUUCGAUCUGAACCGAACCGGACCGAACCAUGUCCACCCCUAACUUUUCUUGUAAAACAUUGCCUAAUCCUCUCCAUUUCUUCAGGAGAUGCAGCUCCUGUGGCGACUAUCAUUUGAUAGGUCUGGGAUUUUCAUGGAGCUGUGACAACUGCUAGGUAGUCAUUCUGUGGACUUUCCUGGUCUUUUUUAUCUACUUUCGCAAAUUGCUUAGUUCAGACAAAAUUUGCUACUGGUUAAUCAAGAUUUCUCCCAAUGCCUGAUUCUGUUCAACAGCAUUAAUGUUGUUCCAAUUGAGUGCUUUCUCGAUUAGUCCGAACUCAAUUGGAUUGACCUUUUGUAUAACCCAUCAUGUUGCGGCCAUACCUCCACACAUAUCUUUUAUGAAUUCAUUGUCGAGAUCUGGAGUGUUGAUCAUGGUAAUUGGACCCAUAAUUCUGCAGGAAGUUGAUCUUCUGGGCAUAUAAGUGCAGAAUGAGGGAGGCUUUCCUUCAAUCUGAAGAUUUUCACAUGGAUAAAGAGGUCUAGUUUCUUAAGGGAAUGAAACUGACACCCAGCCAUCUUGCAUCCUACUAACUUUUGGGGCUUCAUGGAUCUGCCGAGGCCAGUUGUUCUUCUCAUACUUAUUAAUCCAUUAAGGAGGGAAAAUGAGUUGAUUUUGUUGGUAAACCCUUGGUUGGAUUACUCUGCCUUCACCGGCUAAGAAUCUGGUGAUUGGUUUCCAGAGAUGCUCAUAGAGAACAUGUGGGUUUAGACUUUGUAGGUCAUGGAAUGAUGGAUUGCUAAGGCUGACUCAUCAGGUUUCAUUGUUAACCCAUUCAAUUGGAUUAACACUUUGAUGGCAUCAGUGAGGGAUGGUUUAUGUAGGUCUGGGGUAAAGUUAGGUUUUACUUGGAGAACAAUAUGGCCUUUAUUAAGUCCUACCUCAACAGCAGUAAUUAAGGCAUUCUCAAAUGUUUGCCAUCUAGUGUUUAGAAUGGCAAUAAAACAUGUGACAUCCUUUCCAGCUAGAAAUAAUGGUUGUAUUCCUAUCUAGAUUGCUCCUAGAUGUAGACUCUUAUACCCUUCUCUCUUGUACCUGGUAAUCUUAAGAGAAGAAAGAAUAGGUAGGUAUGUUUCUUUUAAACUGGAGGAUAUUGACUGGACAGUUAUUUCGGAGGACUUGUAAAUGGAUUUUAAUUUAGGCUGUCAGAUGGGGAUUAUGGCUCUUAAGGAAUUUAGGGUGGCGUUUACAUGGUAAUAUUUAUAUGGGUCGAGAGGAUCCAGUCUGAAGGAUUGUACCACUCUUUCUCUGUUUUCGUCUUCCUAGGUUUCAUAAUGGAAGUUUAUGGAAGGUGCACUAUCAGUAGGGACUCUAAGGGCCAAAGUGGAAGGAUCAGAAGUGAUGUGGGAUUCAGGUCUAGAAUUGUUUUGGUUUUCCAUGACUACAGUGUUUCAAAGAGUUUUCUUUAAGGUGAUAAGCCCUAAACACAUGGCUCCCCUGGCCUUAUCAAACGGACGCCACACUUAGAGGGAAUUCUCUUUAAAAGACCAAAGUUUCUAGAAAAUUUGGACAAAACAGACUAAUAUCUAACAAUUUUCUAAUGUGGAGGAUUCGAAGUAUUUCGGCAACCAUAGAGCAUAUUAUUGUUACACACCCAGGGGUUUUGGCUCUGAUACCACUUUUGGAAACUGGUUAUUUUAUUAGAACUGGAUGGUUUGUUGAUUACAGAGUAGAGCAUACAAAUACUAGACCCGCUCCAAAACUCGAUGCCCAGAUACAAACCAUGGGUUCCCUUUUAUAGGAGUAAGGGAUCCACUAUUACACACUAUUUGCAUUAUUGAUCUUUAUCACUAAGGAAUCUACUUUAUAAUUCAUUAACUACUUUAUAGCACAUCACACCCCUAUCCUUAUUUAAAUGGAAUCUCUCAUGUAUGAAAGGGGUCAGAGAAAGAAAGAACUAGAAUUUCUUGAUCCCUUUAAUAACUGCUAAGACUUCUUUUUUCGAGGAUGGGUAGUUGCUUUGAGCAUCAUUGAACUGUCCUGAUUUAUAGACACAUACUCUUAUGUUUCCGUCGGAUUCCUCUAUCAACAGUGCUCCCCAAUAAUGGUCACUAGCAUCUGUCUGUAAAAUGAGUUGUUCGUUGUCAGGUAUCUUUAAUAGUGGAAGUGACUGGCUAUAUACAUACAUACAUACAUACAUACAUACAUACAUACAUACAUACUUAUUACCACAAAAGUUAAAGUAUAUGCAAUCAUAGACCAAAUUUUUCUUGAAACCGAAUGAGAUAAUCACUUGAUAAAACUUGAAAUACCAUUAUUGAAAUGCUUGCUUGAGCCCAUGAUGGAUUUCUUAAGUUUGCAAACCAUAUUCAUUAGGUCUCCUGUCACAAAAUUUUCCGGUUACACCAUAUAGAUUUUCUCAUCAAUGUUGCCCUUGAGAAACAAUGUCUUUAUAUCCAUAUGAUGUAACUCAAGAUUGAAAUGCGCCACCAAUCCCAUUAUAAAUCUGAAAGAAUCUUUUGAAGAAACUGGAGACAAAGUCUCUUUAUCAUUGAUGCCUUUUUUCUGCAUAAAGCCCUUUGCGACAAGACGCACCUUAUACCUCUCCAUAUUACCUUUUGAAUCCCUCUUGACCUUAAAUAUCAAUUUGUAAUAAAUAUGUUUCGCACCUUCUGGCAAUGGGACAAGAUCUCAUAUGUCAUUAUCCUUCAUGGACUUCAUCUCUUCAUUCAUGGCAUCUAUCCACUUCUGAGAGUUUGAACUAUCCAUGGCUUCAUAGAAAUUAAUUGAAUCGUCUUCCAUCACUCCAAUGUUUGCCUCAUAUUCUUAAAGAAAUACAUUGUAGUCAUUUAGCACUGCACUUCUCAUUUCUCUAGUGGAUCUCAUUAAUGGCAUAGGUUCUUGAGGUGAUAGAGUUUGUUCUUCUAGAAUAACUUCUUAUAUAAAGGGUUCUCCAACAUUAUCUUGAUUUGUUGUGUCUUGAACAAGGUCAAGAAUGAGACCCUGAUCAAUGCCAAUAACACUUAUGAGAAUAUUAACAUAUUCUUCUUCAAAGACAAAGUCUCUAGUCAUAUCUCCCCCCGUAAACUCGACAUUCUCAAAGAACCCAGCAUUUCUCGACUCGAAAAUUAACUUAGUCGUGGGAUCAUGAAACUUGUAACCCCUGGAUCGUUCUGAGUAUCCAAUGAAAUAUCAACUCACCAUAUUUCGGUCUAGUUUUUUCUCAUUAGGCGUAUAAGGUUUUUGCCUCAACUAGACAUCCUCGAGCAUGCAAGUACUUUAAACUAAGCUUCUUACCCAUCCAAAGCUCGUAAGCGAUUUUGACAGUCGCUUUAGAUGGAACUCUCUUUAGGAUACAUGUUGCAGUCUUAAAUACUUCUCCCCAAAGUGAUUAUGGUAAGAUAGAAUGACAAAUUAUACUCCUCACCAUGGCGUUAAACGUCGUGUUUCGUCUUUCAACGACACCAUUCAUAGUGGGGGAACCCAGCUGUGGGAUGAUACCGCAUUCCUCUAGGAAUUUAGCAAAUAGUUUGGGACGUUGUUUACCUAAAUCGUCAUAUCUACCAUAAUAUUCACCACCACGGUCAAAUCUGACGUUUUUUAUUCUUUUGCCGAAUUGGUUCUCAACUUCAGCUUUUAAAUUUUUUAACAUACCCAACGACUAUGACUUUUUAUGGAGGAGAUAUAUGUAGCCAUGUCUCAAAAAAUCGUCUAUGAACACAUAAAAUAUUGUUGACUAUUCGAAGCAUCUACAGGUAAUGACCCUCAAAUAUUCGUAUGCGUGAGUUUUAAAACAUCCAAAGUUCUGUUGGCUUUAAAUCUCCUUUUAUCGAUUUGCUUCCCCUUGAUACAGUUAACACAUAUAUAAGAAUCUGUGAACUCUAAGGGCUUAAGAAUUUUGUCUGACACAAGUCUCUAUGUUCUCUGUUUAAAGAUAUGACCUAAUCUCCUGUGCCAUAACGUAACUAAAUUCUUAUUGGUUUCCUCCUUAAACCCCGUGUACAUAAUUAUAGGGAUUCAUUAAAUGAAGCAAUCAUGUCAAGCAUAUAAAGAUUAUCAUAUCCUGACAAAGAACUGGAACCAAUUAGUUUUCAAUCAUGAAACAAACUGAAUUUUCUAUUUCUAAAUAAACAAGAAUAACCAUAUUUGUCCAAAGUUUUAUCAAGAUUCAAAUAAAAUUUGGUCUAUAAUAACAAUCAAAAUUUUCCAAUUGCUUCAACUUCAACAUUCUUCUCAUCACCCAUAUAGAUGUAUCUUUUACCAUAAUUGGGCUUUCGGUAAUUCAACCAACCUUAUAUAGACACCUAUCCACCACGCGUGUCUAUAUACGGAAGCUAAAUUAACCUUAGAACAAAUCAAACCAUGCUCUUCAGCUCCAUAAAAGAAACAACUAAUGGCUUCUAGAUAAUACAAUUUCUUCUGUUGUUUCUUUUGAGGUGUUGUAUCUGCAGCUUUCUCACUCUUGUUCCUUUUCUUGCCCUUGUCCUCGUCCUCAUAUGUUAUUGAAAUUAGGAUUGUCAAGCACGUACUAAUUUUAGCAUUUUCCUUCUUGACAUAAACCUCUGUUCAUGACCACGAUAGUUAUGACAAACCUUUGUUCAAGUUCUACAGAGAACUCCUUAGCUGUAGUUGCCUUUUCAGACAUUAAACCUCUGAAUGCUUCCGGAAUGGCCUUUUUCAUGACCAUGAUACACAUGCGAUUUAAUAUCUCCUACCUUUGCAUAUCCCUCUUGUCAUCAAGGGUACUCUAAUUUGCAAGAGGUGGGGAAGAAUCAACCCUUAACGCAAGGUCGAGACCUAUGACUGCAAGAACUAUUAAGAGGAUCUCUUGCCAUAACUUGAAGUUAGAGCCACUUACCAUAGGAAUAAAAUUGAUGUUGGCAGUAAUAUUAGCAGGAGUCAUAACUAAACAAAAAAUAAUGAACAAACAAAACAAGCUCCUGUAAGUCUUAAAACAAAAGCAAAUUCAAAUAAAGGUAAACUCAUCUCGAGAUACUGAACACUCCAUUAAUAUUUCAUCUUUAGACAAAAUACUAACUUGUAGGUAAUAUCUUGAUAUAGUAAUCAAGCAUUGAUAAUAAAAACAUGUCAAACAAAGAAACUUUUUUUGGACUGAUUAAUUGCUCACAUGUUAAACCAAAUAAUCAUCAUGUGUUUAUUACCACAGGUGCACAUGCAAUUCUAUUAAAUAUGGACCUUCCUUUGGACUGACCGAUAUUUACAGAAAUUACAUAUACAAAACCGCUUAUAUUCCAAAAUAAAUUAAUAUCCAUAAGAGAGGUCAGUUUGGCAACAUGUUGCUUCAAUUAAUUUAUCUCAAAAUAUAUAUAAACCAACAAUAUUUGAAUUUAAAUUGCACUAAAAAUUACCCAAAAAUUAAAAAUUAAAAAAUUCAGGUCAUAAUGAAAGUAUGACAGUUGACCAAUCAAACUUUGACCGAUUUAGACCAUUGACCGGUUCUGGACCAGUCCCAAAUAAAAAAAAAACCAACAUUUUUAUUUUAUGGCAGUCUUGCUUGAAACUAUUCUAUAGCGGCCUGAUGGUUGCAGCAUCACUGCUAAUGCAGCCCAAUGCCGCGUCUUGCCGGUGUCGCCUUUCUUUUUUUCUCUUAAUUCUUAAAGCCGUCGUUUUUGCUAGAUCCGACCCCGACGUGCAUGGCCAAAGUGUUGUGCCUCUCGCUAAUGCCGACGGUGGCAGUAGCUGCUGUUGGCUAUAGUCCUUAAAAAGAAGAAAGAAUCCUUUUUAUUAAUCCUUAAAAAAUUUUUAAUUUGUCUCAAAUUCCAAAUUUAUUUUUGCUAAAUACCAAAAGUCAACCACAAAUUUGUUCUCAAAUUUAAUAAUAUUAGAAUUAUUAAAUUCAAGAACACCAAAACUUUAAUUAUUAAUAAAAAUAAAUCUAACUCUCAAUGAUUCAACAUGAAUGAGCUCUAAUACCACUUGUCAGAAUAAGAAAACUUUAAAUGAAAAGCAUCACCUAUAACCCAGGAAUAUUCAUGUUUUAUCACCAAGAAUCAAUAAUAAAAUAUAUGCAGAAGCGUACCUGAAUCCAUAAUGUUUAAUUGCCCUCUAAGGUGGUGUGGUUAGCCUUUCAGAUCAACACAUUCUCCUAGAGAAUCCUUCAAGUUUUCCACUGCUCUCUCUCUCUCUCCGAUGAUGGAAUGUCAAAAAGAAUAGAAAGAUAUGUUUGACCUGGGGACCAUAACCACUUAUAUGUACAACAUUUUCCUGUUGUCAUUAGAUAUUCCUAAUUCUGCCCAUCAUAGAAUUAAUAUACCAUUGGGUCUUUACACAUUGAAAGCUCACACCCUAUUAGAUACAUUAAAGCUCAUAAUACCAAAAAUCUUGAUAGAUCACUUUUAAUUAGGUUUAACCUUAUAUGACAGUUUGCAACACAUAAUUAUUCACAUAUAAACCCAACGUUGGAUUAAUAUUGGAUUAAAAAAAUCCAACAUAAAUUAUAUUUCAAGCAUUAAUGAAAGGCGAUCAUUGUUAUCAUUGAAAAGAAAAGAGUUUGGAGGAAACGUUUUUGAGAAAAUUAAGGUUUUUGUUCUUGAAAGCUUCUUUUUAAAAGUUUCUACUGAUUUUUUGAAAACUUCUUUUUAAACACGAUUUCCAUUGGCCUGUUUAGUUGUUAAUAUGUUAAGAAGGCAUUUUUUGACGUGAGUCAGGAGCUAAAAGUGUUUUUAACCAGCAUGUUUUCAGAAGUAGUUUUUUUUUUAACUGAUUAAGCAUCUGGUUACUUUAUUACACAGAUAUUUAUAUUAAAUUAUGUGAAGUACAUGCCCAAAUAAAUAACCCUCACUGAGGAGGAGUAUCUCUACUCCACUCGCAUUUCGCAAGGGAGAAAGACUUUACAAAUAAUCUCCACACAAUUAUGCUUAAUUGAGGGAAGUUGAUUCCAUGGGGACUCGAACCAUUAUCCUCAUAGUCAUGCUUAAUUUUGAGGGUAGUGGUUCACCACUUGGCCUUUUCAGAAGUAGUUAAAUAAACUUUGAAGGGUCAGUUUUUGCCAAAGUAGGUUUCAUAGUUUUAACAAAAACUUUUUGGAAUUCGCUAUAUAUUAGUGGGAAACCAGCGACAUAUAUUCUGAUGGUCAACCUAAAUGGGGACUACAUCAAUUUGCACUACUGGUAUAAUAAGGCAGGUACCUAAAUGGGGACUACAUCAAAUUUUUGGAAUUCGCUAUAUAUUAGAGGGAAACCAGCGACAUAUAUUCUGAUGGUCAACCUAAACGGAGACUACAUCAAUUUGCACUACUGGUAUAAUAAGGCAGGUGCAAGUCUUCCCCUAGUUUGAACUAGUCGCCCGUUUAUCUUUCCUCUUCUUUGGUGUCAAAGCAUCUCUUUUGUUCUUGUUUUAAAUAUUUUUUAUAUAAGUAGUUACAAGGCAGACUUCAUUGACUUUAUGAUAUAUUUCUCUCGAUUGCUAAAUUUGCUCAAGAUCUUGAAAACUUCUAUAAAAAUCCAUUUACUAUUUUAGAAAAAGAUUUUGAUACUUGGAUAGAAAAUAACCCUUAUAUAGAAAUUUUAGAAAUUGUAGAAACUGAAGCAGCAAGAAUUCGUAGUGAACAAUUACAAUUAAACAAUUUAUUAGAUGAAAAAUUUGGAAAUAUAAAACUUCCAAUAGAUUACACAUUUCUUUUACCUCCUGAAAUAGAAAGACAAAUAAGUAUUAAACAUUACGCUUUUACAAAUUUGCCUAUAUUUAACUUUAGAAAGUAUAAUUUACAAUAUUAUAAUAUUAAUAAGCAAAUGAAAUUAUUAGACAAGUACGAAAUCUACCAUUAAAAAUUAGAAAUAAAUUAGAAGAUUUAAAAAAUUAGUUUCUGAAUUUUUAGAGAUUAGAAUAUUUAGAUUUAGAAAUUAGCCACCAUAGAAAAAAAAUUAAAUUUAACAAAAAGAGUUAAAAUUAGUUGUAAUAUAGAACACUUAAAAAAUCAAUUUAAACAUAUUCCACACACUAGCAAUAGUCAACAAAAUUUCAUAGUAGUCCUCUUACUUAACUUAAGACAAGACCUAGAAGUCAAUAUUGAAAAGCUAAAAGAACUAGUUCUAGGACUAGGAAAAUUCUUCGAAACUAGUAAUAUUAACACGUUAAGAAGAAAUUUAGAUUAUAUUAAAGAAUUAGUAGCAUAUUUUAAUAUUCAAAUUAAAAGAUUCCCUAGCAAGAAAUAAAUAAUAGAAUUAAUAUGAUUAUUAGACAUAAAAACACCUAAUCCAGUAGAACCAGAAAUUAACAACCUUGUAGAAAGUUUAAAAGUAAAAAUAGAAAAUAUUAAAUUUACAUAGAGAGAUUUACAAAUACAAUUAGAUGCCAUAAAAUUAAUAGUCAGUGAAUGAAUUCAGAAAAAAUAUUAAUCAAACCUUUAGCAAAAUUAAAAUAUGACAUACCACAUCUAAAUCCAGUAAGUUAUAACUUUAAAGAAUUUAGUUAAGAAAAUAAUAGUAUCCAGCAAGCACAAACCAAUACUAUUAUUAAAUUAUUAGUCAAAAUCAGUAAUAAGUUAGAAGACAUAGACAAUAGACUUAGUAAAUUAGAAAAUAAUUUUUAAAUAUUUAGAAAGAAUAAAGAAUCCGUAUCAAACCUAAAACUUAGCAACUCAUUAGAUAAUUUAGAUAAAGAACUAGACAUAUUAACCAAUAGAGUAGAAAAUUUAAAUUUAAGUGGACCAAUCUUAGCACCUAGAACCGUAGACAUUAAAGAUAUUUUAGGACCUAAAGUAAUAUUAAAAAGAAAUGAAAUAGUAGAAUCGAUGUAAAUAUGGUAGAAAGACUUAAAAGAUCUUUAUCAUUUUCUAGUAGAGGAAAAUAAAUUAUAGAAAGAACUGAAAACAUAAUAGAUGAACAAGAUCCAGAUAAAUUAUUAGAAAGAGGAUUUGAAAAAUUAGAAGAAAAAAAAGAUUAUAUAAUGAAGGAUUAAUGUCAAAAGUAAAUAAUAGUUUACAUAUUUAUACAAAUGAAACUAAAUUAUCAGUAGUAAAUAAAAGAGAAGAAUUAACAUUAAUCAGUCCAAUAGGUAGAGACUAUCUUAGAAAACAAAAUUACAAUGGCAUACAUUGGGAAUAAUAGUUAUAGGAAUUCUUAGUCAGGCUAGAGAAGGACUGGACAUAAAGGCUCAUUUACAUCUAUAUUAUAGUAGCUUUUAUGACCAUGAACAAGCUCAAAUAACCAGUGGAAAAGUAGACUUAAAAAAUAAAGUAGCUGUAGUAGGAUGUAUGCUUAAUAUAGACAUAUAAAAAGUGUACAAACUAAAGGUUACAAAAUGAAUGCAGGAUAUAAAAACCUUACAGUUAAUACAUUUUUUCUAGAAAAAUUGUAUAAUGAAUAUCAUAAUAAAUUUAGAUUUGAAAGUAAAAAGAUAGUCGAUUGUUUUAAAAGCCAAUAUGUAGAAACAGUAGUACCUAAGAAAUCAAGUAGUAGUGAAUUAAAUGGAUUAGAAUUGAUAUUACCUAAAUUAGAACAAGAUAAUGUGAUAGAAGUUCCAAAAACAAGCUAUACAUAUAUAAAUAGAUAAAAGAGAAAUUUACAACCUUCCACCUGUUUGUUUUACAUUUUUCAAAAAUACACAAACACUUGUUUUUUCAACGCGCCACCUAAAGUUUACUUUUUGUUGCAUUCGUCCACUUCCAUCUAAUUUCUGUUAGCGAAUUUAACAGAAUGACCUUUUUACCCCUCAAAAUUACAAUUUAACCCAAAAUAAAUAGAAAUUGGAGAUAAAUUGGAUGGAUUUGAAUUUUUUCCAAGGCGGNNNNNNNNNNNNNNNNNNNNNNNNNNNNNNNNNNNNNNNNNNNNNNNNNNNNNNNNNNNNNNNNNNNNNNNNNNNNNNNNNNNNNNNNNNNNNNNNNNNNNNNNNNNNNNNNNNNNNNNNNNNNNNNNNNNNNNNNNNNNNNNNNNNNNNNNNNNNNNNNNNNNNNNNNNNNNNNNNNNNNNNNNNNNNNNNNNNNNNNNNNNNNNNNNNNNNNNNNNNNNNNNNNNNNNNNNNNNNNNNNNNNNNNNNNNNNNNNNNNNNNNNNNNNNNNNNNNNNNNNNNNNNNNNNNNNNNNNNNNNNNNNNNNNNNNNNNNNNNNNNNNNNNNNNNNNNNNNNNNNNNNNNNNNNNNNNNNNNNNNNNNNNNNNNNNNNNNNNNNNNNNNNNNNNNNNNNNNNNNNNNNNNNNNNNNNNNNNNNNNNNNNNNNNNNNNNNNNNNNNNNNNNNNNNNNNNNNNNNNNNNNNNNNNNNNNNNNNNNNNNNNNNNNNNNNNNNNNNNNNNNNNNNNNNNNNNNNNNNNNNNNNNNNNNNNNNNNCAAUUGACCAAUUUUGUAUUUAUUUUCCUCCAAUUUCUAGCCUCCACCUUUGAAAAAAACCAAAUCCAUCCAAUUUAUCUCCAACUUUCAUUUAUUUUGGGUUAAAUUGUAAUUUUGAGGGGUAAAAAUAUCAUUUCGUUAACAUUCUGUUAAAUUCACUAAUGGAAAUUAGACGGAAGUGGACGAAUGCAACAAAAAGCAAACUUCAAGUGGAGCGCUGAAAAAAAAAAAUGUUUGUGUAUUUUUUAAAAAGGCAAAACAAACAGGUGGAUGAUUGUAAAUUUCCCUAGAUAAAAUCAAGCUACACAGAGAUUUAGUAAAUAUAGACAGAGAAAUAAUCCAAAAUUAGACAAAAAAAGAAGAAGAAAUAGAAAUCAAUAUGGCUAUAAUAGAAAAUUUAAGUAUUGAUAAACAUAAAACAUUACUUAAUAAUAAAGAUAAAAAUAUAAAUCUAAUAUUUAAUGAUCCUAAAAAAUACUUAGAUGAGGAACUAUUUGAAGAAUUAUGUAAUAACGAUGAAUUAGUAGAUGGUAUAGACAUAGAAGUUACAGAAAAUUUAAAUUUCAAGAAUUUAGAAAUAGAUUAAAUUUAUUAUUUAGAACAAGUAGAUGAAAUAUUAGUCAAAGAGGAAGGUGGAAAGCCAUAACUAGGAGAAAGUAGUAAUAGACCUAUAUUAGAACCAAGAGUAGAACCCUCAAAUGUGGAAAUUUAUUUAAAUAAAGAGGAAUCCCAUAAAGUAAUGAAAAGUACACAGAAGCAGAAAGAGUAUUUAAAACUAAAAUAAAAUUAAAAAGUUAGAAAACAAUGCCACAAGCUAGAGAUUUAUUAGUAUUAGAAUUAGAAAGACAUAGACCCGGUGAAUGGAAACAAGUAUUUAACAGUGGGAAGGUGAUUUACUUAGACAUUCUAUAGAAGCAUUAGUAGCUAUAGUAGACCCAAUUAAAAAUUAAUAUAAUUAGAAAUUAUUUUAGGAAGUAGAGAAAAAAAUAUAUAUUUAGGAUAGAGAGAAUGGAUGAAGAAAAAUAAAUUAGAAGAGUUAGACAAUUUUGAUAUAAAUAUUAUAGUAAUUAGUUUUAUAGAUUUAAUGAAAAAAUUAAUAUUAGGAGUAGACAAAAAAGAUGAUAUGAUUACACAGAUUAAAGCAAUUAGAAAUUUAGAACAAUUUAAAAUUUGUGAUUUAAGAUAUUUUGAUGAAUAUGCUAAUUAUUUUUAUAAAUAUUGGAGUGAAAUAGGAAGACCUUUGAUGAAGAUUUAUUAUUAAAAUUUGUAGAUAAACUACUACGAAAAAUAAGAGAAAAAUUACAUAAUAAAUUAAUUAAUUGGUUUAAAACUAAAAGAACACAAGGAAUAAACUAUUAUGCUACAUUAUGACCAGUAAUGGAAUACGUUAAAGACAUGAUUAAAGAAUACUGUGAAGAAGAAAAAUAUAGACAUCAAAUAAAGUUACAAUUUAUAAAAUUGUUUAUUGACAUGACAGAAGUACCGACAUUAGGCUGUAAUUAUCCUAGUUAUUUUAGACAUAAGAAACAUAGAAAACAUAGGAAACGAUAUAGUCAAAAUAAGCAACCUUAUAGGUAUAAUAGUAGAAAAUUCUAUAAAAAGAAACUUUUUUAAAUAUAAUUAUAAUAAACAAAAAGUUAGAAAAGCAUUCAAAAAGGGAAAAAGAAUAUAUAAAAGAAAUAAAGCUUGUAAAUGUUUUUUAUGCUGUAAAAAAGGACAUAUUAAAUCAGAUUACCUAGAGAAUAAAAAGAUCAAUCAAUUUGAAGUAGAUAGUUAUAAUAUAGAAGAACAUAUUUUAGACAUAGAAGAAAUUCUUAAUGUAGGUCAAUUACCUGACAAUGAUAGUAUAUGUAGUAUUAGUAGUGGUGAAUCAGACACUAGUAACAAUUCAAGUUCAGAAUCAAACUUAGAAAUAGAAUCAGAUUUAGAAAUUAAUGUUAUAGAAAUUUACACAUCAUUUUUUGUAGGGGUGGGCAAAAUACCCGAUCCGAUCCAAAAAAAAUCGGGUUCGAAUCGGAUCAGAUUGUAAAGAAAACCCGAUCAGGUGCAUUUGUGUCAACCCGAUCGGAUCAUGAUCGGAUCGGAUUGGGUGGAUUAUGAUCGGAUCGGGUUGACCCGAUCGGGUUGACACAAAAUAAAAAAAAAAAUAAACCUCAAAUACACACCCCACACACACACCGGAACACAUAUACACCACACACACUAGAACACACACGCUGGAACACAUACACACCACACACACUGGAACACAUACACACCACCCACGCACUGGAACACACACAUUGGAACACACACGCUGGAACACAUACACACCACCCACGCCCUGGAACACACACACACCACGCCCCCCACGCACUGGAACACACACACUGGAACACGAAGUGAACACCACACACACUGACACACCCACAGCCCCCUGCCGACCAGCAACAUAAUCGCCCACACCCACCCACAAGCCACAGCCUCCCUCUCUUGCAUCCCACUAUCGACGGAAACAAGCGACAGUUAUACAGCCCACUCCAACCGAGGCUACUCCGUGAGAAUGGUGACCCGAUCUACUGAUCUACUGCUACCAAGUACCGGAUCUGCUGCGUCACCUCCACGCCUCCAAUCCUCCGCCAUCACCCGAUCCGAUUCAAGCUCCAUUUGGCUGUUGAGUUUUGAAAGCUUUGGGUUGUUGCUGUAAAUGUGUAGAUCGUGUGUGUGUAAAUGGGUAGAUUGUGUGUGUAUUUUUUAUAUCCGACCCGAUCCAAUCCGAAUUAUAUUCGGAUCGGGUCGGAUCGGGUUAUAGAUUCGGGUUGAAUUCGGAUGAGUUCUCAUCUAACCCGACCAACGCGAAACCCGAUCGGGUUGAUCCGAACCCGAACCGAACCCGAUUUUGCCCACCCGUAAUUUUUUGGUAAAAAUUGUAUAAACUGUGAUAAAAAUUUUGAAUUAGGAUAUAGAGAUACAAUCACAGGAAAAGUUCUUUUAUAAUAAUUGUAAAGAUAAACAACAGGAUGGUAAUACAAUAGAAAUAAACAGAGCAAGUAGUGAACUAAUAAAUACAGAUGUAUGAUUAUUAUUUAAAAAAGAAAUAGUUUAUACUAAAGCAAUGAUAGACACAUGUGAAAAUAAAUGUAUUAUAAAUGACAGUUUAAUACCUAAAGAUAAUAGGAAUAAGCUUAGAAAUCUAGUAAAUAUUAGACGAUUUAAUAGUGAAUUAAUUCAAAAAACAGAAUGUAUAAAUAAUAAACCCAUAAGAAUAAAUGGAGAAACACAUAUUUUACCAUAAACAUUCAUUUGUAAUAAAAAUGUCGGAUAUAAAUUUAUUUUAAAAUUAAACUUUAUAUUAGGAAAUAAUGGUAGUAUAUUAAUAACUCCAAAUGGAGUGAAUUUCUUUAAAAAAAUCAACAUUUAUUCAACCUAACAAUGAGACACACAUUUUUCCAUACGAAUAGAAAACUUUAAUGAUCGAAAAAGAUGUAGACAUAAAAUUUUUUGAUUCUUUAUUAGAAGAAGAAAAAGCAGAAAAAUCAAAAGAACUAGACAACAAAAGUAAGUUAGAAGUAGAAAGUGAUAUGCAUGAAGUACAAAUUUUAGAUGACAAAGAAAUAGACAAGUACUUAGAAGAUGUAAUGAAUGUAGAAAAACAAGUAGAGUGUUUAGAAUAUGAAAAAGGGCCUGAAGAAAUUAGAAAAAAAUAGAAAUAAUAGGUAACGGUCCGAUUAGAAAAGAUAAUAAGAGAGUAUACAAAUUUGAAAUCAUUAAUCCAAAUAUAACAAUAGAAACACAAGAUUUAGCUUAUAGUUUAGAAGAUAUAAAAGAAUUUAAAAUGCAGUUAAAUGAAUUAUUAGAAUUAAAAGUUAUUAGAGAUGUACGCAUUUAUUGUAAAUAAUCAUAGUAAGCAAAAAAGAGGUAAGAGUAGGAUGGUAAUUAAUUAUAAAAGAUCAACCGACAAUACUCUAGAUAAGAGUUAUAAAAUACCUAAUAAAGAUGAAUUACUAAAAUGUAUACAAAAUGCUAAAUAUUUUUCUAAAUUUGAUUGUAAAAAUGGAUUUUGGCAAAUACGACUCUGAAUAGUUUAUAUUGAUGAUAUUCUUGAUUUUAGUCAAAAUAAGUUUAUGCAUAUUACUCAUUUACAUAAGAUUUUAGAUUGUUUUAAGAAUAAUAAUAUAUUAAUUUCUAAAAAGAAAAUUCAAAUAUUAAAACAAAAAAUAGAUUUUUUAGGACUAACAAUAGACAGAGAAACUAUAGAAUUACAAUCAUAUAUAGUUAGCAAAAUAUUAGAAUUUCGAUACAAAAUAAAAGAUAUCAAAGAACUACAAAAAUUCUUAGGAUUAUUAAAUUACAUUAGAAAAUUCAUACCAAUCUUAGUACAUUAAUAAGACCUUUAUAUAAUAAAUUAAGUGAAAAUGAACAAAAAUAUUUUAACAGUGAAGACAUAAAAUUAGUUCAAAAAUUUAAAGGAAUAGUAAGAUAUCUUAAACCAUUAGCAUUACCUAUAGAUAGUUACUAUAAAAUUAUACAACAAAUGCAAGUAGUUUACGAUGGGCAGGAAUAUUAAUACAAAAACCUAAUAUAGACAGUUCAAAAGAUAAAGAAGAAAUAGUAAUGUAUACUAGCAGUAAAUUUACAGAAUGAAAGAUAGAAAAUCAAGUAUAGAAUUAGAUAUUUUAGGAAUAAAAAAAUCUUUAAAUUCAUUUCAUUUGCAUAUGAAAAAUGACACAUUUACAAUAAGAACAGACUUUAAUAAUAUUAUAGAAUUUUAUAAAAAAACACAAAAGAAAAAAUUUGAGAAGAAAAAUUAUUUUAUUAGCAAACGAUGGAUAUACUUUUUAGAAGUAAUAACAGACAAAGGAUAUAAAGCAAAGUUUGAGCAUAUAGGAGAUGAAAUUUCAGUCCCUCUUGGGAGCAAUUCUAUAGUACCUCUAUUGUACUAUAUCUAUUUAAUGCAUGUAUGACAUGUGUGCAUGAAUUAAGUAUAACUAUCGAUUACCUGAUGAUUUUUCAGAAUAAAUGCACGCAUAUCAUACACGUAUUGAGUAAAAUUCAAUAGAGGUGAUAUAAAAUCUCUCAUUUUUUUAGAUGUGAUUGAUGCAUGAAACCUUUCACUUAUUAUUUUCUCGAAAGGCUAUCCUUUUUUUUAUGGUGAAGUUGUUAAGAUUCUCAUUUGGAUGCAAUUUGGUAAUUUAAACUUCUGAAAUUUUUUAAAACAUUAAAAGUAAAUUUAAGACAAAGAAAAUUCCAAACAAGACUUCUGAAACCCCAAUAAGAGCAACAUUGCGACUUUGUAUGGCUCCCAAAAGCCAGGUGCUAUGACUAUAAUGAGCUUAUAGUGAUAGACAAAGCGUGGGAGCGAGAUAAGCCCAACAAAUUAAUGGAGAGUACAGCAUCAUGAAGAUUUUAAAAUUGAAUAAUGUGUUUCAUUCAAAAUCUAAAAAUUGAAUAAUGUGUUAUUGGAUCACUGGAUGUAAAUUAGGAUUUAACUUGUUCCAUUUAUAUGAAUAGAUUGACUAGGAACUCUUCAACACAAUCUCCAAGCAACGGCUAAAUUCUUGGCUAGGAAAUUUCAUAAUACCAGUUUAAUUUCUUUUAGAGUGCUUGGGGUGAUCAGUUUGCUUUUUCGGGGUGACAAAAGGAAUUAGAGUUUCCACACAAUAAUUUGCAUUGACAUUGAGAUGAUCCGCCUUGAACUCUAAAGGUGAGUCUAGCUUCUUUGUUCUAAAUUAAUUAAAUAAAAUUAUUAAUAAGGAUCUUGCCAAAAAUUUAAUGCAGUCUCUCUUAUACUUUUUACAUUUUUAACCUAUAAAUCUGUAAAAUAAGUACUCUAAAAUAAUUUAAUAUUCAACCAAUUGCAUUGAUCAUUCUCCCCAAGCACAUAACAUCAUUCAUUAUUGUAAAUAAUAUACUUAAAUGAUAACAUCCAAAUAUUACCACAUAUUUUCAAUGGUUUCCAAAAAUAUGUUGCAACUAAUAGAUUAAAUAUUUACAAUAAUCAUAUCAAACUAUACAAUCCAAAAUGAAGUGAUCAUAAUGCUCAAAUAAUAUGAUCUACAAUUCUUAGCAAUAUCACGUGGCUAAAAUUCAAAAUAAUCAUAGUCACUGGAUCAACUAAUGUAUUUGGAAUCUUCUCGAGAGAGAAAAAUACAGUAAAAUAGAGUUUAUUCUUAUUCAUAACUAGCCCAAAUUAGAAUUAAAUUUUUUUUAUGAUUGUAAGAAGAUUAUUCAUCUAUAUAGUAUCAUUACUGAGAGAUUUUACUGUAUUAGGAUUUAGGCAAACUCCAAUCUUCCAUAUUCGAAUUUGAAUAAUGCCAUAUGACAACACAUAAAAUUAUACAUAGGCACAAAAGAUAAGAAGCAUUUCAAUAUAAAAUAAGCUUAUUAUUUUAUCUUAUUAAUUUUAUCUUUAUAUGUUAGUGUCCCCGUUUCAUUUAUCAGUUAUAAUUUUGCGUGCAAAUAACAUUUUUCUUUCAAAUUUUAUUUCUAAAUUAUUUUCGCUGCAUAUCGUCUAUGUCUCUUCAUGCCAGUGUACGAUACUCGAUGACAUUGACUCAUUGACCACAUUUGGUGUAGUGCCAACUCUUUCUUAAGCUUAAAAUAAUGAAAUGAUUGCAUCUACUUUACAAAACAUUUUUUUUUUCUUUUGUGAAGUAAUGUUUUCUGAAGAAUGUACUUACUAGUGCUUUCUUUUAAAAUUUAGUUGUUUGAAUGAAAAUGAAAAGGUAUUUAUGUGUUACAUAGAUUUAAAAGAAAAAAAUUGAAAAACUAAUUCUAUAUAUACGAUUUUGAUCUUACAAAUUUUAAAUAUUAGAUAAUUACGUUAGUACCUAUAGGCAUUAACAUAACUUUUGAUACUCAUAGUAUAUGUACUUUGAAUUUUCUCCAAAAAAUUGGAUAACCUGGAUGAUAAUUUCUCGCAACGAAUUAAACUUGCAAAAAAAAAAAAAAAUGACCCUGAUCUCAUAUUUGAUAAGUGUAUUGAGAGUUUAACUCAACGACCAUUGAAGGAAGCUUGGCAUGAAAUUAUUGGAUGGACUUGAAAAGGGGAAAAGAAGUUCAAAAAAGUAAGCAAAGCAAUCAUUUUACACUUUCAUUUAUCUUUAUUCUUCUUUUAGAGUACUUUAUGGCUGCUUCUUCUCCUGCUCCUCCUUCUUCUCAUUAUAAAGUAGAUGCCAGAAGUCUCUUUUUUUAGAUGUCAUCAACUAUUUUGUAAAGUUCCAUGGAAGGAAUAAAGUAGCUGAAGCAUCAAUAUAUGCCCUGCAGUGACAUUCAAUUCACAUAAAAUCAUAAAUUUUCUGACCAAAAUCUCUCUAAUCAAUUGAACCGUUUCUCUAUGGCUUCUUCUUCUUCUUCUUCUCAUUAAAUGUACAUGCCACAAGUAUCUUUUUUAAGAUGUCAUCAACUAUUUCGUAAAGUUCCAUGAAGGAAUAAGUAGCUAAAGCAUCGAUAUAUGCCCUGCAGUGACAUCCAAUUUAUAUAACAUCACAAAUUUUCUGGUCAAAAUCUCUCUAACCAGUUGAACUGCUUCUGUAAUGGCUUCUUCUUCCACUUCUUCUUCUCAUCCAUCUAGCAGUUUGAGUUCGAUGAAUAUUUGAAACAAUAAGUAUGAUGCUUUUCUUAGUUUCAGAGUAGUGGACACCCGUGACAGCUUUACUAGCCAUCUUCAUUCUGCUUUGUGUCCAAAAAAGUAUUGAAACUUUCAUUGAUGACAAACUUAUCAGAGGAGAUGAAAUUUCAGAGUCCCUUCUUGAUACAAUUGAAGCAUGAAGCAUUUCAAUUAUCAUUUUCUCCGAAGCUAUGCUUCUUCAGGAUGGUGUCUCGAUGAACUUUUAAAGACCCUCGAAUGCAGGCACAAUUAUGGAUAGAUUGUGAUCUCUUUCUUCUAUCGCGUAGAUUCAUCACGUCUGAGAAAGCAAAUUGGGAUUCUUUUGGAGAUUCAUUUUUGAAGUUUGAAGAAGGAUUUCCAGGGAAGAUGCAAGAUGGAGGAGUGCUUUGACGGACGCAGCCAGUCUCUCUAGCUUUGAUUCUCUUGUCAUUAGGUAAAAGUCAGCUCAUUAAUUAUUGGAUAAAUAAUUGUUUCGUCCCUAUAUUUAAUUUAAAUGAUUCUCUAUUCUUUAAAAAUAUCUCAAAAUACUAUUAUAUUUAGCUAUAUUAUAUUCUUACCUUUGCUUUUGCCUUCCUUUUACAAUAAUAGCUUUGCAAUAAUAUUCUUGAUAUUAAUUAAUUUAUCUAUAAAAAUUUAACUAGAAAAUUAACCAAUGAUUAUUUAUUAUUCUAGCAAAUUAACUAAAAAAUAUCAGUAUGAAAGAACUAAUAUUUAAUAUCCUUACAACAUUUUUAUUAUUUUAUAAAAAAAUUAAUUUGCCAAAUUAAUCUUAAAGGUAAAAUAAUAACAUAAGAUUUAUAAAAUUUUUAUAUUACUUUUAAGGUUAAUUUGAUAAAUUAAUAUUUUUUUUCAUUAAUAUCCUAGAGAAGAUAAGAAUAUUGUUGUAAAAAUAUUAUCAUAAAAGGAAAGACAAAUAGAGAGUAGGUAAGGAUAGCAAUGGAUACCACCCACUGCGGGUUUAUCACUACCUAACCCGCAUCCACAAAAAAUUUAGAUUACUAAAUCCACCCAUAAUCGGCCGUGGGUUUUUAUAUUUUUUUAAAAAAGCUUGCCUAUUGCGGGUUUUAAGGGUGGCAAAAAUACCCAUAUGGUUCGAACCCGAACGAUGUGGGCCCACUAAUACUAGGCUUGGGUAUGAAGCCAAAUCAGUCCUAGGCAUCACUUGAUAAACUCAGGACCUGGCUCAAAACCCGAAUUUUAUUAAAACAAUAUUAUAAAAUAUAUAUGAUUUUAAAUAUUUAUAUUUAUUUGACUCAUCUAUUACAUAUAUAUAAAGUUUUAAACAUUUAAAAUUUAUAUUUUCAUGUCCAAUUUCAUUGAAAUAAAUUUAAAAAUAAAAAAAUAUGCACAUAUAAUAUUAAAAAAGUACAAAAUUUGGGUACAAAAAUCCAGAUUAAAAAACCCGGCCCGGUGCCAGGCUUUUAAGCCCGGCCUGGGUGUUUAAAAAGUACAAUUGGGCUGGGUCCGAGCAUUGUGAUACCCAAACCUAGGUUUUGACAACCUGGCUGGUUUUAAUAAUUAAUAAACCCACCUCUAGCACCUAGUGAAUUUUUUACGGGUUUUUUUAUUUAAAAUCACAAAUAUAAAAAAAACUUUUAAUAAUAAAUAAUAAAUUAAAUUAAGUGAUUCAAAUAUAAAUUUAUAACAAGAGCCUAAAAAAUCUGCAUACAAAACUGAAUUCUAAUUUUUACCAAUGAAAAUAAGAAAUUAAAAUUUCAACAUCAAAUAAAUAUACAAAAUAUAUUAAAUCUGACAUAAAAUAUUUUUGAUGCAGUUAGAAUAUUUCUGUUGUAACCAAACCAUCAUUACUAAUAUCAACGUCUUGCUCUAUCUUUUAAUCAAUAUAUAAGAAUUAUCAAAAAUAUUAAUAAGUAAAUUUUGUAUAAUUAUCGUUAGCAAUUAAUUAAACAAAUAAAAACUCAACUUUUGGUUGUCAAUCAUUAGGUUCAGGUCAUUAGAGCAAAACAAACAAAAUCAGUCAAAUUAAAAUAAAAUAUCAGUAAUAUUAAACUUAAAAACUAUAAAUUUUCUACUUAUUACAUAUAUAUAUAUGGAAUUAGGAAAUUAAUUACACAUAUUUAUGAUUAAAUUUUUAAUUUAUUUUUAUGAUUAAAAUUAAAAAUAUAAACAAUUAAAAUAAAAAUGUAGGUUGGUGAAUACUUGUGCGGGUAUCCAAAGGAUUUUCUUUCAAUACCAAACCCACCUGCAACCCGUGGGUUUAAGUUUGAAAUACCAAACGUGCCCGCAACCUGCAAAAUUACUCGUAGUGGGUGGGUCUUUGCAGGCGAGUUUGGGCGGAUUUACUGGUUGGCAGAUAAUUUUGCCAUCCUAUUAGGUAGGAGUGCAACAUAUUUAACAGUAAGAAUAUCUUGAGGCAUUUGUUAAAAUAUAAGAAUUAAAUGGACACUUAAGUCAAAAUAUGGGGACUAAAUAAAAACUUACCAUUAUUUUAUUAUUAGGGUAAUCAGCAAUAUCAAAUAUUCUAAAGUUAAAUUUUAAAUCAUUUGAUGAAGAUUUAUUCGGUUACGUCAUAUAUUAUAUUACUCAUUUUUUCUAAUUGUAUUUUUUAACUCAAGUUUGAUUGUUAUGUGGCCAAUUUAAAAACAAUAGCAUCAAAUUAAAAAUUUGAACUGCACUCUUUUUUUUUUUUUUUUGGUCUCAAUUUUGAACUUAACGCUAUUUUUUGCAUUUGCUAGGAAUGAAUCUAAACUUAUAAAGAAAGUUAUUGAUGACAUUUUGGAGAAACUGCCUAAAGUGGUUCCAAGUAAUAACAAAACCCAGCUAGUUGGAGUAGAAUCAAGAAUUGAAGAAAUUGAAUCUCUAUUAGGUGCUGCACCUCUAUUAGGGAUUUGGGGUAUUGGUUGUAUAGGCAAGACAACAAUUACUAUUAUGAUCUAUAAAUUUAAAUAGGAAUAAAUAUAAUUCCUAUAAAUUUUAAUAGGAAUUAAUAUGAUAUUCUUGUCUUACUUGUCUCAUAAGAAAUAUUUAGAGCAUUUAAUAAACUUUAUGUUUGAACCAAUUUUUUCUCACUAUGACAACGCUCAAGCUAGGUUAUCGUCAACAUCUAUAGAUUAACUCACAUUCAUGGCUCCUCCUAAGCCAAAGAAAUUACACAAUUACUUUCCGAAAAUGAGAAAAUACAAUUAACUUUAUGCAAUAUUACUCUAAAUGGAUAUUAACCCUAUAAAUUAUAAUUUCUUAAUCCAUAAUUGAAAGUAACAAAAUUACUAUAAUACUCUCAAAGCCAUAAAUUACACCUUAUUGUCACGGACUGCAAUCGUGACACCCAAGAUAUGCGCUGUACGCUAGUAUCGAUGAUAGCUGUGCUGAUUGUUGGAGACGUGCUUCAGGGGCGUGCGUGUGGGGAAUACAAUGGUCCUAGAUUCCUUGGAGUUUAGGCAGGCUGACCCGGUUGAGUUUGGGGAGCUUGUCGCUAGUCGAGGACUUAACAUUGAAGAGGGGUCCAGGCGAAGCCCUACACACACUGGUUGGGAACUGAAGCCGUUCUCCUGAUAAGCCCAAUGUAGGGCGAAACCAGUCGAUAUUGUGCCACUUCCACUAGGCUUACUCUCGUAGUAUGUGAUGCGCGAGUGCCGCACAGGCUCGAAACCUCUCGUCCCGUGACAUUAUGCUCAAAAUUUUAUAAUUCACCUCCAUAAUUAAAUUUUUCAUAUCUUAUAAUACUGAUAAAUCAAGUGAUAGAUAAUUAUUAAGUCCCACCAUUUUUAAUUUAAAUAGUAAAAUUCUAUUAGUAAAACUUCAGUUAGAAUACCAAUUAAGAAUUCCAAUAAUAUAAGAUUAGAAUCACUCCUUUGCUUUCAUGUCAUGCGGAUUUAAUUACGUUGAGUUAGAUCAUCUUCUUCUUCUUCUUUUUUUUUUUAAAGGUAAGGGGGGUGGGUAAGUCCAAAUACAAUUUUUAGCCCCCUUACCACUCCCAAGAAUCGAACUCGGGUUUUAGUAGAAGCUACAGCUGCACUGCAGCCAAUCCGACUACGCCUUUGGGGGCUGAGUCAGAUCACUUACUUAUGGAGUACUAUUUCUUUGGUGAUCACGUGGAAGUCCAGUUCUAUUUAAAGGGAUUUUUUUAUGAUUAUUCAGAGUGUUGCCUGGUGAAAAAUUGUGGGAUAUACUUUAAGCCCCAUAUUUUAUGGAAUUAUGCAACAGAAAAUCCAAGCGGAAGUUUCAGCUAUAAUGAAGAAAUUGCAGCUGAUACAUUUGGGUAAAUAAAUAUCUCUUCCUAUUUACAUAUUUGUGUCUGUGUGCAAACUUUUUUUUUUUGGCUUGCUUUCUUUUUUUGUAGGUGUAUUUUCAAAGACAUCCAAAACUUUUAUCUUAAAUUUUAUUUCAAAUGAUGUAGUAUGUGAUAUGUUAUUUAUUGAGUUGUUGAUAAUUUUUCACAAUGUUCAAGUCAAUUAAUUGUAUUUUCUCAUCAUCCAAUUGAUGAAUAUCAUAUCAUUUAAGAUAAAAUUUUAGGAUGUGUAUCAUUACUUUUCUUUAAUUCUCAUAAUAAAUCAUGAGGACAAUUUAUGAAAGAACAAGCAAAUAUUAAUACACACUUCUUAUAUAUACAAAACAAUCAAUCAUAUAAUAACCUCCACCUAUCUAUGGCUAAAAGAAAUUGUUGUCCCCAAACCUAAAUAUAUAAGCCAACAAUUCCUUGGUUGGAUGGUUGGCAUCUCUUGGGAAAGUUUGAAUCUCUCCAGUGGCUUGAGAGUAUUUUCUUUGAGUUCUUAUUGUUGGUUUUAGUGGGCGUCAAUUAUUUGUUGGGCUUUGAAUGAAUAUUUAGAGCUAUUGGCACCCUUAAAAAAUUCUUUUAAAGCCCCUACAUCGUAAAUUUACAUUUUAAACUUGAGUUUUUAUUUUUUGUUAAAUAAAACACAAUUUGUUGUGAUGGUGAUAAUAUUUUUUUUUUAUUCUUAAAUUAGUUGUUAAAUAACACAAUUUUUUUAUUUUUAAAUAACAUAAUAUUUUUAUUUUUAUUUUUUGUUAAAUCAAACACAAUUUGUUGUUCCAUUAAUGAAAAUUAAAAGGUAUAUACACACGAACAACUUUUGACAAAAAUUAAAGUAUCUUUUCUUAGCUGUCAUCAACUAUUUUGUAAAGUUCCAUGGAAGGAAUGAAGUAGUCAAGUAGCUAGAGCAUCAGUAUAAGCCCUGCACCUGCAGUGACAUUCAAUUCAUAUAACAUCUCAAAUUUUCUGAUGAAAAUCUCUCUAAUCAAUUGAACUGUUUCUCUAAUGGCUUCUUCUUCUUCUUCUUCUUCUCCUUCCCAUCCAUACAGCAGUUUGAGUUUGAUGAAUCCUCAAAACAAUAAGUAUGAUGUUUUUCUUAGUUUUAGUAGAGCGGAAACCCGUGACAGCUUUACUAGCCAUCUUCGUUCUGCUUUGUGCCAAAAAAGUAUUGAAACUUUCAUUGACGACCAACUUAUCAGAGGAGAUGAUAUUUCAGAGUCUCUUCCUGAUACAAUUGCAGCAUCAAGCAUUUCAAUUAUCAUUUUCUCAGAAAGAUAUGCUUCUUCAGGACGGUGUCUCAAUGAACUUCUAAAGAUCCUCGAAUGCAAGCACAAUUAUGGACAGAUUGUGAUCCCUGUCUUCUACCGCGUUGAUCCAUUACAUGUGAGAAAGCAAAUUGGGAUUUUUGGGGAUUCGUUUUUGGAGCUUGAAGAAAGAUUUCCAGAGAAGAUGGAAAGAUGGAGGAGUGCUUUGACGGAAGCAGCCAAUCUCCCUGGCUUUGAUUCUCAUGUAUUCAGAUAACAGUCAAUUUAUCGCCAAUUAUAUAAUUUUUUUAUUAUUAGAUAUGAAACAUUCUAAUAUUAAAUAUUAAAUCAAUUGAUGAAGAUUACUAGGUUACAUCUUAUUUUACACUUUUUUUCUUUUUUUCUUUUUUUCAACUCAAGUUCUAGUCUUAUGUAACUACUUUAAUAGCAAACAAUUAAGCAUCAAAUCAAAAACUGGAACUAAUUAAAGACACUCUGUUUUUGUUUUUUUUUUUAGCUUAAUACUAUGUUUUGUAUUUGCUAGGAAUGAAUCUGAACUUAUAAAGAAAGUUGUUAAUGACAUUUUGGAGAAAUUGCCUAAAGAACUUUCAUGUAAUAACAACAUCCAUCUGCCUGAAGUACUUUCAUGUAAUAACAAAAACCAUCUGGUUGGAGUAGAAUCAAAAGUUGGUGAAAUUGAAUCUCUAUUAGCUGCUGCACCUCUAGUAGGGAUUUGGGCCAUGGGUGGUAUAGGCAAGACAACAAUUGCUAGGGCAGUUUUCAACAAAAUCUCUAGAAAUUUUGAAGGUUCUUGCUUCCUUCAGAAUGUUAGAAAAGAAUCACAAAACCCAGGAGGAUUAGCUAGGUUGCAACAAAAACUUCUUUCAGAAGUAUUGAUGGAUGAAAAUGUGAUUCCUGAUAUUGAGUUCAACUUCACAAGGCUCAGCCGCAGGAAGGCUCUGAUUGUUCUUGAUGAUGUGACUUGUUUCAGACAAAUAAAAUUCUUAAUCAGAAGUCUUGAUUGGUUUAUGCCUGAGAGUCGAAUCAUAAUUACCACAAGAGAUCAAAAGGUUCUUAAAAAUGGGGGAGUGAAAGAGAAAGACAUUUAUGAGAUGAAGGCAUUAGAAUGCGGCCAUGCCCUUGAGCUUUUUAGUCGACAUGCCUUCAAAGAAAACCUUCCUAGUGAAGUAGGUUAUCAGGAGCUGUCAGAAAAGAUAAUUAACUAUGCUCAAGGUGUUCCUUUAGCACUUGAAAUUUUAGGUUGCUUUUUAUAUGGAAAAGGAAAGGAAGUUUGGGAAAAUGCAAUAAACGAAUUGAAAAGAAUUCUUAAUAUGGAAAUCCAAAAGGUGCUAAAAAUUAGUUUCGACGGUUUGGACGAUGAACAGAAAAAUAUUUUUCUGGACAUUGCCUGUUUCUUUAAAGGUGAAGAUAAAGAAUUUGUGAUAAAGUUCCUUGAUGCUUGCGGUUUCGCUGCACAAAUAGGAAUAAGUGAUCUUGUUGAUAAGUCUCUUAUUAUCAUACAUGGCAAUAGCAUAACAAUGCAUGAUUUGCUGCAAGAAAUGGGUAGAGAAAUUGUCCGGCAAGAAUCUGUAAAUAAUCCAGGAGAACGCAGUCGAUUGUGGCAUCAUGAGGAUAUUAUCGAAGUUUUGACAUCUAAUACAGUAAGUAUUUUAUUUGAGACAUAUAUAUAUAUAUAUUAUUAUAUUAUUUUGGAAUGCUAUUGGAUGUGUAAUCUUUGAUGAUAAUUAUACAUAAAUAGAUGGGUUAUAAGCCCAAUAGAAGAGUGACGCUAAUAAAAGGAAAAAAUGAAAAAAUUGCAAUGUCAAUUUGUAUGUACAAGUUUGCAGUCACACAUUUUAUUAUUAUUAUUAUUAUUAUUCCCUGUAUGUAGGGUUACAUUUACUGCCUAAUGAUAACAAUCAACUUAAAUUUAUAGAUUUGAUUUUAAUUUGUGUCUUUUAUUGAUUAUUAGGGGACUGAAAAAAUUGAGGGCAUAUCCCUGGAUAUGUCUAAGGUGAGACAGAUUCGUCUAAAUUCUAACACAUUCACGAAGAUGCGUAAAUUAAGAUUUUUGAAAUUCUAUAAUUCAAUCUCUAAGGGAGGGAACAAAUGUAAGGUGUCUGAUUUUCAAGGUUCUAUAUUUGCUGAAGUGAGGUAUUUGCACUGGCAUGGUUAUCCAUUAACAUCAAUGCCGUCAAAUAUUAAUCCAGACAAGCUUCUUUUUCUUGAAAUCCCUCAUAGCAAUAUGGAACAACUUUGGGACUGUGUCCAGGUAUAUCUUAUAUUUUAUUCAAGCUUCUUUUUCUUGAAAUCCCUCAUAACAUUUGAUUGUUGAAUGAUUUGUCAUCGUUGCUUCUUUUCUGUCCGAACAGCAUCAUGGUAAGUUCAACCGGAUGGUCAUUGCUGCCUGGAAUUCUUUUACCAAAACCCCAAACCCCUCGUUGAUUCCGGGUCUAAAUAAGCUAGUUAGCCUCAAUCUAAUUGGUUGCUCAAAAUUGAAGAGGCUUCCUGUAGAGAUCUCAUCAGCUGUUAAUGUGGAAGAGAUACGUUUAAAUGGAACAGCAAUUGAAAAACUGCCCUCGUCCAUUGGGAGUCUCUCUGGGCUUUUGGACUUGGACCUUCAAAAUUGUAAAAGUCUUAAGAGUCUCCCUAGCAGCCUAUGUAAGUUGAAAUCUCUUCGGAGUCUGUAUCUCAAUGGGUGCUCAAAUCUUCAAAGAUUGCCUCAGGAACUUGGAAAUUUAGAAGCUUUGGAGUUUUUGUCUGCUAUAGCAACAGCUAUAAGAGAAGUACCCAGGGACUUAGCCAGCAUAGGACCAGGUGGGGCACAUGCCCCAGCUGGCUUUUAAAAUAUUUUUUUGAUGAUUAUCUUUAAAAAAAAAAUUUAUGCAUUAUUUAUAAAAAUGCCCCAAGUCAAUUGUGAAAAUUUGAAAGUGCCACAUGUAAUUUUAAAAAAUUUCAUAUUGCCCCUAACUUAAAUGUAUAAAUCUAAAUAAUUUGAUCAGUUAUUAUAAUUUCAUAAAAGUCAACAAAGACAAAAAGGAGAACGCCUUUUAUCAAAUAAAAUCUAUUAAAAAAUCAAUUAAAGUAAGUGAAAUCACAACUUUACUCUUUCUUCCGUCUCUUUCUUUCGUCUCUUCCAUGGAUUAAAGUGUGGUGGGUGGAGCUAGGCAAUUUGCAGUGCUCAUCAAUUGUCACUAGUGCGUGAAUUUCUUCUCACUUUCUUCAUUUGCGUCGCUUGAUGUUUUAAAAUUGUAAGUUUCUUAAUACUAAGUUUUUAUUAUUUCAUUGUUUUUUACAUUUUAAAAUUGCUAAUUUUAUUUUAUAUUCAUGUUUGAUUUUUGUGUUGUCAUAUAUGAAUAUUUUUGCCAUUAUUAAAAGAUUUAAGAACAAAUUAAUUUAUUAAGAUUAAUACACUAUAUAAUGAAAUUUUAAUGAAGACCCAUAAUCUUUUGUCUAGUUCUGUAACUGUAAUUUUCAUGUAUAUUUUUUUAUGAAGAAAUUUUUCUUUGAAUGAUAAAUAUCAUACUUAUUUGAUGAAUAUAUUUCUUUGAACAGCCAUGGAUAAAUAUUUAAGAAAGAAUUCAACAACCUCAUUAGGAAAAAUGAGUGGCAAUUCAAAAGAAAAAGUUAGUCUUAAUUUGCAUGAUCUUCCAAGAGAUCCUGGUUUACGAACAGUAAUUUCGAAGUUAGAUCCUAAUAUUCAAGAUGAAGUUCGGAGAGCUUAUUUGCAAAUGGGUCCUUUUCAACCUCAAAGCCAUGAUUUUCCUACUAGGUUGUUAGGAGAAAAAUCACGACGAUUUGUCCGGAGUUGGUUUGAUAAUUAUCUUGAUUGGUUAGAAUAUAGUAUAGUAAAGGAUGCAGCUUUUUGUCUUUAUUGUUAUGUUUUCAGAGAAGAAAAUGGUAGUCAAGGGGUUGGUCCAUGCUUUACUGGUGAAGGGUUUAGAAAUUGGAAGAAAAAAGAAAUGUCGAGACAACAUGUUGGUGGCGUAAAUAGUGCUCAUAAUAUAGCUAGGCGUCGUUGUGAAUCAUUGAUGAAUCAAAAGGCACAUGUUGCUACAUUUUUCUUUAACCAUUCUAAAAAAAUUAAAAGGGAGUACCGACUUUGUUUAACUGCUGUAAUUGACUGCAUUCGGUUUCUUUUGAGACAAGGCCUUGCAUUUUGUGGUAAUAAUGAAUCUCAAAGCUCAGAUAAUAGAGGAAACUUUCUUCUUGCUAAUCACAAUGAGGAAAUUAAAGGUGUUAUUUUCAACAAUGCUCCAGCAAAUCUCCAAAUGACAUCCCCUGAUAUUCAGAAACAAAUUGUAAGUGUUUGUUCAGCUGAAACUUCUAGAGCUAUCAUUAAAGAAAUUGGUGACUCUUUAUUUUCUGUUAUGAUUGAUGAAUCUCGUGACAUAUCCACAAAAGAGCAAAUGGCAGUUGUGUUGUGUUAUGUGGAUAAAAGAGGACAUGUGGUUGAGCGUUUUAUUGGUAUUGAACAUGUUAUUGAUACUAAAGCUGUCUCUCUCAAAGCAUCACUCGACAUAGUAUUUGCUAGACAUGGAUUAAGCAUGUCUAGGUUGCGUGGGCAAGGAUAUGAUGGUGCUAGUAACAUGCAAGGGGUACUUAAUGGUUUGAAAACACUCAUUCUAAAAGAGAAUGAAUCAGCUUAUUACAUUCAUUGUUUUCCCAUCAAUUACAGUUGGCCCUUGUUUUUGUGGCAAAAAAGCACCAAGAAGUUAAUGAUCUGUUCAGUUUAGUUACUAAAGUUAGUAACAUUGUUGCAGCCUCGUCUAAACGAUAUGAUAUCCUUAAAGAGAAGCAUGCUGUUGCAGUUAUUGAAGCACUUAAAAUGGGUGAGCUUAAAAGCGGACAAGGCAUGAAUCAAGAGAUUACUUUAAAGCGUUAUGGCGACACACGGUGGAGCUCACAUUACGGUACAUUAAUAAGCAUUAUUACCAUGUUCUCAUCCAUAAUUGAUGUGCUUGAGAUUAUUGCAAAUGAUGCAUCAAAUUCUGAGCAAAGAUUUGAAGCAAAUUCAACCUUGAAGUUCAUGCAAACAUUUGAUUUUGUGUUUACUUUAUACUUGAUGAAAAAUAUUCUUGGUUUUGCAAAUGAAUUGUCACAAGCAUUACAAAGGAAAGAUCAAGAUAUUGUGAAUUCCAUGAAAUUAGUUAGCAUUUGCAAACUAGGUCUACAGAGGAUGAGGGAACAUGGAUGGAAUUCUUUGCUUAUUCAAGUUUCUUCAUUUUGUGAGAAACAUUUUAUUAGUGUUCCUGUCAUGGAAACUAUGUUUCUAACACCUGGAAGAUCAAGGCGUAGAGCACAAGAGAUCACAAAUAUGCAUCAUUAUCGCAUUGACCUAUUUUGUGCUAUUUUGGAUAUGCAACUUCAAGAGUUAAACAGUCGUUUUAAUGAGGUAAACACUGAAUUACUUCUUUGCUUGGCUUGUUUAUGUCUAAAAGAUUCAUUUGCAGCUUUCAAUAAAGAAAAGUUAUUGCGUCUUGCUCAACUUUAUCCAAAAGAUUUUUCUCAAGUUGAUCUCAUGGCACUAGAUACUCAACUUGAUAUUUACAUAAUGGAUAUGCAGUCUAGUGUUGAGUUUUCAGAAUUAAAUGGGAUUGGUGAUCUUGCACAGAAAAUGGUUGAGACUAACAAGCACAAGGUGUUUUCAUUGGUCUAUUUAUUAGUCACAUUAGCAUUACUUCUACCAGUUGCCACUGCCACUGUUGAAAGAGUUUUUUCAGCAAUGAAUUAUGUGAAGAAUCGACUACGAAGUCGAAUGGGAGAUGAAUGGUUGAAUGAUAAUCUAGUUGUGUACAUUGAAAAAGAUGUAUUUGAUUGUAUUGAUAAUGAAAUUAUUUUACAGCAUUUUCAACACAUGAAAUCCCAUCGAGGAAUUCUUGAUUAGAACAAUUGUAAUAAGUUAAUUUAUUGUUAAUUUAUAUUACACUUGUGACUCUAGUUACUGUUAUCUAAAUUUUCAAAAUUUAUUCUCAAUUUAUAUUAUAUUGCGAUUUUUUGUGUUGUGAUAUAAAUUCUUAAAAUUAUACUAUAUUUUUAAUGUGCCCCAGAUCAAUUAAAUUUCUUGCUACGUCCCUGGAAGUACCCUCAUCCAUUGUACGUUUGAACAAUGUUCGUGAUAUAAAUUUCAGUAGGAGCAAGGGUCAUAAGCAGAUGGGUUUAUCAUUGCCGAUCACAAUAUUUUUUGAUGGCUUGUACAAUCUAACGUAUCUAGAUCAAUCUGAUUGCUGCAUCACAAAGUUACCUGAAAGUAUUGGUCAGCUAUCCUCUCUAGAAUAUUUGUAUCUAUCGAAGAACAAUUUUGAGAGGAUACCAAAGAGCAUCAUACAACUUUCUAAGUUGUCAUGUCUCUACUUAAGUUAUUGUGGGAAGCUUCAAUCCUUACCAAAGCUUCCAUGCAGUCUACAUAAGUUGCAUGCACAUCAUUGCACGGCACUGGAAUCAUUAUCAGGUUUAUUCCCAAAAAGUUAUGAAUCUUGUCCGCCGCGUUUUGAGCUGAACGGUAAUUAUAACUUGGAUCGGAAUGUUGUUGGAGGAAUUCUUGAAGAUGCUCUGCAAAACAUUCAGCAUGUGGCAACUGCACGUUGGGAACACAUGCAUGCACAGGAAAAGGUGUGUCUUUAACUCUCUCAUCUCAGUUUAAUCAUACAAUGUUAUAUAUUUUUUCUUUUUUUUUUCUCUUUUAAAUUUUUAGUUAGCAAUUUUUUUUCUUUUCAAAUAAUGAUUUGUGUGGUACAGAUAUCUUAUCCGGAAUUUGAAGGUUUUGCCAUUUUACCUGGGAAUGAAAUUUCAAAGUCGUUUUGCUUUCAAAGUAUGGGAUCUUUGAUAAAAUUGAAGACGCCACCAGCAGGUUGGUUCAAUAAUAAAAAUGUAAUGGGUUUUGCUUUUGGCGCUAUUGUAUCAUUUCGAGACCAUUAUGAUGAUGUGUUUGAAUUGUUUUGUGACAUCAAAGUCAAACCCAAAGAUUGUGAUCCACAUGUGAUACAGAUAUAUCUGGAGCUGUAUUGUUAUGUGGAGUCAGAUCACUUAAUUUUGGGGUACUAUUUGUUUGGUAAUGACAAUUUGAAUGGUUUUCGGGAUUGCGUUAUUGAGGCAGUCCAAUUCUAUUUUAAGAAAGAUCAUGAUGACUCUGAACGUUUGGAAUGUUGGGGGCCAAAAAGAUGUGGGAUCCAUUUAUUGUAUGCCCCAGAUUCAUCGGAAGACCCAAGCGGAAGUUUCAAUAAUGAAAGAAGAAGAGGAACUACAACCCCAGCAGAUGACUGAAAUAAUCUUGAAAUAUCAUCCAUCACAUGCAGCUGGUACGUUUCUGUAAAUUAAUUAAUCUUCCUAUAUAUAGCUUGUUUUGCUGGCUUGGUUUCUUUUCUUUGUAUGUGUUUUCGAUUCUUUUCUACAGUUUCUAAAGACAAUUAAUUACUAACCUAAAUAAUAAGGCCGAGUAAUGAAAGAGCAAGCAAAAAACACACAUUUCAUAUUCUCCAAAAUAAUGAAUCAGUGGUGGCAGGCCCAAAAAAAAAAAAUGAUUUAUCAUGGCUAAACUAUGCAACAACUAGAUGUAAAAACUGAAAUUUUAUGGGUUUAUUAGCUUAUGGAGGUUGUUUUAAUAGAUUCAAUUGGAGCUAAGUUAAAUAAUAGUAAAACCACUUAUAUGGUUUGUUGUGGACUUUUAUUUUUUCAAUUAAAAUGUAGAUUUUUAUAAUUUUUAAAGUUUAAAUUUUAUGGAUUAUGAAUUUAUGGGACUAUUUUUAGAGAUUCAAUGGAGUUAUAUUUAUAAAUUUCACAGAGGCUAAUUAAAAGCUUAAGUAAUUUUUUCUUUAAUUUUUAGAACUUAUUUUUAACAGCAGGGCUUGGGCCCGCACAUAUUGAGCUGAGCCACCAGUGCAUAUAGUAACAUCCACCUUUAUCUGCAUGCCUAAAAAAAUGGUUGCCCCCUAGCCUGAUUAUACAUACUACGCGGAUGAGAAAAAUCCCUACGAGGACGAGGACGUUCGGGGAUUUUUCUUAUUCGGGGAGGGUACGAAGACGAUUUUAUACCUAAUUUCUUAUUAGAAGAAGGGACGGGGAUAAUUUUACAUCAAAGUUCUCAAAACUUUUUCAAUUUAAGCCAUUAACUUGAAAAUAACCAAUUUCAUAAAAUCAUUUUUCCAUUAAGUAUAAAACCUUUAUAUUAUGAAAAUAAUGAUUUAUUUAAAAUGUACGAAAAAUAAUUUGAGCUUUUAAAAGUUUAAUCAUUCUUAAUUUUGUUUUUAUCAUCAAAAUCAACAUUAUGAAUACAUAAAUGUUAACAGUAUUAAAUAAUUUUUUUUAUAAUUUAAUUUAUAUAUUAAGAUUAUUUUAGGUAUUAAAAUAGGUUCAUGGAGUAAAAUUUUAAAUUUUAAAUGCUCUUUUCUCAUAUUUAUCUCUACAUUUCUACAUGUAAAAAAACAAGACCUUGGUUUCUAUUCUUCUAUUUUACUAUAUAUAUUUCUUUGUACUUUUUUUAGUAUCUGUAUUUACCUUCUUGUUAAGAAAUAACAACUAAUAUUGUCAAUUUAUUUUAUUUUUAAAAAAAACCACCAGAUGGUGGGGGGUUAGUCCUAUUGUCGAUUUAAGUUAUCAUAUGGUCUUUAUUUAGAUAAAAUUAAUUAGGUAAAAAUUUAUCAUUGAUCUUUAUUGCUGAGAUCAAAUAUAUUCUCUUAUAUUUCAAGUUUAAAUAUGACUAAGUUCACUAUAAUUGAAUUUAAAGGAUUCUUUACAUUUUAAUCAUCGUCACCGAAACCAAAUUUCCAAUUCCCUCACUAACUAAUAUGGUACAAAUUAAUAAUUAACAACAAAAAUGAAAGUAAUGGGUGGACUGUAACACCUUAACUUAUAUAGAUAUAAGUUAAUUGGUGUGGGGCUUGAACUAAUAAUAACGCAAAUAAAUAAUCAGCUCUAUAUGGAAAGCAAUUUUUUUUUUUAAAAAAAAAAAAGGAACCAGUUACCAUUUAUUUGCAAGACUCACGAGGAAGAGAGGAAGUAAAUGCGAAAAUAUUCAAGUCUUGGGAAUUUUAACAAAAAUUGAGUUUGGGGAACUAUUCCAGAGUAUUUCCAUCCCUAAAUUCAUCUGGAAACAUUCAUUAGAGAGGAAUUUAACUGUAGGAAGCGUAGAGAGAGGAAUCAAGUGAGUGGAAAGUGAUUCAAGCUUUCAAGUUGGGUUUCUCACCAUUUGGAGUAAGAUUUCUAUCAUUUUAUCUUUAUUUGAAUUGGAUUUCUUGGGAAUGAAGCUGAUUUAAAGAUUAUUAUACUUUAUUUAUAAUCAGGGUUUCUGACAAAUUGGCAAAGUUGGUCUCAUGCUAAUUUUUGUAAUUGGUGCUAUUUUAGGUGCACAAGGGCACCAACAAGGCAUUGUAGAGCCGGAGACACGAAGCCCUUGCAAUUUUUCCGAUUCAGUAUAUAAUUAUGUUUAGGUACUUUAUGGUUAGUAAUGAGAUUGUUGAUAAUGUGGAUGAUUUAUUAGUAUUAUAAGAUAUGGAAACUUAAUUAUUGAGGUGGAGGAUGGAAUUUUGAGCAUAAGUUGUAAUUUAUGGCUUUGAGGAUGUUAUAUUAAUUUUCAACUUACAAGUAUGGUUUCAGGAGUUGUAUGUUAUGAGGUAAAUAUUCAUUGCGAGCUAUAUCUCAUAAAGUUAGUUGUAUUUCACACAUUUGGAAAUUAAUUAUGUCAUUUCCAUGAUUUAGGAGGAGCCGUGAACGUGAGUCAAGCCACUGACGUCGACAAUAGUCGAGCUUGACCAUCAUCGUUGUGAGUGGAAUAUACUAAACUUGUCUUUUAUAUUUUUAUUAUGAUAUUAAUUUGAGUAAAAUAAAGUAUUUUUAAAUGUCCUAUUUAAGUUUUUCUAGAAAUAGAAAUUUUAUUUACAUGUUGAUAUGUUUGUUAAAGGUGUAUGUUGAUUGGUUUUCCAUUUUUUCUUACCUAUUUUGAUUAUAAAUUAAUGUGCGAGAGUAUUUUAAUGAAAAGGAAUAUAGAUUUAAAGUAUGUUGAAAAUGUUUAUAUACCUGUACAUAAAAGUUUAUUUUUCAAAAAUAUUAGACAGUGCCUUUCUCUCUAGAUACAAAGAUAAGUGUAGAGAUUCAAUUACAUACAUACAAUUGAGAUAGAGGCCCUUCAUCUGAGCACUAGGAUUUGGGCCAUGUGCGUGGAUGCUUCUGCUCUCUUGGGACUAAUUUAUGCUUGCAGUAUGACGAGAUGAGACAUAUAAGAUGGCACAUCAUUGGUCUACCCGUUAUAGCUUCGGGCAUGAUAGUACACUUUCAGUAUAUUAUUGCACUGCCCGUAGAAGGUUCAGGUAUGACAAGGUUAUUCCUCUAGGUAUUAGUUUCAUGAAAAUUUUAGAAUCAGGUAUCUAAUUAUAUUAUCUUUUGAUAUGAUUUUCAAAAUUAUUAAUUGUAGUAUCAUGUAUUCCUUUUUAAUGCUAAUUGCUUGAUUUAAAGAUUAAAUAGUUUACUUAUGUUCUUACAUAUAGCUCGAUGAAAUUGUAUAUUACAAUAAUAUAAUUAUUCUAAAAUAAGUUUACUUUCAAAACUUAUUAUCCACUCAAUGAACCACUUUAUUAUACUUUUCGCCCUCACAAGAGGUUGUAGGUACACCAGUCGACCGAGCGACUGUAGUUAUUUUGAGUUUUGGCCAUAUGAUAGUGUUAGGAGACAUAGGUGAUAUUAUUAAGGCAUUUUGAUCACCUCAUUUUGGAUUGUAUAAUUAUAUUAUAAUUUGAUGAUUACUGAUGUUUAAUGUAUGUUGGCAUUAGCUAUGAUAUAUUCUUUCGAUACUUUGGAGAUGUUGGGUGAUAUUUGGAUGAGUUCAUUUAAAUAUAUUAUUUACUAUGAUGUGUGAUAUUAUGACUAAGGAGGUUGAACAAUGAAAUUGGUUGAAUAUUAAAUUAUUUUAAGAGUGUUUAUUUUAUAGAUUUACAUAUUGGAAAUAUAAAAAAUAUAGGAAGAUUUUAACGAAUUUUCAACAAAAUCUUUAUCGAUAAGUUAAUUUUUUUUUAUUAAAAGGGGCUCAUCAAGGCGAGCUAGAUAGGAAUAAUGCGGGGUUGACAAACCCCAUACAUGUCUUGUGAAAGAAUAGAAUAAAUACCCACAGGCGGGUUAGAGAAUAACUAUAGACCAUGCGGUAUUAAAUGAGCCAUAUUUGCCAUGAAAUCCGCAGCUGAGUUCGCUUCACGGUAGAUAUGCGAGAUAUUAAUCUGCCAAUUUCUGUUUAAAAAAUCACGAAUUGCCACCACUAAAGCAUAGGAGACAUUAGGCACAACCAUCUGCUGAGAAAUCAUCUGAGUUACACAGAGGCUGUCUACUUCCACCAAAAGAUGUCUGAUUCCAACAUUCCAAGCGAGGGACAAUCCUUGAUACAGGCCCCAAAGUUCAGCCAUAAUCACUGAGCUUUCCCCAAUAUUCAUACUAAAGCCUGAGACCCAGUUACCAACGGAGUCGCGAAUAACCCCACCCGCUGCAGUUGCUCCUGUAUGUUUACAGGAACCAUCUGUGUUCAACUUACACCAUGGCCAUGGAGGAGGCAACCAACCAAUAAAAAUCUCCUUACGCCUUGGUUGUGGGCUGAGAUGUGAGUUAUUAAUUCUAUGGAUCUCACUAGCUCUGGCCAUAAUAUCCGAAUAUAUUGUCUUGCUAUCUACCAAAUUCCCAGCCAUAAUAAAUUGAUUACGCCAAAACCAUAAUCUCCAAAUAGCCACUGCAAAAAUACAAUCCCAAGGAAGCUCCGAAUCAAUUUUCCACUUAUUUUGCAUGUUGGCAGCAACCCAUGCACGUAAGUUGGAUUGGAAGAAAGCAAGUUGAUGACAGGUUGGAACAAGACUAAGCCAUAGAUUCUUAAUGCAACUACAAUCUCUCACAGCAUGAAGAAUCACUACUACAAAAUUGAUCUUUAAUGACGGUUUUAAAAGACAUAAGAUGACGGUUUUAAAACCGUCAUCUUAGGCAGCGACAUUAAAUGGGGUAUAUUUUUUAUGACGGUUCAAAAACCGUCAUUAAAUGACCACUUAUAAUGACGGUUAUUUUAAAAAACCGUCAUUAUAUGUCAUGGAUACAUAAUAUUUAAUGACGGUUUUUUCCUAAAAACCGUCAUUAAAUGUGUAUUUAUAAUGACGGUUAUUUUACUAAACAGUCAUUAUUUGUUAUUUAUACUAGAGAUUUAAUGACCGUUUUUAGGAAAGAACCGUCAUUAAAAAUAAACAUUUAAUGACGGUUUUUUCUUAAAAACCGUCAUUAAAUGUUUAUUUUUUAAAUUUUUUUAUGAUGAUUUUUUUAAAUACUCGUCAUUAAAUUACUAUUUUUACAUGACGGUUUUAUAUAAAACAGUCAUCUUAUAUCAUGUUUUGCUACUUUUUAUGACUGUUUAUCAAUUUAUAACGAUGGCUUUUAUAGAACCGUCAUAUUUGAUGUUAUCUAAAAAAAAAAAAUUAUUACAAGCAUGCUUUAAUUGUAAUUUUCUAUUUCACAAAUAUAUUUUUACAAUUACGUUUUUACAAACUAUAUCAUAUACAAAAUAUUGCUUUACAAAAAUAUUAGAUGUAUAAUCCUUCAUACAUCCUCAACAAAAUGUAAUACAUUGAAAUUCUUACAAAUACUCUUCCAAUAUAACAAAAUCAACUACUAACUAAGAAAAUUCUCAUGCUCUUUUGUAGAGAACUUUGACAAUCCUUCAUCUUCAACAAAAUACUAGCUCUUCCACAUGUAAUCUAGCUACCACAUCUAAAUUCUCAUCAAGUCUUCAUAUGUAAUAUUUUCAAAAAAAUUAUGCAGCUGCUAGGGACCUACGACAUUAUUUACAAAGAAAGAAAAAAUAAAUAUAUCAAGCUCAUUUAUUACAAGUUGUAGUUUAAUCAUGAUAAGUUGUAGUAUCUAGUACUAUUAGAGACUGACCUUGAAUUAUCAAUCAAUUAAUUUUCAUAUGUAGCAGCAAGUUGCCAUGUAUACCUAGCCCACUCGCAUCUCACCUCGUCAAUCUCCCUUUGAGUGUAGCUUUGUAUCUUAACAAACUAUAAAGUGAAAAAUAUAUAAAUUAUUUUGUGGGGAAAAUAAAUAAAUAUUUGAUAACAAAUUGCCAAUACCUUUUCUGGAAUAGAGACAUUAGUAUUAGCCACAAUAUCCCACAUAUAUUUCAUCACAUAGUAUCCGCAAUGCUCAACAUAUUUGGGUUGACGAGGACACUACAAAAGAGAAAGUAAUAGAUUUAAGUUACACAAUGAUAAAAUUCAUGCAAUAAUAAAUUAUAAAUCUCAUAUACAAAAUAUUAUGAAUUUGAAUUUAAGACUAAUGUUCCUUACUUUCAUUGGUUUCCAUAUGCAAUGCUUCCGAUUAAUUUUUUCAUGUGCCGUGCUAAACAUUCUCAAUGAACUUAAUUUCAAAAAUUACAAAGCAUAUAUUAGAAAAUAAUAUAAAGAAAAUACAAGCUAAAAAGUACAAUUUUUUAACAUACCUAUUAAUAAGCUCUUUCAAGUUUUGACGCGGAUCAUGACCAAUUGAAUCAAAAAAAUAACAUUGGCCUUCAUAUGAAUCAAUAACAGUCAACAUCCAAUGUGCUCUGCGUGCAAUAUACUUAUCAUUGUCAAAUUCCAAAUAUCAUAACAAUCGUAUUCACUUUGAAUGUAUAACUUACGAUUCAUUAUAUGGAAAAAUGAUAAGUUGCGUUGGAUCGAUCGAUUCCAUUAUAUCUCCAAGCUUUUUGGCCUUUUCCUCACUGUCAUGGGCACUCCCAUUUGCAAAAAAUUCUGGAUCAACAAACUUGAACCUUUUUUCCAAAUUGCAUCUCUUUAUAUUCUCAAAUAGCAGCCUGUGCAAGACAUAAUACAAAAAUAAUAUACACUCUUACAUCUAUACAUAGCAAUAUUAGAAAUUUGGAAUAACACAUCACCUCAUAUACAAUUUUGGUGCUGUAUAGCUACUGUAAUUGUGUUAAAACAGCACCUGUAACUUUCAGGUGCUGUUUUUAAUUAACAUCAAACACAUCAUGACAGCACCUAAAAAUUUAUUUAAGUGCUGUCCAACUAAUAAAAACACCACUUGAAAGUUUUAGGUUCUUAUUUUAACAGCAAACAGCAGUAGGACAGCACCCAAAGUAGUUUAUGUGCUGUUUAACUGAUAAACCCAGUAACUGAAAGUUCCAUUGCAGUUUUUACAACAAACAGCAGCUUGAAUGCACCUAAAAAACUUUUCAAGUGCUGUUUUUAGCCUUAAACAGCAGCAUGACAGCACCUGAAAAUUUUGUGAGUGCUGUCUAGCUGAUAAAAACAGUAACUGAAAUUUUCAGGUGCUGUUUUUGACAGCAAACAACAAAUUACAGCACCUAGAAUAUUUUAUAAGUGCUACGUAGCUGCUAAAAAUGCAUUAAAAGCAGCUGGACAGCAGCAUGACAGAACCUAAAAUUUUUUGGUGCUAUCCAACUGAUAAAAACAACAUUUGAAACUUCCAGGUGCUGUUUUUAACAGCAAAUACCAACAAGACAACACCCAGAAAAAUAUUUAGGUGUUGUCCAGCUGAUAAAAACAGCAUUUGGAACUUCCAGGUGCUGUUUUUAACAGCAAAUACCAGCAAGACAGCACCCAGAAAAAUUUUUAGGUGUUGUCCAGCUGAUAAAAACAGCAUUUGGAACUUCCAGGUGCUGUUUUUAACAGCAAAUACCAGCAAGACAGCACCCAGAAAAAUUUUUAGGUGCUGUCCAGCUGAUAAAAACAGCAUUUUGAACUUCCAGGUGCUGUUUUUAACAGCAAAUACCAGCAAGACAGCACCCAGAAAAAUUUUUAGGUGCUGUCCAGCUGAUAAAAACAGCAUUUGGAACUUCCAGAUGCUGUUUUUAACAGCAAAUACCAACAAGACAGCACCCAGAAAAAUAUUUAGGUGCUGUCCAGCUGAUAAAAACAGCAUUUGGAACUUCCAGAUGCUGUUUUUAACAGCAAAUACCAGCAAGACAGCACCCAGAAAAAUUUUUAGGUGCUGUCAUGCUGCUGUAAUUAUGUUAAAAUAGCACCUGAAACUUUUCAAUACUGUUUUUUAGAACAAAUAGCAGCAUGACACACUGAGAAAAUUUUAUAGAUGUUGUCCAAUUGCUAAAAUCAGUGCUUGGAUUUUCCAUGUGCUAUUUUUAACAGCAUAUAGCAGCAUGACAACAGCACAAUAAUUUUACAAUUGUUGUUUUCUUUAUAAAUCAGUGGCAAUCACAGCUUCUAAAAACUUCAGUAUAAGAAAAGAAUAAUUAAAUCCUCUCAAUUGAGUUUGGGAGGAAGGAAUACUUUUAUUACAUCAAAACAAAGUUAAAAAACAACAAAAACGAUUGAUGUUAUGGCCCUUUUAAGGUUUUCUACCUAUUAUUGCCAGUCAUAGAACUAAAUACUUAACGAAACAAAGUUUUCUGAAUUAAACAUGAAUUUCAUAAAAUCCACACCAUAGAAUUACAUGGCAACGAAAAAGUGUUAAAACAAACUAUAAGAACUGAAACAAACCUUGCAGAUGAUUGAACUCAAUACUGAUAUCAAGCACACCAAAAAUCUCUGAGAGAAGUAGCCAUGUUUAGAGUCAUCCAAUGCUAGGUUACAAAACCAUAAAACCUGCCCAGUCAAAUUAAUGAGAUUUAUAAGUAAUAAAAUGAAAAUACAGAGAGAGAUAGAGAGCAAGAAUGAUUUGGCUCAUAAAUAAGAAAUUUCAAAUUCCUUCCAGUAAUCUGACCUAGGUAGUGAACUGAGGAUGGAUUGGAGCAUUAAAAAUGGGAUUCAACCCGGUGGUUGCUGAGACGGCACAAUAAUCCCAAGGUUGCGAUGGUUAGGAAGUGGGCAACAAUUAAUCUUGGCUAUUCUGGAGAGAAAUGAGCGAGUGAAGGAAUUUGGGUAUUUGGGUAUUUGGGAGAGAUAUUUUGAAGUGAUGAAAUAAAAUGCCUAAGUCUAGAAAUCGGCUUUGCUUUUUUUUUUUUUUUUGUAUUAUUCAUGACCGUUUAUGAAAUAAACGGUCAUGAAUGAAGAUGAAUAAUUUCCUCUUUAACCACGGUUCCUAAAAUAACCGACAUUAAUACUGGGAUUAUAUUUUAGUGGAUAUAUAAUGACAGUUAAGUUUAAAAACCGUCAUUGUAAGUAUGUAUUUUUAAUGAUGGUUUUUAUAACAAACCGUCAUUAAAAAUAAUAUUAACAUUUAAUGACGGUUUUCAAAUAAAACCGUCAUUGUAACUAUAAAAUAUUUUUAAUGACGGUUUUUACAAAGAACCGUCAUUAAAACUAACAUUAUAUUUUAAUUUUAUAUUUAAUGACGGUUUUCGAAUAAAACCGUCAUUGUAAGUAUAAAAUAUUUUUAAUGACGGUUUUUAUAAAGAACCGUCAUUAAAAAUUUUAAUUUUACAUUUAAUGACGGUUUUAGAUAAAACCGUCAUUGUUAGUACCAAUAUUUUUAAUGACGGUUUUUAUAACGAACCGUCAUUAAAAAUUUUAAUUUUACAUUUAAUGACGGUUUUCGAAUAAAACCGUCAUUGUCAGUACUAAUAUUUUUAAUGACGGUUUUUAUAAUGAACCGUCAUUAAAAUUAAUAUUAUAUUUUAAUUUUAUAUUUAAUGACGGUUUUUAAAAAAAAACGUCAUUAUAAGUAUUAAAUAUUAUGACGGUUUACAUAAUAACGGUCAUAAAAAAGUUUUAAUGACGGUUAUUUUUAAGAACCGUCAUAACUUAUGGGUCAUUAAUUUGAAUUUUUGUAGUAGUGAAUGCCCUCAGCCGAAACCCCACACCUAACACAAACUUCAGAAACGGGGAUAUUACGCCUAUUAAGCUCACUGUGGGUCUUCAAUUUGCCAUGCAAAGUCUGCCAAAUAAAGAGCUUUAUAGAUUGGGGCCCUUUCCAAGACCAUGGCAAUUUCCAUACUUUAUCUUGAGUGUCUAAGUUAUGGUAGCAAAGAGACUCAUAAGCAGUUCGGACUGUGAACAACCCUCUUGGAUUAUAACUCCAAUAUAGUCUAUCAGGACCAAGAUGCGGCGCAGGUGGCAUGAUCGAGGCAAUCUGCAUAAGAACAGAAGGGGGCAGUAGGAAUUCAAAGCUCGCCCAUCUCCAGCCACCAUAAUCAUUAGUAAAUUCGCUAACCGUAGCAUUGAGAGAGGCCUGAGGGAUCGGUUGGAGAGCUAGGUGAAUCAAAGGCUCAUAUUUCGUCACCCAACAGUCCAGCCAGAAACGAAUUCGAGCACCAUCACAUACUGCCCAGCGAGCUCCAUGCAUGGUUGCAUUCCACGUUUUUCUUAUAGCAGACCAGAUACGCGAACCUUGUUUGUCAGGGGGGAAGACGGCAAAUUGCAUGGGUCCAAUCCAUAUUUGGAACAGAGAACCCGCACCCAUAACUUAUCUGAGUUGGAGAUAAUGCCCCAACUAAUCUUCAUCAACAGGGCAUGAUUCAUCACCUCUAAGUUCUUAAACCCCAAGCCACCACUUGAUUUCGGCAAGCAGAUUUUAUCCCAGCCCACCAUGCACAUCUUAGGACUCUUCGACCUCCCAUCCCAAAUAAAUCUACGGCAACUCUUAUCAAUUCUAUGGCGCACCGAAGCAGGAAGCAUGGUCGUUUGCAUUGCAUAAAUUGGCAUAGCUUGAAUCACCGAUUGCGCCAAAGUAACACGACCAGCAAAGGAUAAAUGAGCCGCGUUCCAGCCACUGAGCCUUAUGUCUACCUUGUCUAAAAUAGAUUGAUACGUAGCUUUAUUCACCCUCGAAUGAAGUAACGGCAUUCCAAGAUAGCUUCCCAGAUCAUGAGUAAUCGAAACCCCCAAGGCAGCACCAAUGAGCUUGGCCUCUCUUGCAGCAACGUUCUUCGAAAAGAAAAUUGUAGUUUUCACUUUGUUAACCUUUGCUUCAGAACUUCGACAAAAAUUCUCCAAAACCGCAUCAAUAAUAUGAGCUUGAUCAAUCGAAGCUUCUGCAAAUAAAAGCAAAUCAUCAGCAAAAAAAAGGUGGGUAAGGGGAGUGCCAUGUUUAGCCAGCCGAAUUGGCUUCCAACUUCCAUCCCCCACAGCUUGGGAUAUUCCAUGGCUCAAACGCUAUCGAUAAGUUAAUUUAAUCACGUUAGAUUGAAACUUUUCCUUAGAGUUCGCGACGGGACAUUUCAUAAACUCCUCGCAUUAUUAUCGCAUGAUGAUCGUUAUCCCUCAGAUUGUUGUUGUGACUUGUGACCCUUAAAAAAAAAAAUAAUAAUAAUAAUAUAAUGAUACAAAGUUGAUUUUCGCGUAGUGUAAAAUGAGCGUGUAUUCUAUCCUCUGCGGCUAAACAAUGCAUAUUGCUCAAAAUACUUGUUAAGCUACUUCACAGUUUAAAGUUUAAAGAAUGAAAUCAUCAGAAAAUUGCUGUCUGGUGCAAUUACUGAGAGCCAAUGCAUUUCACGUCUCCGGGAUUUGUUGUAGUCCAAAUUCUCAGCUGGUUUCCGUGCUGCUGGAUCUGUAAUUAGGACCUCUGUUUUCAUAUUUUCCUUUUCCCGCAUUAAUAUCAAGCUCUGUUUAUGCUAUGUUCAAUGCAAAUCUAUGUUUCUACUUCUAUUUUAUCUCAAGGUAAGUCUUCUUAGGUGGCAAUCUUUCCAAAUUGUAGCGUUCUAGGAGCAGUAGGCCAGAAAACGGCGAGUACGUCUGGUGUUAGUGACACUCCUUUCAAUGCUCUGGCCAGGGUAAAUAUUGUAUACCAUUAAUUUCUCUCUUUCAUUUUGUAUUCAUAAGUCUCUCAAUUUAAUUAAAAUUUAUCAACUUAAUUUUAUAAGUUACUUGUUGCUUAUUAAUUAACUAAUUAUUUAUCCACGAAAUAAAACAAAUGAUAGCAAUCAAAAUAUUUAAAUUCAAGGGUGUAGACCCAUUAUCAACACUAUAAAAAAAAACACACAGUAUCGCAGAAAUAUCCUCUGCAUGGUUGUUCCCAAGACUAAUUAUACUAAGGCAAAAAAUUUUAACGCUAAAAACUAAAAUUAUGUAACAUUGUCAGCAAUAAAUUUGAGAGAAAUAGCAUCAAGGUAAAUGAAUAUACAAAUGGAAAUUUGUUUUUGUUUAAUUAUAGAAGUAUUAAAUAAUCUUUUUUGAUAAUUUAGCUUAUCAGUGGUAUUUUAGAUAUUAAAAUGGGUUUAUGGAGUUAAUUUUAUUUUUUAAUAUAGUAAAAUUUCAAAUUUUAAAUGCCUCUUUUCUCAUAUUUAUCUCCACAUUUCAACAUCCAAUAAAACAAGAACUAAAGUUUCUAUUCUUCUAUUUUACCAUAUUUCUUUGUACUUACCUCUUUUUUUUUUCCUGUAAUAUUUGGAUUUAUCAUCGUGUUAACAAAUAACAAUUAUUUUCGUGGAUUUAAGCUAUCAUACGGUGUUGAUUUAGAUAAAAUUAAUUAGGUGAAAAUUCAUCAUUGACCCUUAUUGCUGAGAUCAAAUAAUCUCUUAUAUUUCAAGUUAAUAAAUACGAUUAAGUUCACUAUUAUUGAAUUAUAAUACUCUUUACAUCUUAAUUAUCCUCACUGAAACCAAAUUUUUUUAUUCCCUCACUAACUAAUAUAUUACACAUCAAUAAUCAACAAAAAUUAAAAUAAUAGGUGGACUCCACGCACUAUUAUCACAAUGAUUAUUGCUAUCUCUUUAGAUUGUUGUUGUGACUUGUGACCCUCAAAAAUCUAAUGAUACAAAAUUGAUUUUAUAUUUUAUUUUAUCGCAUGGUGUAAAAUGUGUGUGGAUCCUCAUUUUUCAAUAAUAGGAUGAGUGAAGCAUUUUGUAAAAGCAUCCUUUUUUAACUUUUAUGGUGAUAAACGGACAGGUGACAAUCCCCUGCUUGAUUCUUGGAUUGCCUUCUUGUCUUUUGCGCGGACUUGUCCCUUCCUGGUAGGGACAAGCCAAUUGGGGUGGGUGAGUUCUUUUGUGUUCUUAUUAAGUUAACAGGUAUUAAAAAUGGCGCUACAACAAACUAUACAGUGGAUGAUUGGCAUCUCCAUUGCAUAACAUUAUUUCGGUGUAACACCAACAUUAAAAAUAUAUAUUUUUUACAUUAAAUUAUUAUUUUAUCUCCAACUCAUUUACACCAAAUUUUACACUAAAAAAAUAUUCUUUUUUUUAUUCCUUUAAUUCUCAAGAAUUAAUUUAAUUAACACAAUAAAUAUUACUAUUAAUAUAGAUAAUUAAAUAAUAAGUAAUUUUAUAUCGAUUAACAAAAAAAAUAUAGAAAAUUUUUAAAUUUUAAAUUUGUGUUAAUUUAAUUUUUUAUUUUUUAUUUUGUAAUAUGUAAUCUAGUAAUUAAUGUUAUUGGCAUUUUAUUUUUAUUAUUAAUUUUUGUGUUGAAUAUUUUUUAUUUAAAAUAUUAGUAUAAUAUUCAAAAAUUAACAAAAUAACAAAAAUAAUAAUAAUAACUUAAAAUAUUAUAUAAAAUAGGACAUAUAUGUAAAUAAGAUAAAAUAAUAAAGAUAUUUGAGAUUUUUUUUCCUAGCACCAAAUAUGGUGUAAUGAAUAGUGUUGCACCAUAUUUGGUGCAAUAGUAUUCAUUACACCAUUUUGGUGUUGAUUUUGGUGUUACAUUAGAGAAUCAUUUUACACCAAAAAUUGUCUAAAAGGUAAUUUGGUGUUAGGUUUAGUGCUACAUUGGAGAUGUCCUAACACUUGUUACUUAGGUGCGGAUGAGGGUUGAUCUAUACGUCAUCUACAGUCAUAUCACUAAUUAAGUCAAGAUUUAAAAAUAAUAAUAAUUUAUUUAAUGUGUAGUUUAUUUUUAUUUAUGUCUGGCUAAAAUUAAAAUCAUAAUUUUUUAAGAUCACAUAGAUGUUAUUCUUAAAGAGAUUAUCAUUUUUUCUCUUAUUGAAAUUGAUAUGUAUCGCUUACCUUUUAUUGUUUUCGUAAUCUCUAAUAACUUUCUUGGCACUAUAAUUUUAUAAUAUUAUCUUUAUUUAUAACUAUAUUUUUAUUCAUAUUUAUUAUAAAUUAAAUAAAUUGAUAUUAAAAUAAAAAAUUUAAAUACUAAAAAUAAGAAAUAUAAGUUUCAUGUGAAUAAAAAAUUAAUAAUAAGAUUUUUUUUUGUUAUUUUUGCUGGGUGAGAUAGAUAUUUGCUUAGUGAGAUAGAUAUUUCCGUAUUCGUAAUUUUGUUAUGCCAAAUUUAAUCAAAGAUACGAGCUAUUUAAUAACCCUACCACAGUCAUUGAAUGCAAAUACGAUCUAUCCAAAAACAAGUCGACACUGGUCAAUUAAUAAGCAAGUCAAUGAUUAAUCUGACAAUACGAUUAGCACGAUUGAAAAAUUGUCCAUACCCACUAUCUCGUGUAAUCAUGCCAACCUCUAAAUUGGAAAACCUUAUCCAUUUAAAUUUCGCCAAACGUUGAGGACGUAAAUGUUAAUAAUGUCCCUCGGUUGAAUGAAACUACGGCGACCCAAUUGUCGAAGUUAAGAGUUGAACGUCAACACAAAGACCCAUUGAAGGCAGCCUGGCGUGAAAUUAUUGGAUGGGCUAUACAAUUCACGUCAUUGUUAGAGCGAACGCAUAUUAUACGACACGCUCCAACAGAAAGCGAGAAUUUUGACGUGGAUCAGAUUUUUUUUUCUUUAUUCGGGAGCAAAAUUGUUGACUGAAAAAAAUCCCUCAUAAUAUCAUAUAUAUUGUUGACUGAGAAGGGAAAAACGCCAACAAAUCUGCUUGAAAUUAUUGCCCAAGGAUAAUUGAAAAAGAUAAGAUGCAACUAUCAUCGUGAAAAUUCCCAGAAAGUAAGGUAAGUAGCUAAUUAAGAAACUAUAUAAAAACUCUGCCGUCUGAUUCAAUUAUUAUCACAUCUCAAAUUUUCAGAUCAAAAUCUCUCACCAGUUGAAUUGUUUCUGUUAUGGCUUCUUCUUCUUCUCCUCGAAACAAUAAUGAGCAUGAUGUUUUUCUUAGUUUCAGAGGAGAGGACACCCGUGACAACUUUACCAGCCAUCUCUAUUCAGCCUUGUGCCAAAAAAGUAUUGCAACUUUCAUUGACAAUGAUCUUAAGAGAGGAGAUGAAAUUUCACAGUCUCUUCUUGAUACAAUUGAAGCAUCAAGCAUCUCAAUUGUCAUUUUCUCAAAAAGGCAUGCUUCUUCAGGAUGGUGUCUCGAUGAACUUUUAAAGAUCCUCGAAUGCAAGCACAAUUAUGGACAGAUUGUGAUACCAGUUUUCUAUCGGGUUGAUCCAUCACAUGUGAGGAAGCGAAUUGGGAGUUUUGGGGACUCAAUUUCGAAGCUUGAAGAAAGAUUUCCAGACAAGAUGCAAAGAUGGAGGAGUGCUUUGACCGAAGUAGCCAAUCUCUCUGGCUUUAAUUCUCACGUCAUUAGGUAACAAUUAUUAUUUGGCAACUUAUUGUGCUUUUUACUAUUUUACAGUUAUGAAUAUGGGACAAAAAAAUCCUCUCGUUGCGUUUUUUCUCCCUAAGGUUGCUUUUGUUGUUUUUUUUCUUAAAUUUGAAGAUAUGAAUUUAGCUAAAGUAAGAAUAUGUCUGAAUGAAAUAUUUAUUUAUUUUUUUUAGCAUAUGAACAAAAAGAAUUUAAAAAUUAGUAGUUUAAUAUAAAUAUCUUUUUAAGUGGUGUAUUUAUUAUUUUUUACAAUAUAAAAUCUUAACAUGUUGAUUAGUUUAAUGGCAUUAAAAGAAAUGAUACUAUCGGUCUUUCUUAAUUUAAUUUUGUAAUAAAAGACAUAAUUAUAACAUCAAUUUUUAUUAUAAAGUCAAUGUUGUUAUUUUAAUUUUGAUUCAUCACAAUGACAUAAACGGAUCCAUUCAUUAUUUUAAUUUAGUUAAUGUUACUAUGUGAACAAAAAUUUAAAUCAAUUAAAAAAUAACUUCAACGAUAAUAUAAAAAUAUUAGGUUUGUACAUAAUAUAGGAAAUAUAUGAACUAUUAAAGAUAUUUUUUAGAUUUCAAAUUAAAAAUUUUCAUUUAGAUUUCACAGAUCAAAGUAGAUUUCUUCUACUUUUUCUAUUCAAAUAAAAUUUUGUAACAAUAAAUGAUGAGUUAAGAAAACAAAUAGUCCAAAACAAGUAAAUGAAAUUCAGACCCAAAAGAAUACAAGACUUUUUUUUUGUGAAAUAAAUGUUAUGAUUGGAUUUUAAAUUUUGAUAUUGACAAUCAAGUUAUUUUUUUUCAAUUCAUUUAUAGCUAAGUCAGCUUUUUUCACUAGAUUUAAAAUACUGCAAGAUUGUGUGAGAAAAAUACUAGGAGAUCACCUUAAUCUAUGAAAUAUUAGUCAAAUGAGUGUGUGUUUUACUAUAUCAAAGUAAAAUAGGAAAAAACACAAAAGUAACAGUUUUUAAUCUGUAGGAGAUUUUUUAUGAUUUUUAAAAGACGUAGGCGAAUGCUUAAUUUAUUGAAAAAAUGGGGAGUUGGGGAGUGGCGAUCGCCCCCCCCCCCCCCCCCCCCCCCCCUUUCUGUAUAACCACACACUUCGUAAUUACUGUGUUACCCUUAGUGAAAUAAUUAAUAUCACUGUGUUACCCUUAGUGAAAUAAUUAAUAUAAACAAAUAAAUAAAAAUUUAAAUUAUUAUUUUAUUUAUUAAAUUAAGAUAAAUUUUUUGAUACACAUAAUAUUUAAUUGAUCAAGGAAUGGGACUUUAUUUAAUGUGAAGAAUUUAAGCAGAAAACUAAAGUAAGCUGAAAUUAACGAUUUUUAAACUAUAGGAGAUCUUUUCUGAUUUUAAAAAUGCCUUGGGGAAAUGCUUAAAUUAUUUCGGCAACGGGAGGUUUUGAUCAUUUCCUUGUUAAAGUAACUAACCUCUAUCUUUUAAUUUAGAUAUCACAACUUCAAAAAAAAUAUAUCUUUUUGUUUGGUUUCAAAUUACUUGAACUUAGUUCUUGUUAUAUUUUGGUAGGCCUGAAUCUAAACUUAUAGAGGAAAUUGUUAGUGAAGUUUUGGAGAGGCUAGAUGAUACUUUUGAAACUGAAAACAAGUUGGUUGGAGUUGACUCUCGCAUUGAAGAAAUUUUAUCUUUAUUAGGUGUUGGGUUGACCAUGGAUACUUGCAAAUUAGGGAUCUGGGGCAUUGGCGGCGUAGGAAAGACAGCAAUCGCAGGUGCUUUUUUUAGUAAAAUCUCUAGACGUUUUGAAGGUUCUUACUUUGCUCAUAAUGUUAGAGAAGCAGAAGAAACAGGCAAAUUAGCUGACUUGCGAAAGGAACUUCUUUCCACAUUAUUGAGCGAUGGAAAUAUGAACAAAUUUCCAAAUAUCGGCCUUAAUUUUCAAAGCAAAAGGCUUACUCGCAAGAAGGUUCUAAUUGUUUUUGAUGAUGUGAAUCAUCCAAGACAAAUAGAAUUCUUAAUUGGGAACCUUGAUUGGUUUGCUUCUGGGAGUCGAAUACUAAUAACAGCAAGAGACAAACAAGCGCUUAUAAAUUGUGGGGUCAAUAAAAUAUACCAGAUAAAGGAAUUAGUACAUGUCGAUGCUCUUAAGCUUUUCAAUCAAUGUGCUUUUGGAAGAGACCAUCCCGAUGCAAGUUAUAUCGAGUUGACACACGAGGCAAUAAAAUAUGCUCAGGGAGUUCCAAUAGCGCUUAAAAUUUUAGGUCGCUUUCUAUUUGGAAAGAGAAAAGAGGUGUGGGAAAAUGCAAUUAGUAAACUGGAAAUGGUUCCUCAGAUGGAGAUUCAAGAGGUCUUAAAAAUAAGUUAUGAUGGUUUAGAUGACAAAGAGAAGAAUAUCUUUUUGGAUAUUGCAUGUUUCUUGGUCGGAGAGGACAGAGAUAUAGUAACAAAAUAUCUAAAUGCAUGUGAAUUCUUUGCAACAUCAGGCAUAGAAGUUCUUGUUGAUAAGUCUCUUAUUACUAUUUCAGAAUACAACAAAAUAAGAAUGCAUGAUCUCAUGCGAAAUAUGGGCAGAGAAAUUGUUCGGCAAGAAUCCAUCAACGAUCCUAGUAAACGCAGUCGAUUGUGGCAUCACAAAGAGAUUUAUGAAGUUUUAACAGAGAACAUGGUGAGUAAUUAUGAUUUUGCAUCCUAUUUUAUUUAAUAUUUGAUUAGGAUUUAUAUUUUCUUUUAAGUUUUCUUUUUUAAUAUGACAAUACAACUAAUAAGAUAUUCGGAAUAAUAAUAAGGUUCAAAAUUAGAGGAAUGAAUAUAAAAAAAUCCGUAAAAAUGUUUUAAUUAACUAAAUCCAUCGCCAUACAGAUCUUUUUUUUUUUUUCAAUUUCAAAAUGAAUGUAUAUCAUUUUGUUGAUUUCAUGGACAUUAAAUAUGUUUCCUUGUUGGGCUAAGAUAAACUCAGAGAGCGUUAUACUUGGCUCCAACGUUUAAAAUUGACUAAGGGUGAGUUUGGAAUUGAGGUUGGGCAACUGUAGCUUCCAAGGUACAGCACUAAAGUGUUUGGUAAAUACCAACUGUUGUAACUUGAAAGCUAUGUUAAUAUAAUUUUUCACUUGUAUUAUGGAAAAUCUUUUAUAUCUUUAAUAAUUUUAUCAAAAUUAUUAUUUAAAAUUUAUAUUUACUACAUAUUACUAACUUUUGUUCCAUAGUUAUAGUUUUUUUUUCCACAGCAGUUGCAGUUUAAAAGUUACAACACCUCAAUCACAAACGCACCCUAAAAAUUCAUUUCUUAAUCUUUGUCGGUCCUCUUCAUCUCUCUUUCAUUGUCUUUUCCUCUUUCCCUACUCCAACUUUUUUUUUAAAAAAAAAAGAAAGCUUUUUAUUAAAUUAGCUCUAGAAUUUUCUAAAACACAUAAAUUAAGUUCUUUCAAAUUUGAAUUUUGAUUCAUUCAAGUUCUUGAUUAAAUUUUGACCAUUUUUAAGUUGAUGAAAAAUGAAAACAUUAACAUGAACAUAAGAAGACAAUUGCGCCUAUGUAUUUCGCAUCAAUGGUUUAAAGUCCACUUUAUCAUUGUUAUUAUUUCUUUUUAUUUAGUAUGCUAAAAAUUGGAAACAAAACUUGGAGCUUUUCACAUUAUUCAUCACAUUUGAUCUCCCCCACAAUACUUAAUCAUUUCAACACUUUCAAUAGUCCCUUCAUUUCUUUUUCUUUUUUUUUUGGCACUCUUACCAUAACAUUUUUUUACAUUAUUAUAUAAUCUUUUCAUUUUCUAGAUCUUUUAAAUACUGUUAAAAAAUUAAAAUUUUCAAAAAUUAAAUUUCAAUGAUCGGGUUAUAAUUGCAUGGGACCAAGAUCUGGUGCGGAGCUGAGUUUGUGCUUAUUAUCGGAUCAAUAGUCUGAAGUUAUCCAACAUGGGUCCCACAUGGGACUCAGGCCUAUCAUGAUUGUUAAUAAGAUGAUCAGCACAAACCGAUCUCAACAGCAAAUCCAUUUACAAUAAAUAAUAAAAUUUUACGAGAAUGUUAAGUUAAUAAUGGAUUUUACAUAUCAAAAUUUUUCUUUUCCAUAUUUGAUAAAAACAAGUAACUUCACAGUUCAAAAAUAAAUUAAUUAUAAUAUUAAUAUUUGAAAGAGGAAAUUAACUUUACUUGUUAGAAAUUUUUAGGAUGAUUUUAAAAGUUUGUGGCAUUAUAUUACAAAUUCUAGAAACUUUAAAAGAAAAUAUAUAGGAGUUAAAUUUCACUCCUAUUCGUUCAUGAACACAUAUGUUCAAUUUAUACAAGUGUUUAAAAUAAAGAUGACAAAGGACCAGUCUGGGAAUGCUAUAAUUUUUAAAAUAAUUGUUGUUAGCUGUGCUGUAGAAAUAAUCAGCUGUGAAGAGAAUCAGUCAAGUGUUUAGUAAAUUUUAUUUUCAGAAGUACUGUGAGUUUUGAAAACAGUUAUAAACGUUUGGUAAAUUUUACUGUUAAACUGCUGAGAGAAAAUAAAUGACUAAAAUGUGCAUAAUAUAAGAUAAAAAUAAGUGACUAAAAUGUGCAUAAUAUAAGAUAAAAUUUACUCAUACAUAUAAAAAUAUGUACAUAUAAUUUUUUAAUUGUGUAUUAUAAUAAUUUUUACUUAAAAUAAAAUUUAUAAUAUAUUGAUUUUACUUUUUUAUUUUUUUAUCUUAAAACAAUUGAUAAUUAAAUUAAUAAUAUAGUGAAACAAAUUUAAUAAUAAUUCGACCAACAAAUUGAUAUUACUAAAUUGACAUUGAUGAAUUAUAAUAAAAAUUUGUUAAAAUAUUUAUUUUGUUUCCAAUUUGAAUAAGGAUAAUUUUGGGUUUAGGUAAUAAUUUUAAGAAUAUUUAUGAAAUUGUAUUAAAGGGUAAAAUUGAUUUUUAAAAUUAGAAUCUAAAAAUUACUUCUUCCCUGCAUUUCAAAAUCAGCUGUAGGAAGUGCUGAUUUUAAUCAAAGUGAUUUUGAUUUUUUUUUUUUUACCAAACGCUAAAAUUAGCAUUUAGAUUUUUAAAAUUACUCUUAGGUCUCCUAAAAGCAAUUCCAAAUAAGCCCAAAAUCUUCUCUGGGUUUGAAACUCCAUAAGACCCUACUCCAAAUGAGGUCAAUUUUGAUGAAUUAUUGGGAAAUGGGUGAAAAAUAAUUUCCAAGUUCUUAAUAUGGUGGAGCUUGGUUUUAUACAAUUCCCAUAUAUAUAAAUAUGUGUAUAUUUUAGUCUUUAUUUAUUUAAAUAUAUUACAUUUUUAUGUGGUUCAAGAUAUUAUUCAUAUAUAUCGGAGAUAUUUUGUUAUUUUAAUAAUUUAAUUACUUUACAAUAUGUUAAUAAUGAUUUUAUUUGAGUGAUUUUUAUUUUAUUUUACUAAAUUUAUAGGGGAAAGGCCAACCACACCCCCAAUCUUUGCUUAAAUGGUCACACGGGCCCUCUUUUAACUAUUACACCCUUGAUUACAACAGCCCAAUAAUUGACUUUAGAUAAUCUUAUAUAAAAGAUAUAAAUUAAAAUUAAAAAUAAGAUAAAAUUUAUAAAAUAUUUAAAAUAUUAGAAAAGUUAUUUUAACAUUAUUAAUUUGCCAUAUUCUUUUGAUAAUAAUAAAAUUUGUUUGACAUAGUAAUAAUAUUAAAAUAAUUAUACCUAAAAUUCAUAGUAAUUUAUAAAAUUUUAUAUUAUUUAUUUACAAUAUCUUUUUUAAUUAUGUUAUAUUAGUUUAAAUCUUAAAGUCAAUUUUUAGAUUAAUAGAUUUUAAUAUUGAUAAAACCCAUUGAUAUAGACUAAUAAUAAGUUAAUAUUGAAAAUAAUUUUCUUUAUAUACAUUAUUUUUAAUUAUACUUAUUGUAACAUUUUAUUUGUAUCAUAUGAUAUUUAUUUAUUUUUUUUUAUCUUAUUACUAUAUGUAUAUUCAGUUGGAUUGUUAUAAUCAAUGAGUAUAAUAGUUAGUUUUGAAAUUAAGGAGUCCAUGUAACCAUUUAAGUAAAUUUUGAGGGUGUAGGUUACUUUUUUUCAAAUUUAUAUAUAAAAAUCUAUUAUAAAAUAAGUUAAAUAGAGAACAUGUGGAAAUAAGAAACCGAUCCUUACAUGAGGAUUUUCCAUCCUCGUCCCACUAAAAUUUAUUGAGGAAUAUGAUGGGAAAUGGGGGCCUAAUUUGGAAUGAGAUCGGUGUACCCCAUUGUCAUCCCUAGUUUAAAACAAAGAAAAGGAAAUUAAUGAUAGAAUUUUUUUUAUGAAAAAAUUGAUGAUAUGGUUAACAUAGUUAUUGUGUCAAUCAAUCUUUAUAUUAAUUGAUAAGCAAUCAUUUUCUAAUCAAUACUUAAGAUAAAGACAAUCAAUCAUUUGAGUUAUUGUUUUGUUUCCAUCAUUGUUGAUUAUUAUCAAAUGCCAUGUCAUUUUAAAAAAAAGUAAAGAGUAAUGUAACUACAAAUUAGGGGACACAGAAGUCUUAUCCCGAAAAAAUCAAAUAACAAAUUGAAAAAAAUAGGUGAAAACCUACAGCAAACAAUGAAAUAUUAUAAUAAGAACAACCAUCACACUAGGAAAAUUGAUAUGGUUGGAAACUAUUUGCAAUCUCAGGAUAAUAAUCUAAGAACCUCAGUAGCUAGGAGGUUAAUCAGCUACAUAAUUAGUAAGAGUAAGACGAUGCUUGAAACAGAAUAAUAAUAACACACACACAUAUGUAUAUAUGAUUACAUCUGCAGCAUAUUUUAUAUCGCUUAUCUAAUUGUCAAAAGUGAUUAUCUAAUCCCACAAGGUCCUUCUAAAAUUUUUUGUAUUGUUUGGUUGUAUUUUUUAGUAGAGCUUUUGGGGAUUAAAUAAACUAUUUUGUCUCUAUUAGUAAAAACUAAAAUUUUGAACUUUUGAGAGUAAAUGUUGGAAAGUUUUUUAAAAAUAUUAAAUUAUUUAAAAUAUUUUCUACUUAUUUCAUAAUUUUAUUUCAUUUGUUUCAAAACAUAACUUUAAGAAACUUGUGUAUUAAAAUAAUUUUAUAAUUUUUAAUAAAAACUCUCAUUAACAAUGAAACAAUUAAAUUAAUUUUUUGAGGAAAAUCUCAACUUAUAAAAAUUUCUACUAAUAAAAGUUCUACUUGAAUAAGCUUUAUUUAAAAAAUUAUAUAAAUGAAGCUUCAUAGUUUGUAUGUUUAGUUUAUUAUUUGUAUGGCUAAAACGAGUUUGACAGCCUAAUGUAACUAGCUAGCAACGUCAAUCAUAUAAAUUUAGUUUUAACUUAAUGGUUUUUAUUCAUUAAUUAUUAGGGGACCGAAGAAAUUGAGGGCAUAUGCUUAGAUAUGUCUAAAGUGGAAGAGAUCCAUCUAUAUUCAGAUGCUUUCACGAAGAUGCGAAAAUUGAGAUUUUUGAAAUUUUAUAACUCAUCCAUCAAUGGAGAAAACAAAUGUAAGGUGUCAAAUAUCCAAGACCCCGUAUUUCCUGAAAUUAGGUAUCUGUUUUGGCACGGAUAUCCGUUGAAAUCAUUACCAUCAAUCACUCAUCCUGCUAAACUUGUUUUACUUGAAGUGCCCCAUAGCAAUAUUCAACAACUCGGGGAUGGUGGCCAGGUAUACAUUUAUAUAUAAAUCUUAAAAUUUAUUCAAUGUCUUUAUAAUAUUAACGUUUAAUUAUCUAAUGAUUUGUCAUCAUGCACGGCCUCUUUUUUUUUUUUUUUCCCCGUCCGAACAGCAUCAUUGUAAGUUAAGCCAGAUAAUCACCGCUGCCCGUAAUUUUGUUACCAAAACUCCUAACCCAUCGUUUAUUCGAAGUCUGAACAAGCUAACUAUCUUGAAUCUAAGCGGCUGCUCACAACUGAAGAGACUUCCUGCAGAGAUCUUAUCUGCUGGUAAUAUGGAAGAGAUGAUUUUGAAUGGAACUGCAAUUGAAGAACUGCCCUCAUCCAUUGAGUGUCUCAGUCGGCUUUUGCACUUGGGCCUUCGAGAUUGUAAAAGGCUUAAGAGUCUCCCCAAAGGCCUGUGUAAGUUGAAAUCUCUAAAAUUUCUUAUUCUGAAUGGUUGCGGCAUCACGCAGUUACCUGAAAAUCUUGGCCAGUUAUUCUCGCUAGAAGAAUUCUGUCUAAGGAAAACCAAGUUUGAGAAAAUACCAACAAACGUCAUACAUCUUUCUAGGUUGCAUUCUUUCUGCUUAAGUUAUUGUGAGAGGCUUCAAUCUUUACCAAAGCUUCCAUGCAAUCUAAAGGAAUUGGAUGCAGAUCAUUGCGCGGCUCUGGAAUCAUUAUCAGACUUAUUCUCAAUAAGUUAUGAUUAUUAUAUCCGGUGUUUUGAGCUGAGCACUAAUUAUAAAUUGGACCGGAAUGAGCUCAGAAGUAUUCUUGAAGAUGCUCUGCAAAAAAUUCAGGAUAUGGCAUGUACAACACGUUGGAAACAAUUAUACGAAAAUUUGGAAAAGGUGUGUCUUUAAUUAAUUCUCUUAUCAUCAUUUAAUAUUAUAACUUUUUUUUUCUUUUAAGGGAAACUAUGAUCCGCAAACCACGCCGAGAAUAUUGAAAGAGCAAACAGUCGCCACUAAUUUCUGAAAAUAUUUUUACUCUAUCCUAAGUUUUAGUUUAUAUCAAUCAGUAACUUUAACUCUCUUCGUCACUGUUAAAUAAUCUAAGUUAAAAAACUAUUUUGUCUCUAAAACAAAAAGGUAUAAUCAUAGACGAUUUACCUUAUUAACUAAAACUAGAGGUAAAUUAAUUUUAUGUAGAUUCUUUAACAGUAACUAAUAGAAUUAACCAAAAAGUAGUUAACACUUGAGAUGGUAUAAAGAUAUUACGAGAAACUCGUGGUGGUUAUUUGUACUUUCAAUAUCCUUGAGACGACUGGGGAUAAUUUCCCUUCUUUUUUUUUUUUUUGGUGAGAAUAAUUUCCCUUCUUUUAAGUUUUCAGUUAGCAAAAUUUUUUUUUCUUUAAAAUAAUGAUUUUCGUGGAACGUACAGAUAUCUUACCCAGAACGUAGAGGUUACGUCUAUGUACCAGGUAAUGAAAUUCCAAAGUGGUUUAGGUUUCAAAGUGUUGGAUCUUUGAUAACCUUGAAGGUGCCGUCGCCACCUGCAGAUAAUUGGUUCAGUAAUGGUAAAGUAAUCGGCUUUGCUUUUAGCGCUAUUGUGUCAUUUCCAGACCAUCAUGACGUGAAAAAAUUAGGGCUAUGUGAAUUGGUCUGUGAAAUCAAAGUUAAAUCGGAAGAUUGCAAUCCGCAGGUCAUACUGAGAUAUGUAGUGGUAGUUAGAAAUUUAGAGUCAGAUCACUUACUUAUGGGGUACUAUUUCUUUGACGAUCAUGAUUUUAAUGCUUUUCGGGAAAAUACUUGCGUUCUUGAGGCAGUCCAAUUCUAUUACAAGAUGUACGAUGAUGCUUCUGAAUGUCUGGAAUGUUACCCGGUGAAAAAAUGUGGGAUUCAUUUAUUCUCCGCCCCAGAUUCAACGGAAGACCCAAGCGAAAUUUUCAAGUGCGAAAAAGAAGAGGAACCACAGCACCCCAGCAAAAGACUGAAAUACUCUUGAAGCUAGCCAUCAUCCAUCCCAUGCAUGCGGAUGCUAUGUACUUUUCUGUAAAUUAAUUAAUCUUCCUAUAUACAUAUAUGCACACACACAUAUAUUGAACCUUGAUUUGCUAGCUUAGUUCCUUUUCUUUGUAUGGGUUUUCAAUUCUUUUCUCAAGUUCUAAGGUCGAUCUCGUAAUGAAAGAGCAAGCAAAAACCUGUGGAUCAUUCUAUGUUCCCGUUAUUCUUUUACGACAUUAAUAAUGUAACAAAUGUAAAUACUUGGAUUUUAAUCAAUGGUGUAAAAUAUUUGUAUGAAUAAAAAGAUAAAUUUUUAAAAGUGUAAAAUAUUUGUAUGAAUAAAAAGAUAAAUUUUUAAAAAUACUGUAAUUAGUUAACAAAUCGGUUAGAAGAUUAUUUACAAAUUAAAGUAGAAUAAAUAAAAGGGGUGGUGAUAUUUCCACCCCAUAAAUUUUGUAAAUCCACCCCACUUUGAGAAAAUAAUUAUAUAAAGCUCAUAUUAUUUUUAAAAAAUUUAAAUAAAGAAGAAUUCUGAAGAAUUAAUCAAUUAAAUCUAUUCUAAUUUAGUUUUUUUGUAAUAUCUUAAUUUAUUUUUUUGUGACUUAAAUUUUUUUUAUUAUAUUUAACUACUAAGAUUGUUUUAGCCUAAAAUAGCUAUUUUUCCUUUAAAGGUAAAAAUACCAAAAACUGACUUUAAUUUCAAUAAUUUUUUUUAUUUUAUACAAAAUUGAUUGUUUUUAAUAAUCAAUUCUACUUGCCUAGUAUGAUUAUUAACCUUUAAUUAAAUAACAUAAUCUCUUUAUGAGACAAUACCCAUGUAAAUUAUUAGACUGUCAAAUUUAUGUUAUUUACAUGUAAAAUAUUAAAAAUUAUUAGAAUCCGUUUAAAAAAUUAGAUUAUAAGUUACAAAAGUAUUGGAUAUAAGAACACAUAUUUUUUGGGGCAAUUGGUUCAUUUUAUGUCACAAAGGUAAAAUAAUUAAAUAAAACUUAUAUUAAAGCAAACUUAAUGGUAAACAAAUGUUGAAAAAACUUAAGUAAGAAAAAAAAUAUAAGAAUGACUUAAUUGAUGAAUCAUACAAAUAUUUUUGUUGAGAAAUAUUUAUAUUUAUUAGAAAUAAUGUGAAUUUAUUGUAAAUAUAUUUUGAAAGUGGUUUGGGUUUAUAGAAAUAAUGUGGUGGAAAUAUCCCACCCUAAAAAAAGAGUGAUAAUGAAUCACGACUUCUCUCUCUCACAUUGAAUUCAUAAGUCUCUUUAUUUAAUUCAAAUUCAUCAACUUAAUUUUAAAGGUUACUUAUUGAUUAUUAAUUAACUAAUUAGAUAUCCACCAAAAUAAAGUCAAUGAUAGCGAUUAAAAAUUUAAAUCGAAGGGUUUAGACCCAUUAUCAACACUAUAAAAAAUGAUACAGCAUCAUUAAGAAAAUUCUCUAUAUGGUUGUCCCCAAGCCUAAAUAUACUAAGGAAAAAAAAAAUGUAAUGCCAAAAGCUAAAAUUUUGUGACAUCGUCAGCAAUAAAUUUGCAAGAAACAGCAUCAAGAUAAAUGAAUAUACAAAUGGAAAAUUAUUUUCUUUAAUUAUACAAGUAUUAAAUAUUUUUUAUAUAAUUUAACUUAUCAAGGGUAUUUUAAGUAUUAAAAUGGGUUUAUGGAGUUAAUUUUAUUUUUUUAGUAUAGUAAAACUUUAAAUUUUGAAUGCCCCUUUUCUCAUAUUUAUCUCAACAUUUCAACAUGCAAAAACAAGAACUGAGUUUCUAUUCUUCUAUUUUACUAUAUUUCUUUGUCCUUACCUCUUUUGUUUUUUUUUUGGUGGAAUAUUUGUAUUUACCAUCUUCUUAACAAAUAACAACUAUGUUCAUGCAUUUAAGUUAUCAUACGGUCUUAAUUUUCCUCACCGAAAGCCAAAAUUUUUAUUCUCUCACUAACUAAUACAUUACACAUCAAUAAUCAACAAAAUAAUAAUAAUAAUGCGUGGACUCCACGCAUUUAGUAUCACAAUGAUGAUUGCUAUCCCUUAGAUUGCUGUUGUCACUUGUUGCUUGGGACCCUUAAAAAAAUAAAAAGAGAGCAAAAAAAAUCUAAUGAUACAAAUUUGAUUUUGUUUUUUUCGCAUAGUGCAAAAUGAGUGCGGGUCCUCAUUUUUCAUUUAUAGGAUGCGUGAAGCAUUUUGUAAAAGCAUGGCUGGGUUUUUUUUUUUUUUUAAUGGUGAUAAAUGGACAUGUGACACAAUCCCCAGCUUGAUCCUUUCGAUUGCGUUCUUGUCUUUUGCGCGGGACCUACACAGACUACUAAUUUCAUAAGAUGACAAAAAGCCCCUUUCGUGGUAGUGACAAGCCAAUUGUGGGGGGUGAGCUUUCUUUGGCUCUUGUUAAGUAAAAUUGUAUUAAAUUGGGGUUUUAUAAAUCUAAAAUAUUAAAUCUCUUGUCACAAAUUUCUUAUUUUUGUUUACUUGUACCUCUUUGUUGUUAAUUUGUUUUUUUUUUUCUGAAAUGCUAACCUUCUAAAUUUAGCGUAGUUCCUUAUCCAAAAAAGAAAAAAAGAAGAAGAAAAUCAUAGUUCAUUCUUUAUAGCAAAUUUAAUUAUACACACUCUGAUGAUGUCUAAAUACAAUGCAAUAUAAAUUCCACACCCACAAAGUCUAAUCAUUAAGUUCAUAAGGAUUGAUUGAUAGUAUUAUCUGGAAUCAUUUUAUAAUUCAGACAAGAAUAUUUUCAUCCCAUGAUUGUUGUAAAUUCAUUUUGUUUUUAAAAAAUAAUUAUAAUAAGUUCACGUUGUUUUUAAAAUAUAAAAAUUAACAAAAAAAAUUGAUAAUUAAUCAAUCAAAUCUUUCUUAUAAGCUUUUUACUUAGAUAUUUUUUACUAUUAAAGUUGCUUUAAGAUCAAUUUUAUUUGACUAUUUUAUCCUAAUAAUAUAAAAUAAUCAAAUUACCCCCAUAACGUAAGCUCUUGUAUCUAAUCGUUUAAGUAUUGAGUUUUAUUUGAUUAAAUUUCUAAACUUCUUUGUUAUUUAUUUUUUAUAAAAGGUAAUGUGAACUUAUUAUAAUUAUUUUUGUGAGGCGGGUGAGUUUAGAAAAAUGGUGGGAUGGAAUAUCACCAUCCUUAUAAUUCAACAUUUCUUAUCUAUUAACAAAUUAUUACAUAAUUAUGUUACUUAUAUAAGGCUUCGUUUAGAAUUUUUGUAUACCAACAGUGGCUUUUAAAUUACCAUUCUUAAAUAUUAAUAAACAUUUUGUAAUUGUGAUUUGGAUUUGCAAGUUAAGAUUAUUUUAUGCAACAAUUAUUUGGUAAAAAACUUAUACUAUAUUUAUUAUUUUUUCUCAAAAUAAUUAUUUAAUGAUCAUACUUUCAAAUAUUAUCAAUUUUUAUUUAACAUUAGAGCUUUUAUUUAUUUUUAAUAACUACAGUUUAAAAGGCAUGACACCACGAAUUCCAAAAAAAAGCCUAUGGGUAAUUUGAUCGGUUCAUUAGGGUUCUUGGAAAGGGGCCUAUUUAUUACAAAUAAAAAAUAAAUAUACUUUUUAGAGAAUAAGUAAACAAAUAGGGAUCCAAAAGUAAUUAUUGUACUUGUUAACACACGUGACCUGUGACGAGCCGAACUGAAACAUUUCCUGGACUACGUGUCAUCCUACUAUUGGUGAUACUCAAAGAUACUCUUAGACUGACAGACAUCGGAUGCCUCCCUCCUCCGUUUAAUUUCAAUUCAUCAUCUGUGCAGUACAGCAAGUGACUCACUUUCAUUCUCGUCAGUUCCAGCAACCAAAGACGCCAAAUUAUUAGUUCAUUGAUAAAGAAAGAGAACGGGGGGGAAAAGAGAGAGAGAGAGAGAGAGAAACAAAUCAAUGGCGUUCUCUUCGAGUGUCUCCUCCUCGCGUAUGAUUCACUCUCCAGCCGCAUUGGCUUACCAAUCAAAGCUCAACAACAACCAAAACAAUAAGAAGAUCUUUCAUUGCCGCUCUUUCUCUCCUCUUCCUUUCAUUUCCAGGUGCUUUUUGUUUUGUUCAUUUGCUCCGCACUGCUUGGAAACGAUGCGUUUUGAUAAUCAACUUUUGCUUUACGAUUGUUGUCUAGUUAUAAUUGAUGUGAGCAUGUCACAAAAAACGAUGCGUUUUGGUGCUUUGUGAUAGUUCUUUGAAUUGAUUCGAGGUCUUGGAGUUGGUUUUGAAAUGACGAUCCAACGGUGUGUGUUUGUGUAUGUAAAUGUGACUUGUCUAGUCCUCUUUCUUAUGCUUCAUUUAAAAUGAAAAAAAAAUUGGAAAUUUGAGAUUCUGUUAUUUUGCCAUUUGUUGUGUGUUUGAAAGUGCUUCCGGUAAAGUGCUUUUGUGUCUUUCUUGCUAUUUUCAGUUGAAAUGGAUAAAACUGCCUUCAGGAAUCAAAACAGAAGCACUUUUAUGUUUAAUUUUUUUGAGAAGUGCUUUACAAGUUGCAAAGGAAUUUGAUGUGCUUUCACAGCAAGCACUUUUGUUUGCUAGUGCCUUUUCUAGACUGUUUUUAUUUUUAUGUUUACAUUUCGAUUGGUUUCCUAAGGCAAUUGGCAGCUGAGCUCCUUCUAUGUAAGGCUUUAAAAGCUGCAACCUGGAGUUCGUGUAUGAUAUAGCUUUCUUAACAUUUCUUGAUGAUUUUAAGUUCAAUACUUUCUUUUACUUAAUAUUAGUGUUUCAUGGUUCAGAUUGAGUUAUGUCUCUCGGAGGCGAAAAGGGGAGUCAUUGAAUAAGCACAUAAUGGCUUCAGUUACAGGUCCAUUAGCUGCUUUAUCUAUUUUCGAAAUCUAUUAAAAUUGUUACCAUCUUCUAAUUGACAAAUGUUUGUUCAGUUGAUUCCAUCUUAAUUUUUUUUUCUUAUAUGUUUACAGAUAUUUCAGUGGACAAAUUAACCGAAGAAGCUCAGAUUCCCAAAGGACAAAUGUGGUCAGUUCAUAAGUUUGGUGGCACAUGUGUUGGAACCUCCCAAAGAAUAAAAAAUGUUGGUGAGAUAAUAGUUAAUGAUGAUACAGAAAGGAAGUUGAUAGUUGUGUCAGCCAUGUCAAAAGUGACAGAUAUGAUGUAUGACCUCAUCUACAAGGCUCAGUUGCGAAAUGAUUCCUACUUAUCUGCCCUGGAUGCUGUUUUUGAAAAGCAUCAAUUAACAGCACAUGAUCUACUUGAUGGAGACGAACUUGCUGGGUUUUUGUCUCGGUUGCACCAUGACAUAAGCAACCUCAAAGCAAUGCUCCGUGCUAUAUACAUCGGUAACAGAGUGCUCGCAUGAUGCAUAUUCAUGGGACUUUUUGGUGGAGAAAAUUCUGUUUCCAUUUGUGUGGAUCUAUCUUUACAAUGAGUGAUAAAAAUACUGCUUGCUUGCAAUUUAUCAUGAGUUUGUACCUUCAUCUAAGUCCCUCUUUACAAAUUUAGUUUCUUACUUGUUAAUCUUUUUCUUUACAAAACAAUUGCAUAUAGCUUUAACAGUUUGAUAUUUAAGUUUCUAUUCUGAGCUAUACAAGUCAUGCAUUCAUGUUCCAAGUUUUGUAUAUCAUUCAUAUCAGUUGAAUAUCUACUUGGAUGUUGGUUACAAGUUAUCCUUUAUAUCCGAUUUGCUCUACUUUUAGGUGAGGAAUUAUGUUUUUAUCUCUGAGUUGUUAUAUGAGUUCAUAAGGUCUACAUAUAAUUUCUUGUCAAAUGUGGACUGUGUUUACUAAUUGUUUAUUCGUAUAUAUUUGAUACAUUGAUUUGAUUUUCUUGUUUGGUGGGAUGGGAUUUCCAUGGCAUAUUCUGUCAUCAACCUUGUUCUUUUUGAGGCAAACUGGUCAUGGGAAUCUAAUCUUUUAUUUAACAAUUUGUUGCAAACCACUUUUAAUCAUUUUAUUAUUUUUGCAGCUGGCCAUGCCACAGAAUCUUUUACAGAUUUUGUUGUCGGACAUGGAGAGUUGUGGUCUGCUCAGAUGUUAGCAGCUGUUGUCAGAAAGGUCCGGCAGUUAUAUGCACUUUGUUAUUAGAAAUUUCGCUUGAUUUUAGCUUUUGGAAGUUGCUAUAACUUUUAGAAGCUAUUUGAACUUAUUUUUUCUUGUGCAGAAUGGCAUUGAUUGCAAAUGGAUGGAUACAAGGGAAGUCCUUAUUGUAAAUCCAACUAGCUCUAACCAAGUUGAUCCUGAUUUCUCAGAAUCUGAAAAAAGACUUGAGAAAUGGUUUUCUCAGAGUCCAUCAAAUACAAUAAUUGCAACUGGUUUUAUAGCCAGCACGCCUGAUAAUAUUCCCACAACUUUGAAGAGGGAUGGAAGUGACUUCUCUGCAGCCAUAAUGGGAGCUCUACUCAGGGCUCAUCAAGUCACAAUUUGGACAGAUGUGGAUGGAGUUUACAGUGCUGACCCAAGAAAAGGUUUGCAUAGAGCAUUAUAUGUAUGCCUUCAUUUUCAGAAGAUCCUCAAUAUUCUUGUAUAUUGCAAAUUCAGUACAAUGAAUAGAAUGCUUGCUUGGGAUUUUAAUGGAUCAUAACUUUGAUAUUGUUGUAACUCGAAUUUCUGCAGUUAGUGAAGCUGUGAUACUGAGGACACUGUCUUAUCAAGAAGCCUGGGAAAUGGUGAAUUGACCUCUACUCUUAUGCCUGCCAAAGCUGUGCAGAAUUCAGACUUACAUUUCUUACACUAUAUUCAUGUGUAUUUGCAGUCAUAUUUUGGAGCAAAUGUGUUGCACCCACGAACCAUUAUACCAGUAAUGCGAUAUGACAUUCCAAUUGUGAUACGGAACAUUUUCAAUCUUUCGGCACCUGGAACAAUGAUAUGCCGGCCUCCUGUUGAUGAAAAUGAAGAUGAGCAAAUAAUAGAUUCUCCCGUAAAAGGUUUUGCAACAAUAGACAAUUUGGCUCUCGUAAAUGUUGAGGGGUGAGCUGCCUGUUCCGGUUUCAGCUCUAUUAUUUUUUGGAUUAUAAUUUUUUUUCGAUUUUAAAUCAAUUUUAUCUGCCUGUAUUGCUUCUUUUUAUUUUUAUUUUGGUAGUACUGGAAUGGCUGGUGUUCCCGGCACUGCAAAUGCGAUUUUUGGUGCAGUGAAAGAUGUUGGAGCUAAUGUCAUCAUGAUUUCCCAGGGUAAUUUAUCCUCUGAUUUACGUUCCAGGGACAGUCUUCUUUAAUAAACACAGAUGCUUAGUGACUGAUUAUGGUGUAGGCUAGUAGUGAGCACUCUGUGUGCUUUGCUGUGCCCGAGAAGGAAGUAAAAGCUGUUGCUGAGGCACUGGAGUCUAGAUUUCGUGAAGCUUUAAAUGCUGGACGUCUUUCCCAGGUAUGUUUGUCAUUUUGGUUAUGUGAUUAUACUUGAUAAUCUUACAAAUUUUCAAACUGGAACAAUUUAUACUGACUUUUGUCCUGCGAUUGCUUAUCUGGGCGUCUCUUACUUAAUAUUAUGCACAAGAUUUUGGUUCUAAUUUAGUAAUCUUUUAUUUUAACUUCCUUUUAUCAUCAUUCCUUUGUUUUGUACAAGAAUAGACUAGACUAGACUAGACUUGAUAAAGAUAUCAAGACUCUGGCUGAAUAUAAUUAUUAAGCUUUCACUUCUGUACCACACAGUUUAAAGUAUUAAAUCAUCGGAAAAUUACUGUCUGUUGCAAUAAUUGAGAGCUAAUGCAUUUCAUGUCUCUGUGAUUUAUCAUGGUCCAAAUUAUUAGCUCGCUUUUUGUGCUGUGAGAUCUGUAGUAGAAGCUGCGUUUUCAUAUUUUCCUUUUCCUGUAAUUACAUUAAAGCUCUGAUUUUGCCAAGUUCAAUGCAAAUGUAGUUUUCUGCUUCUAUUUUAUCUCAAGACAAAUCUUCUUAGGUGGCAAUCGUUCCAAACUGUAGCAUUCUAGCAGCAGUUGGCCAGAAAAUGGCGAGUACUCCUGGUGUUAGUGCCACGCUUUUCAAUGCUCUGGCCAAGGUAAAAAUAUCAUCUCUUGAUAAUCCCUUAUUUCUGCUUUGAUCUUAAUUUCUAAUUAUCUGUGUGAUAAGUGUUUGAAGUAUCAAUAAUGCAGGCUAAUAUCAACAUCCGUGCAAUAGCUCAAGGUUGCUCCGAGUACAAUAUUACUGUAGUACUUAAGCGUGAAGAUUGCAUUAGAGCUUUGAGGGCUGUCCACUCGAGGUUUUAUCUUUCAAGAACCACUAUCGCAAUGGGGAUUAUUGGCCCUGGUUUGAUAGGUGCCACAUUACUUGACCAGCUCAGGGAUCAGGUGCAGUAUUAGACAGUUUCCCUUCGUAUUUGGUUUGUAUGAUAACAUCUAUGAAUAAAUCAAUGCUGGAGUUUGAGAAUAUAUGGAGUUCUUAGUCUUGGUCAAUAUGAAUACAGUCAAUAGUUGUAAAUUCUUGGAAAUCUAAUAUCAACAGCGGUAAUACUAUUGAUUUGUGUUAUACUAAAGAAAUCUAUUAUGGACAUUAAUAAAAUAGAUCUGCUAUUUGUAAGUCAAAUUAGGGACAAUUAAUUGACAUGACUAGGCAUGCUGUAGCCAUUAAGCGAGCAUGGGGUUCAUUAAUCUGGUUGCCAUAUUGGUGUCUUUUCUCGAAAUAUAGCAACUGGAGACAAAAAUAUGAAAACGGUUUUCAAACUUUGAAGCAAAAUGUGCUUUUGUUGUUGGUAGUUGAACAAGUUUUGAAAUUUCUGUUUUACUCUGGCAGGCAGCGGUCCUGAAGGAAGAUUUUAACAUUGAUUUGCGGGUCAUGGGAAUCACUGGCUCCAGAACAAUGGUCUUGAGUGAUACGUAAGUUAGAAGCUUUAUUUGAGUAUUCAUGGCUCUUUGAUAUCAUUGCAUCAGAUGGGUUUAAAAAAGACGUGGUAACUCUGCUCUUCCUUCUGAGCUGAGCAUAAACAUAACCAUUAUUCAGACUAACAAAAAUUUGCUCAUAUGAUUAUUUUUCUGUUGGGCGCUCUGUCGGAGUUCAGUAUCCAUCAAUAUGAAGCGAUCAUAAGUUCUAUAACAUAUUAUCUUAUAUUCCUUGUUUCACACCUUGGUAAUGACUAUUUUGUUCUCAAUAAGAAACAAUUAUAUCAGAAAUAGAGGAAUAGAAUGUAAAAUAAAGGGGAUCAGCAGACCAUCCUAUGCUCAGGUGACCAUAUUAAAGAAAAACAAUAUAUCAAGUCAAAGGAAGAAGGAACUCAGCCUUAAAUAACACUUUUCCAGUUCCUAGGAAGACAGAAUACGUCUUCAAAACAGUUCACUGGAGACUAUAAUGAAGUGAAAUUCAUUGUUCUGCUUUUGUAGAAAGUACAAUAAACUGAACUCCAUAGGCCCAUUUUUACCCACAUGCUUUCCAUAGGUUGACACCAACAACUUUAUAUGUUUGGGGCACAUGGUUCACAUAUUAUGUUGAGGUUUUGGGAAAUGAAUGCGCAUAUUCGAGUUGUAUAAUCUGAAUAUCAUGACGAUUUGCUAUUGGGACCUGUCUGUUUGGGCUUCACUAUCAGAGAUUAUUUUGCUUUUCUUUGUUGACUGAAGACAUUAUUCAAUUGUAUUCUUUUUUCCUGCCUUUCCUGUGGUUUUAAUAAAUAUUGUGAAGCUACCCUUUUUUCUCCUUUUAAUAUAUGCUGGGACAGUGGGACUUCUUAAUUUAUGAAUGAGCAUGCUUAUUUCAUUAAUUAUAAGAAUAUUACUUUCGAAUGUAGUCAAAUUUACUGCAACCCUUCGUCUCAUUAGUUAUUCAUUGUAGGGGAAUUGACUUGUCAACAUGGCGAGAGCUUCUAAAGGAGAAAGGAGAAGUGGCUGAUGUGGAGAAAUUUACUCAACUUGUGCAUGGAAAUCAUUUUAUCCCUAAUACAGUUUUGGUAGACUGUACAGCAGACUCUAAUGUUGCCAGCUGUUACCAUGAUUGGUUGCGGAGAGGAAUUCAUGUAAUCACCCCAAACAAAAAAGCAAAUUCCGGACCGCUGGACCAGGUAACGAAAUUCUUUUGUCUUUGGGAUAUGAUCAUUCAUCAUCACCAUCAUCAUUGUCAUAUAGAAGCCUCUUCGGUAGUGUUACUCUUUUGGGGAAAAGUACAACAUUCCAGAUUUUUUAAAAUAAAUUUACACUACAGAUUUACAUCUUGAUGUUUAUUCAUCUGCACUUGCUUCUUUUUUAAUAUCAAUCUCCUGCUGGAGCAUGGUUGAUUUGAUGUCUGUGUGCUACCCAGCCGGAUGAACUGUAUCCUGGUUCACCUAAUAGUUAAUUUAGAAAGGGACAAUUUUACUGUUGAUUUUUUUUUUUUCCUCUGAUCCUUCCGUUGGGAGAUUUGUUAAUGUAGUUCUGCAUAAAUCUAGUAUUUAAAGCUGAGGCCUCUUCAACGGAAAUCCUAUACACAUUACUUCUAUGAAGCAACUGUUGGAGCUGGUCUUCCAAUUAUCAGCACUUUAAGGGGUCUGCUGGAAACCGGGGACCAUAUAUUGCGCAUUGAAGGCAUUUUCAGGUUGGUCAUAUGUAUUGGCUCAUAUUGCAAAAGACCCUCAUGCGGAAAAAAUACGAAAUAUCAAUAUGUUCGUUGUGUACUGAAAUAUUUUUCCUUAAAGUUGACUCAUGCGUCUUCUGACAAGCGUUCACCUGUGUGUUUUGCUGUUGCAGUGGGACUUUGAGUUAUCUUUUUAACAGCUUUGUAGGCACAAGAUCAUUCAGUGAGGUAGUGACAGAGGCGAAAGAAGCAGGUUAUACUGAACCUGAUCCAAGGGAUGAUCUAUCUGGAACAGAUGUUGCCAGAAAGGUACUGUAUGCAGUAAUUGUUUGUUUUGUUAUUCAAAUGAUUACUACAAUUCAGAGUGUCGAAUUAGUUUCUGCAUUCUACCACAGCUGUUAGCAAUUGGUAAAUGCCUAGGAUUUCAUUAAGACAUCUACUCAAUUGCCAUUCUAUAAAUUUGCACAUCAAUGCAUGUGUCAGAUAAGUGACAUAAAGUUGGCAGAUGAGCUUUCUUACCUUUUAAAAAUUCUAUAAUCAGUUAUCGCAGAAUGAUGUUCACAGGCAUGACCAAACAUUUUGAAUUGUCAGAGAAACUGACCACAGUUGAUGCUUCCAUAUUUGUUUGUGGUUUAUUCCUGUGUCUGAAUGCUGAAUUUAAUUCGAUGAGAAUCAGACUGAAAAAAACUUUCUUUCUGCAGGU